Molecule: long non-coding RNA, 90588 nt
Filed under: Coffea arabica (coffee)
Lineage: Eukaryota; Viridiplantae; Streptophyta; Magnoliopsida; Gentianales; Rubiaceae
Description: long non-coding RNA (CARA_LNC005523)
Source: RNAcentral
GGUAAUUCCCUAACUCUUGUGUCAGCCAAAUUCAGAUACUCCAAAUGUUGAAGCUUUCCAAUGGCUUUUGGGACUCUCUCCACUCUCGUACCCCAUAGGUCCAGAUGCUUGAGAUGAAACAUCUUGAAAAUCUCAUUUGGUAUUUCCUCCUGUGUCUCUUGACCUCUCAAAUCCAAAACCUUUAACAACUUGCUACUCCCUAAAACUUCAGAUAACAACAUUUUGGAUAGUAGCGGGCUUAUGGAUUCAAAUGUAACGAACGACCGAAGGUGGUCAAAGCAAUAAUUUCGUCUUUGUUGGUGGUGCGGGGUGUUGUUACUGCUACCACUAUGGACUACUAGACGGCGUACCUUAUCAGUCGGCCACAUCAUCGGCUGUCCAGUAGUAACUGUCACCAUGUUUUGUUCCCUUGACUUGAGAAGAAUAACUUCUCUUAAUAGGUCAUGGAUUCGACAAUAUUGAGGUAUUCCUUCAAAAAACACCUUAGUCACUUGAAUUAGGCUUCUAUUGACGAGUUCAAUGAGAUAACUCCAAGCUACAAUUGCAAAACUCAUUCCUUCCCUCCGUUCCACAUACCUUUCAGCAAUCCACAAAUGAAUUAGUCUAAUGCAUGCUAUUUCAUAAUCCUCUGGGAAGAUGCUUGUGUACAACAGACAUGUCUUUAAAUGCCCAGGCAAAUCAUUAUAACUGAGAGAGAGUAUCUUUUUAACUCUGUCCAGCUUACCCGUGCCUUCUAAUUCACCCCCAAGGCUGCGUCGAACCAUCUCCCAUUCGUCUAUUCUGUUUACAUCUUUUGAAGCCAAAAGCCCGCUGAUUGCAAGGGGCAAGCCCUCACAUUUGUCCAAUAUACCUUUGGAAACAUCCAUCAAAUGGCCAGGGCAAUUACCACCAUUAAAGAUCUUGUUGCAAAACAGGGUCCUCGAAUCCUUUACAGAGAGUGGCUCCAUUCUGUAGACAAGACCCCGAGAUUCAAUGCAAGAGGCAGAGGCUACAUCAGCUCUUCGAGUUGUUAGCAUGACACGGUUGCCGUGGCUACUCUCGGGCAGUGCAAAUUUGAUGGUAUUCCAAAAUUCCACGUCCCAUACAUCAUCAAAAACAAUCGCAUACCUUCCAGCUUGUUGAAGAAAAUCUUUGACAAUUUUUUUCAGCUCAGUGGUAGUCAUAGACUCUAUCGAUUGUGGGACUGGUUUAUUCCCUUCCUUGUGUAACUGCUGAAUCAAGUCUUUCAGGAGGUACUGAAAGUCACAUGUUUCAGAGACAGUUACCCAAGCACGAACUGGGAAAUGCCUUCUGACUUCAGGAUCCUCGUGGACUCUUUUCACUAGGGUAGUUUUGCCAAGUCCUCCCAUACCAACCACUGAAACAACCUUUAGUUGGUAAUCAUCCCCUCGGAGGAGCUCAGGAAUAAGACGUUUCUUGGGCUGGUCAAUGCCAACUAAUUUAGCUUCUUCCACAAGCAGUGCGUCAUCUCUGCUAUAGCGCCAUGUUGUGUUGUUCACAGCAGAAAGUGAGUUGGACGCUUGGGCAGAGAUACCAUAUUCGGAUUGGUAUCUUUGAUGACCUUCAGAAAUACUUUUGAUUCUGGACUUGAUGCUUUGUAUUUCGCUAGCAACUCGAUGACGAGCUCUCAAAUUCUUGAUGGAGCUGAAAAUUCUCCGAACAGAGCCGUAGAAUCCUGUUGCGCGAUGCCGAGCAAAGCGAGCUACAAAUUCAUCAAGAAUGUCCUCAGUGUCAUAAGCAGCAUCUCGCACUUGCUUGAUCCAUUGUUGGAGCGUGGGUUGAGCAUCUUCUUCUCUUGCUUCUGCCUCUCGCAGGAAAGCUCUCAUUUGCUCCAACUCAUCCAUGAUGAAUUGGACCUCUUGCCGAAGCCCUCCCAAUAGUCGUCCCUCCUCGUGCAGAAAAGUUGAGAGUUGAUCCAGCACAAAAGAGAGAACAGUUUCUGCCAUUUUUAGUCUUUCUUUUUAACCUAAGAAUGUCGGGGGAGGCGGCUUCUGGUUUAUAGGACAGUCCAGUUGUAGUAUCUUGAAAGGAAGAAGGAAGAGGAGGUUAUAGAUUCAUAAGCUGAUGAACUUCGAUGCUAUAUGGUGCAGUAUUUAUCAAAAAGAAAAAGAAAGAACUAACUGUGGGUCCUUUGGUCGGAUAAUAACAAAGGAGCAUCGUUCAACUACUGCAAAAUGUUCUAUUAUAUGUGCCACAAUAACUCAGGCCCUUCUUUACAAGCGGAAGGAAUAAAGUUAAAACGCCGUCGGAUUGGACUGGACAUUAUUGAUUUCUUUGACGAAGAAAUAAAACUACUGCAAAAUGUUUUGCUCCUCCUGCUAAUAUGUAUAACCUUCCUUCCUUCCAUUGACUAUCACUUGAAUUUUUUAGUCUCAUUACUUGUGUGUCAACUAUUAUUUGAGAAUCUAAUAUCUCUUUUGAUUGGGAAUUUUGAAAAAUAAAAUAUCAUGUAAGUCUAAAAACAAACCUAAUAUGUCUAAUAAUUUUUUAUACGACCUAAAAUUGUAUUAGUUUGAAAACUAACGAAUUAUUUUUCAAUUAUUGUAACUGAUUUCAGAGGACUAAUUUUUUGUAAACUUUCAUCCUAAGUACGUAAUGACAUUUGUGUCUCUAUAUCCACUUUAAAACGUACACGUAAACUAUGUAAAUACAUUUUUUUUAUGUUCAAAUAAAUUAUCUAGACAUAGACUAAUUCAAAUAUUGGAGUAGAGGUGUUUAUUUUGUUCAAUUAUUAAUCAAUAAUAUUUGUCCAAGCAUGUUAACAGAGACAAAAAUGAUGCUACACGAGGAUGGAGGUGCUCUUUUUCUCUUUUACUCUAGUAAGUAUAUUAUUUUCGUUUUCUUCUUUUUAUUUUUAAAAAAUCAUUCUUAAUUAAGAAAAUUAGCGUUAUCGUACUCAUAACAUCAUAAGCCAAAAGAUCAUGUAAAGUAAAUUAAAGUAGAAACCUUAGGAACAAACCACUCAAACUAAUUUUUACAAUAAUUAAUAAAGUAGAAAUACUAAGUUCAGUGUUAUUUUUUGUUAAUAGCAGCUCAUGAGUGUGAAAAUUGUGGAAGAUAGAAGCAAUCAAAUCAGCAUACUAUUUAAACUUAGGAUCCAUGAGCUACUAAUAACUUGGCCAAAGUAUUUUAUCCCGCUGAUUUAAUUAACUUCAAAAGUUUUAUUGAGCUCCAAUUAACUAUAGUAAUAACGUGACUUAGUUCAAAUUACAAAACUCGAUCACAAGUAAUCGUACGGAGUUGAAUAAACCAUAUAAAUAAGGCGCCACAGUAACCAAGUUAGUGUUAGCCCCUUGUGAUCACCAUUUUAAUCUAUUAUCUCACUUCUUUCUUGCUUUUGUUUUUCCAUCCCUCCUUUUCCAGUUGUGAAAUUACUGCAACUACAACUGGAUAGGACGAAAGGCGGCUCAUUUUACCAAUUAGAAACUUGGCUAUGUUCAUAAAAAAGAAGAAAAAAAAAGCCUUGAACUUCAAGAAAAGUAAACAAAUCUCAGCACUAACUUGAGAGAAAAUGAAACCUCUGGCAAUAGCUGAUCCAAACCUACCCUGUCAAAUCCAAGUUUGCCGAAAGAGAGAACACGGGCGAGGAAGAUGAUAAUUUGAAUCAAAAUUAAAACAAUGCAGUAUAUGUGCAAGGCCUUUAGCUAGGAAGAUGGAGUAUCAUAGAGGAGAAGGUAGAGGAGCAGUACCGUUAUUGAUAAACAAUCCCUCAACGUGGUGGACCUAAUAAGAAUGUGGAUCUCAUCCAUUGACUGUCAGAGUGGCACAUGGCAAUAAUAUCGACUGUGACUUUCUCACUUUCCUGGUUGGAUGGUAGAACAAUUAGAUCAGAGUACCUUAAGAUUGUGGACCUAAGAUUGUCGCACAUGGCAAUAAAAUUGAGACUUAAAUGAUAUGGGAUCAGAGUACCUUGUUAGGUGAUCGGAGAAUGCGUAGUUUAGUCAUUUCACGAAAUAUUAGUUGUAUUCAAGUUAAGAUGGAUAGUGCUUAAUUUUCCAUUUAUUACAAGUAAGACUAGGUUAGGAAUAAGGGACAUGAAGUAACCGGAGGAUAAGGUCCAUCAUAUGAGCCACUCGAAUACUAUAUGCUGAAAAAGCAGCUUUGAAACAAAAGAAGAAGCAAAGGCACAAAAUUUUCCUAUGGUUCCUAGAAAUAGCAAAAGAAAGAAGAUAGAAACACAUUAUUGACAUUAUAAAUUUCCAUCAAUUAAUGUUCGUCAUUUUUAUACGGUAACUUACUACAGAGAAAUUGUGAAAGCCGUGUGAGAAAGUUGAGGAUGAAAUACGAGGAAAAUACUUACUCAACAAGAAACUGCAGCAAAAAUAUAUAUAUAUUGGAGUAGAGCCAUAAUAGUCAAUAAAAAAUAAGAAGAAACUAAUGCAAGAGAGAUGAUGGAAAUUGAAUAGAAAGAAGAUAGUUAGCUACGUGAUUUUGAAAGGCGAAGCUACAUUACAAAAUCAUGGAAAUUAUUAGAGAGACAAUGCAGUUGGUGGAAAUUGAAUGGAAGGAAGAUCACCAGAGAGGGACUUAAGUCCCUCCUUGGGCUGUUGGUGAGGGUUCAAACCUCAUCAGCAGCGAAAAAAAUCUAAGGGUUGUGCCAUAACACUCCCUUGGUCUAGUUGGGUCUGUAUACCCACUAUCCCCUAUCACAGCCUCUUUAGGCUCCCCCUCCCCCUAGAUUAGGAUAGAAUAAGUUAUACAAAAUAUAUACAAAAAAGAAUGGAGGAUAGAAUAAGUUAUACAAAAUAUAUACAAAAAAGAAUGGAACAAAAAUAAUUAGCAACGUGAUUUUGAAAGGCGAAGCUACACUACCAGUGUACCACACCAUCGUUCAAAGGCAACGAUGUCUAAACUUAAAACGUGGUGGCCUGGACAUCGAUUUCAUUGACGUAGAAAUAAAAGGAAAAUACAGAUUUAGUCUCUAAUAUUUUGACUUUAUGCAGUUUUAGUCAUUAAAGUUUUGAAAAAUGCAAAUUUGAUUCUCAAUGUUUAGCACAUGUGCAAUUUUAGUCCCUAAAAUAUUGGUAGGAACAAAUUUGGUCCCCUACAUUAUCGUUUUGAAGCAAAUUUAGGAUGAUUGACGAAUUUUUUCAAAUAUUGGUAGAAUCUGUUACGUGUAGUUACAUGCUUGUCAAUUUUAAAUAUCUUAAAAAAGAAGUAAAAUAGCGAGUACUCUUCAAUACUAAGACCAGUUUACAUGAUGCCACGUCGGUAACUAAUUAAUCAAGAAAAAGAAAAUUUGUUAAUCUAUAUGAAAAAGUAAAUGUUACGAUUUUGUGCUUGGCAUAGUCAGGAUAGAGUGUAAAAAUGAGUUCUAUAUCGAUGAAUUGGGUGCUUCAACUAAUUUUAGUUUAAAAAUUUUCAAUUUUUACUAGUUAAUUAGUUAGCAUAUGAAUUAUCAGUUCUUAAUUUUGUUGUUUAAAGUUAGCUACUACUUUGCAUCUUUGUUUUGAAAUGUAAAUUAAUGGACACAUAAUUAGACGUGACUAAAUUAUGUCAGUAAUUGAAAAAAAAAUUUCAAAUGUCCUAAAUCUAUUUUCAAAAUGGAUAUAUUAGGGACCAGAUUUGCUCUUGCAAAAAAUUUAGGGACCAAAACUGCACAGGGACAAAAAAGAUUGAGGACCAAAUUUCCUUUCACCAAAACUCUAAGGACUAAAACUCCACAGGAGAUAAAAUUUAGGGACUAAAUUUUUUCCAGGAAUACGUGAUGCAGAGGAAAGUUAUUUCUUCUGAGUGGAACAGAAAAAGCAACUCAAGACCUAAGCUCAAUUCAGGUUUCUGAUGAAUUCUUUUGUGAAAUCUAGCCGAGAGUAGCUGAAACUAGUUAAGAAUACAAAAUUAUACUUAGUACGCAAUAAGCAGAAAGGCAUCCAAGGGUCAGUAUAAAUUAUCUUCAAAUUUCAGAACACCAGUGCUUGUGCACCUAUUAAUGAAUUAUGGACUCGAUAAUAGUAUAUUUACUUUAAUGUAAGCUUUAAGUACUCCCCUACCUUGUUUUCUUUUACCUGAAUAGAUAGUUUCAAUGCUUAUUCUUCGACUAAAUGAUGUUGUACUUUAUUUGUUCAUUUUUUUCUUUUUGUUUUUUUUUUGUCAAAUGAUGUUGUACUAAAAAAGAGAGGAAUUUGCGAAAGAAUAUAAGGGUUCAAAUCUUAUCUAUUAGAAAUUAGUUUCGUUAAUUUCAAAGAAAGAAGUUAAUUAAAGAUCCCCUCUUUGUAUUUUUAUUUUUAACUCAGUAGAACUUAGCAUCUGCUAACCCUUACAUUAAUCAAACAAAUUGCCAACCAAUCGUUCUUGAUUGCCCACAUGUUGCUAAAUCUCAUUGUCAGCAUUCUUUCUUGGUUGCCUCAUAAUUCUUUAAUGCUGAUUUUUUGUAUUAAGUACAUUAGAAAAGAAUAUGAGUUCCACUUUACUACUAAAAUUGAUUAUUAGCAGAGAAGACAAAAGAGACUGGCGAUGCCGAGCCUUAGCACCUAGCUGUCACGGGCUCGAUGCCCUUCCAUAUGCAUCAGCGCAGAAAGCAAAAGUGAUAAGUUCAGUAAUAGGUGCAAUUGUUCAGUCAUCUUCUUUUUUGGUAAAGAAUGGAAGGGUGAAUACAAAGGUGAGAGCAAAACACCCCCCAUUAAUACAUGACUUUAGUCAUUCAAUAAGAAGUAGAUCUAGAAUUACACUACUGGUUCCUAGAAACAGCUUAAGAAAGAGACAGAGACAAUAUAUAUUGACAUUAUAAAGUUCUGUCAAUUAAUGAUAGGGUGUCGGCCUGUGUAAUAAUAAAACCUACUCAAAGUAAAAGUAAUUUCUGUAGAUAGCGGUGAGCAGGGUCGAAUCCACAGGGAUUGGGAAUAAUUGUUUCUUUUCAAAUUCACAGUGACAAGGGGGGUGUUUUUGCGCAGAGAGUGACAAUCAAAUAAAUGCAAAUAAAAUCCAAGGAACUACUAAAAAUUAAAUAACAAUUUACUAAAAUCAAAUAAAUGAUAACUAAGGAUCUAGCUAAGGAAUAACUUCAGCAAUGGUUCACCUAAUUGAUCAUCGAUGCAAAGCCAAUUCCAAUUAUUUACUAAUAAAUAUGUUAUAACUGUCAAACAAGCGAUGACAGUCAACCCCUCCUUACUGUGUCGGUGAUUAAGGUACGCUCGUCAAUCACUACUCUAAUUGAGAAAUAAUCUUAGGUACGCCGGUAAGAUUUAAUUCCCUAAUUGCCUUACGUAUUAGAGGAGCCCUAUUCUAACCAAAUAACACAUUACCAGGGUUAUUUUAGGUUAGCAUGCGUAUUCCCCUGACACAAACCCAAUCAUGUCAGUUAUCACUAUUUUGAGACAAUUAAACAAUUACAGAUUUAACGUCCCAAUUGACAAUAGAUUAUUAAAUUAAUUAAUUAUCCGGAUCCAAGACAAUCAAUUAAUUAAACAAUCAUAAGCACUGUAACCAGGGAAUAUGCGAAUACCAAUAAAUAAAAGAAAAAGAUAAAAUUAAAUCGAUCUCAUAAUUUUAGGCGAGCCAAAGCGUCCGUUGCUCCUUGACUAGACAAAGGGAUUUAACUCAUCCUUGUCUACUCUUACCGAAAAGAAAAGAAAAGAAACUAAAGAUAAAAGGAAAAGUCAAUGAUAGGGUGUCAUUUGUUAGUAAUUUUAUUAGUAAUUUUCCCUUUUAUCUCUGUCAAAUAUUGUGUUAAUUGCGAAUAUCUACUUAUAUUUGGUUUGUGAACUUAAUUUCAGGAAUGGAACAGAAAACUACCAAACCUGAGGGUCUUUCUGGAGAUAAUUGAGACUUCAAACAAGCCACAGGCCAGGGCCACAGUGCUGAAAAGAACUGGACUCCCAUUCCUUUAUUUUUGUUGACUAAGAAGACUACAACCAGAGAUUUCGACAGAGAACUUCAAGGCUUGGGCCUUUGACUUCGGCAGGGACCACGGAGGAAAGGAAAAGGGCUUUAGGCAUUUGGCUCUUAAGAAGAAAGCAACGUAGAGAGCCAGAAAAACUAAGAAGAAACUUGGAGGCUUGUGGCUAAGUGGUGGGGACCGCACUGAGGCUCAAAACAAGGAGAAGAAUUCGGCAGACUUGUGCUAUUUCGUGGGGACCACUGGAUGAGCUUUGAGUCAUCUUUCUCUUGGUUCUUAAAAGGGGGACAACGUACAGCAGAAAAAGGACGGCUUGAGUUUUAGCUUUUUAGUUUAGUUCUAGUUUUCUUUCUUUUGACUAGCCUUUGACACACGCCAGGUGUUCGACAAUAUUUCCCAACGGGAAAAACAUCUUUUAUUCCUUGCUUUCUAGUAAAAACGCAAUGCCUUUGCAAUCAAUUAAUUCGUGUGGUGAUUUAAUUAUGCGGCGUGACUAAACCUUCCAUCUAGUCAAGGGUCAACUCGACGGCGCAGUCCCGAAAAUUUGUGAGAUCUAAUUAGUUUUCGCGCGUUCCUCAAUUUAUUAAUAUUUGCACGUUAUCUGCUUGAAUUUUCAUGAGAUUAUUUUAUUAUUUGAAUGUCAAGGGUCCGAUGUUCAAUGUGAUUUAUUAAUCUCGUGCCAAUUUAGUCAAUUAAAUCCGUAAUUGUUUGAUUGAUUAAUAUUAGUGGCAACUGGUGUGUUUACACAUUAGGGGAAUGUGCAAUCUAAUUUAAAUAACCCUCGUAGCGUGUUAUUGAUUAGGGCUAGGUUUUUCUAGUGAUUAAUGCAAUUGGAAAAUUAAUUCCUACGGUCGUACUUAGGAGUAUUUUCUGGUUAGGGGUAAUCAAUGGUCGUACCUUGGUUAUCAAUAAAUUAAGGAAAAAUUGGUCGUUAGAAUUCGUCGGCGACUAUAACUAGUCUAUUAAUAAAUUAAGUGAACCUCUCUUGCAUCAAUGAUCGGGUAAAUGGACUGUGUCUGAGUAGUUGUAUCCCUGGCUAGAAUUUAUUUAUUCUUGAUUUAAUUCCUGCUAUAUUUGUGCUAGUUAAUUAUUUAUUUUUAGUUAGAUUGUUUAAUUAUUUUUAGUUGCCUAUCGGUGAAAUCCCCCUCUUACCAAUUGGACUUUAAAAGAGACAAAUAUCUCCAGUCCCUGAGGAGACGACCCUAUUUGUCACUGUCUACUAUUUAGUAAAUUUCGUCAAUUAAUUAAUUCUGGUAUAUCGGAUUCAGCAAACUGUUCGGUAACAGGGUUAAUCAAGUAACCCAUUGCACACCUAGAGUCCCUGCUCCAGUACCUGGAAUUAAUUUUUGACUGCUUUUAGUGGUAUUUAGGUUUUUAUUAUUAUUAUUGCACAGGUUCGACACCUGUCAGUCAAAGUCUUCCCCAUUGUUUCUCCUCACAUCCGUGGAGAAUAACUACUAAAAGCUAAGAAGAAAAAGUGAAAAGUAAGGCUAAGCUAAAAGACGAAAAAACUAAGAAGAAAGCAAGGUUGUCCCUUUCUCCACUGCAAUUUUCUGGUUUUUGGUUAUAGUAUUUUUGUUCUACUCUCUGAAAUAAAUAUAAAUUGCCAAAAGUGAGUAGAAUCUAACAAUUAAUCCACAUCGGGUUAGGUAAUAGAGGAAAUUAAUAAUAAAAUAAAUCAUAAAAUUGCAACCUAUCAAUUUCCCCCACACCUAAACCAUACUUGCCCUCAAGCAUGAUAAUAGCAAACAAACACCAAUAUUUGACAAUGGUCAUUGCUCCGUCUACCAUAUUACCAAGAUACCAAGAAAAACAUAUAUCAAGCAUGGGUGAUCAAGAUCCAAGAAACAUCACUUCGGUUAGCUUCUAAACCACAAACUCCUCUAAUUUCAUGUUAACUAAUCUAAGAAAAAGAAAUGACGCACAACAUUUAUCAGCAAAUGGUCCAACUAUUAAUCAAAAUCUCAACAUUAAAUCCAUAAAUCGGCAAGCUGACUUUUAUUAUACACUAACACAACUUUCAUUUUUUUAUCACAUUUUUCUACUUUUCUCUUUUUUUUUUCCUUUUUUUUCUCUUUUUUUUUUUUGCUUUUUUCGAUAGUAACAAAAGACUUGGUCGCUAGCCAUUGGAGCCUUUUGACGCGAACUCUGACAUUUAUUAGAUGAAAGAGCCCGGUUACUCAGUUUCGAUCGCCACGUGACCACGUACUCAUAGUAAUUACUACUUUUUGACGUGAGAAUUGACACUUUUGGUGAAGAUCCCCGGUUACUCGGUAGUAAAGACUAGCGGAGUACAGUCAACUCUUAUUCACCACUAAAUAAUAUAAAAACUCAAUAUAACACAAAAAUUAAAAGAAAAUUUACAUCAGCUAGUCUCAUUUUCAAACAUGGAGAACUAAGGUUAAUAACCGGACCAAUUCACAUGAAAAUGCCAACAAUCAUUCCCUUUGCCUAGAGAAGUUAACCAAAAAUUAGAAGAGCUACAUAAUCACUGAUAUUCACUAAAGGAAUGCUCUUGGAUUCAACCACAUUAACUCGAUACAUUUUUAUUAUUAAAACUAGGCAAAAGUAGAAAUAGGGACAACAAUCCAACAUCAAACCUUGGCAUGCACAUGUAAACUAAUCACUAAAAAGAAAGAAAGGAAAUGCACGAAAGAUGGCCAAAUAACAAACUAAAAAGAAAGAAAGAAAAAAAUAUGAGAAAAAAAAUAAAUAAAAGAAAAACACCUAAAAACUAGAAACGCUAGCACCCCCCAUUUGCUCCCCCCCACACCUAAAUCACACAUUGCCCUCAAUGUGAUAAACUAACAGCAAAAGGAAGGAGAAGGGCAACGGUACUUCCCUGAAGUCGUCAAAACAGUGGAGGGUUAGGCGGAAAUUAAGGAGGAAUUCCGGUGUGCUGCAUAAAUGCGGCCAAAUUUCUGCAUAAAAGCUGACAAAACUUGCCCAUCCCAAAAUCUCAAUAAAUGUCUCCAAUUGGACAGUUAAUUUCUCAACUCAAAAUCGGCAAUUCCAGCAAAAGCAGUUUAGAAAUUUGAUAAUAGCCACACAAUGACAAGCACUUAGUUCCCAAUCAGGCAGCCAACCAAAUAGAAAUAACAAAUGCUAGUCAAAAUAUCCCAACCAGUGCCACUGAUGCACACACAGGUAAGAAACAAUGCAAACAGGCAACCCAAAUCACUGACAAUGCCCCUCCAAAUCAAUAAUAGAAACCAACAGCUAGAGUGCCCCAACAACUCAACUGAAAACUACCAAUCUCAACAAGUAAAUCAAGCAACCAGGUUUUCCAAAUCAACAGGCAGUAGCAGAACUAAAUCACCCAAUCACCGUGCACGAUAGGCAACAAAAAAAAAUUUUUUUUUUUAUAAGUGCGGGGCUGCCAUGGUGAGUUCUAUAUAUAACACUACUGGUUCCUAGAAACAGCUUAAGAAAGAGACAAAGAGACAAUAUAUAUUUGGACAUUAUUAUUUUUCAAAAAAAAAUUGCUACGUUUUUCGUAAACACAUUUUCCAAUCACCUUUCCACCUCACAUAUAUCAAAUCACUACAUUAAUUUUUCUACAAAAAAAUCUAAAAAAAUGCAAUCCAAACACAACCUUAAAGUUCUGUCAAUUAAUGUUUGUCAUUUUUAUACGGCAACAUGCUAGUACAAAAGAAUUGUCAAAAGCCGUGUGAGAAAGUUAAAAGUUAAGAAUGAAAUACGAGGAAAAUUCUCAUUCGCAACAAAGAAACUGCAGCCAAAAAAAAAAAAAAAAAGAGGAGUGGAGCCAUUAAAGUCAGUCAAAAAGAAAAAGGAAAAAAUAAUCAAUUACAAGAAACUAAAGCAUGAGAGAUGAUUGAAAUUAAAUGGAAAGGAGACUGACAGCAGUGUGAUUUUGAAAGGCGAAGCUACUCUACCCGUUACACUACAAAAUCAUGGAAAUUAUUAAGCAGUUGGUGGGGCGUAUGCGUUCACUCUUCAGUCUUCCAUCAAAUAAAGGGGGUGGCUACCAGCGUACCGCCCUAUCGUUCAAAAGCAAUCGAUGUCUAAACUUAAAAACGUGGCGGCCUGGACAUUGAUUUCAUUUCAUUGACGAACAAAUAAAGGGAAAAUACGCAGUUAGUUAUAAUAGGCAGGGCAAUUAUACCCAACAAAUUGCAAUAUUUCAGAAGUUAGUAUUUACAAAUUGAACUCGACUAGUCUGGAAACAUCACUGUUAUAUAUUCCGAUCAAGAACAUAUACUAUGAAUAAUUGCAGUCGAAUAUCGUUCUUUAACUAAACUGUUAAGAUGAAUUCUGGGAAGUGAGUGAGGAGCUCAAACUAUAGAGACGCAUAGAAACUCUGCCAUUCAAUGUUGUAGAUCUCUUGUUUAACAGCUUAGAAGCCGCUAAUUGGGUAGUCUUUUAACUCAUCUCCAAAAUCUGAAGGCUUUAACUCAUCCCGGACUAGCUAUAAUGCCCCCGCAUGAAUGCUAUAAUUUGUACCUAUAAUCUAAAAAGCGUUUGUCAAAACUCUAUACGAGUCUCCAAGUGUGUGCCAAGUUUCACAGGUUGCAGAAAUGUACUCCAAGUUUCACAGGUUGCAAGAAAGUCCACCUCUUUCGUUGUAAAGAUGAUUGCUCGAGGGCGUAAACUACUACUAACACAUAUGUUACCCCAGUCAGACGACAGAGUGUCCAGAAAUAAGAUUCAAAAGCUUUGAUAGUCUUAACUCAUAUCCAAAAUCUGAAGGCUUUACGUACUGCUGCUACAAGGAGAUCAUUUCAGUUGAUUCAGAGAACCUUGCAUGAAUUCGGUGAAAUGUCCAGCCUCAAACCAAACCUACACAAGUGUCAGAUAUACAUGGCUGGUGUGAAUGAGGAUAUGCAGAUUCAGCUUUGCAAUUCACUGCAGAUGCCUUUAGGCUCACUCCCUGUUAGUUAUUUGGGCUUGCCAUUGAUAUCUACUAGACUGAGAUUUUAUAUAUCGUCAACCUAUUUUAAAUAAGAUAGAACAAGGAAUUCAUAGUUGGGCUAGUAAAAAACUUUCAUAUGGAGGCAGAUUACAAUUGAUAAAAUCCAUCUUAAAUGGAAUUCAGGUUUUUUGGUCUAGUGCUUUUGUUCUUCCCAAAUCUGUCAUCAAGACGUUUUGUAGGAUGCUAACUUCCUUUUUAUGGGCUGGUGAGAUUAGAACUCAUUAGUGUGCAAAAGUUAAGUGGACUGAUAUAUGUAUGCCUAAGAAGGAGGGAGGAUUGGGCUUGUUUGAUUUAAAACUUUGGGACAAAUGUCUAAUCAUGAAGCAAAUAUGGCAUAUUUGCUGUAAAAAGGAUACUCUUUGGGUUAAAUGGGUUCAUACCAACAACUUGAAAGGGUGUUCCUUUUGGGCAGCAAAGAUUCCUGUUAAUGGUUCUUGGGUAUGGAGGAAAAUAUUGUUGAGGCCUGAGGGACGAAGCUCAGCCUUUCAUUAGGCAUCUACUGGCACCCUAUUGGUCCUUUAUAUAAAUAUUUUUUCUGAAAUUUGUAUCAUAUUUCAACGGAAAUGUAUCUUUGCUCUGACCAUUGUGUCUAUGGUCCUUGAAUCAGUUAGGAAUACUAGUGUUGUGAGUUGGAGAGGAGUCCCACUGACCAAAGCCAAUUGGGAGCUAAGUAUGGAGUUCGGAUCGUCUCGUGUGUUUCCAGCAAGAUUGAGUUUGCAUUACUAUAAUAGUGAUAGAAUUUAUGUAAGUAGGAAUUGUUUGAUUCCUGUGUACUCGCUUAAUUCUUUAUCAAUAAAGAUUCAUAUUUGUCCAAAAAAAACCAACAAAAGAAUGACCAAUUACUUGCAUUACAUCAACAAUUAAUAUCAAUUAUGCCAACACUAGCAAAAAAGAAAAACAUUCCCAUGAGUUGUGGUGAAUUAAAUCGAAAAAAGAACAACAAAUUUUAUUUAUUAUAAAAGAAUAUCGUGAAUCUUAGUGGUUAAUAGUGUAAUUAGCUUUUGUGAUGCCACAAUUACACUCCUCUCUAAUAAAUGGACAAAUUGCAUUGCAUUUCAUCAAUAAAUAAUAUCAAAUAUGCUAGCAGUUACAAAAAUGAAAGAUUUCUUACUUUUUUAUUUAUCAAAAAAAAGAACAAAUUUUAUUUAUGAAAUAUCCAAGUUUAAAGAGUACUUCGAACAUGAAAUAAAGCAUAAUAAAUUGGUACUAUGAGUCUCUUAAAAAGUAUUAUGAAUCUUUUUAUAUUUUGGAUAAAAAUAAAUUAAGCCUUAAGAGCACGUUUUAGUAUGCAUAUAUUAGUAUUAAGUAAAAAAAUUUAACACAAAAUAUAAUAAGAGCUGGAGUAUGAUGAAGGAAAAGAGAUUUAUGUUAGGAAUUUAUUGGUUUAAAUUGCAACAAAAAUUAAAUUUAAUGAACUUUAUUAUUGGUAUUAUUGUAACAAUUGAUAGCAUCAAACAUAUCAAUGCCAAUAACAAUAAUAGUUAUAAAGGUGAAACAAUCAUUUGAGUUAUGGUGAAUUAAACUAAAAAAUAUAAUUUUUUAAUGAAAUAUAUAUCCAAUUUCAAAGAGUACAUCAAAGGUGAAUAAAAAUAUUUCCAAAUUCAAUUUGAUUAUUAUAUAAUAAAUAAGCUUAACGGCUUACAAUUUUUAAAUAUAAACUCUAUAAUCGUAAAUCAUGUCAUAAAUGAUAAAUAUAAAUAAGUUUCACCAAAUGAAAACAUUUCUCUUCAAAAUUAAGCUAUUUAAAUUUGAACAAUGGAAUUCAACAUAUCUAAAUACUAUUGUAAUUAUAAUAGUACUAUAGAUCAUUUUAGAAUUCAACAUUAGCGAAAAAUAAUAAUAAUUAGAAAAACUCACUACUGUUUAAAAAUUCAUAGAGUGACUUAAAGGGGAACAACAAAUUAUUCAAAAGUUAAAGAUUUUAACUCAAAUGACAUAAAUUUAACAGAAAGAAGAAAACAUAAAUACUCUUACAAAAUAAAGUCCUCUUGGAACAAAUAAUACUUUAUUACUUGUGCAUUUGUAUUGGUUAGGGCAAACCAAAUUCAAAAAAAUAUAUGAAUAAUAAAUAUCCUUUUUGGUUAACAAGUUAUAAAUUUAAACUCAAAUGACAUAAAAGAGAACACUGAGAUAAUCCAAAUUUAACAGAAAGACAACAACAUUGAUACUGUUACAAAUUAAAUGUGCUCUUAGGAUAAAUAAUGCUUUAUUGCUUAUGCAUUUGUGUUGGUUAUGGCAAAAAAAUACAAAAAAGUAUAAAUAUUAAAUGUCACAUUUUUUGUCUCAAUUACAUUUAUUCUUACAAAAUAAUUUAUUUUCUAAAACUUUUGAGAAAUGUUAUUUGUAGUCACAUUUCUGUUAAUCAUACUCCCACUAUCACUUAAAUCAUAUAGUUUUCAUUUGUUAAGAUAUGUGGUACCGUAUCAAAAAAAAUGGAGUGCAAAUUACAUUUUUGAAAAUUCUAAGAAAAAAAUCUAAAAAUAUCAUGCUCAUGUUCACGUGUAAAAGCACAUGAUCCAUUACUGGUAUCUUAAAAAUGCUUGAUUAUCCAAAUAGAGGAGCUUCCUAAAGAUUGUUGGAGUUUGAAUGGUCAGUUCCCUUGUGAAGUUUCUUGAACAAUCUCGAGACUCAGAUGGUUCUUAGAUGAACAUACGAUUGCAUAAUGGGUGAUGAUAUGUUGAAAUUUGUUAUUAAUUGUUAUGAUUAAUUUCCCCUUUACUCUUGCCAAAUAUUGUUUUAAUUGUCAGAUUCUACUGAUAUUUGGUUAAUUGUGUUAAUUAUAGAGAAUUAUGUGAGACGCGAUCAAAAUGAGCAAAUUUCUAGCAUUCCAAGAGUUAAUUUGAUGGUGGUACGUUUGGGGCCGAUUUCCAAAUCCUAGUCGAACUCAGGUUAAUUUUUGAAGGAAGAUUUUGAAAACUUCAAUUUUCAUUAUUAGUUCUAGAAUUGGAUCAGGGAACUUGGAAUAGUAUUUUUAGUAGUUACUUUUUUCUAUUUAGGAAACAUGUUAUGUUAUUGGUAGUUGAGAUCGAAUGGGAAACAAAAAACAAAAGCAAAGGACGGACCGCUUGAUGUGGAGUUGGCCAGCAACAAUUUCAGAGUGCGACUCUUGGAAGUAGGAUAUACGGCCGUCACUUGUUUCUUUUUUUUCCCUCUUGUCUUUCGUUAGUUUUUUUAGAGAAAAACCAUACGCAAUUGUUAUCAAUGGAGUCUUGUGGAUUUCCCUCGAGGAUGCGUAGCUAAAUUCUAUUUCUAGUCUGAGGAUAACUUGAAGACUUUGUUCUACAAACUAUGAGAUCGAAUCAAUUACACUGUUUCUUUUAUUUGCUGGUAUUUAUUCGUUCUUUGGUUUUAAUAAUUAUGACUAUUAUGUUAUUCAAAUAUCAAAGGGCUCGGUAUUUGAAUUGACUUGAUAGUUGAUUGCUAAUUGAAUCGAUUUAAUUCGUAAUUGUAAGAUUGCUUUAAUCUUGGGAGCAACUGGUAUAACUAGAUUUGUGUUAGGAAAAUGACUAAUCUAACUUAAAGAGACCUUAUAGCGUGUUGAUUGGUUAGAAUUAGACUCUUCUAAUUAUUCAUGCAAUCCGGUAAACAAACUUCUAUGGUCGUACCUAGAGUUAUUUCCUGAUUAGAGAAAUAGUCAACGAUCGUACCUUGACUAUCGACAAAAUAAGGAAGAGUUGGUUUUUAUGCUAGAACUAAUUUAUCAAUAAAUAAUUAAAUUUAUCCUUGCAUCGGUUUAUGAACUUUGUCUGAUAGUUAUUCCUCUUGCUAGAGUUUUGCUAUUAUUGAUUCAAUUUUAUUUUAUUUGUGUUAUUUUGAUCUUACUGAAUUUAGUUGGUUAAUUCCAAGUAUCUCCAAACUCCCCCAAUUAAUUCUCACUUGAAAAGAAAUAAAUUUUUCCAAUCCUUGUGGAGACGAUCCUGCUCAUCACUGUAUACAGUUUUAUAUUUAUCUCGAGUAGGUAAUUAUUAUUACACACACUGACAUCGGUCAAGUGAUGCUUUCCAUAGUCUGAACCUAGUUGAGGAUGACGAAAAUUAGUCUUGCCCUGUUAUGGACUGUAGGAAUGGUGAGAGAGGAAGGGAAGAAGCAGGCCUUGAAAAAAUGAGCUAACUUGUGCAAAGAGUGGGUGGGGAACGUUAACAUAACUUUUUGUGCGUUUUCUCCUGAUGUAAUUGUCGGCAAUAACUUUGUCCAGUGCUAAGGGAAACACCCAUCGAUUUUGCAUUUCUAGUUUGAUAUUUGAGGGCCUUUGCAUCUCUGAAGAUCAAAUGGUACAGUUUGGAAUUGCUGAUGGUUCUGCGGCAAGUGUAUUUUUUUUUUCCUUGAAAUUUCAUCAAAGCCGCUCUUCUUUUUUUUUUUGUCUUUUUUUUUCUAAUGUAAGUGAGAAGGUUUGAACCCAAUAGCUCUUAUUUAUACUCCGUUCUCUCGUACCAUCUAACCCAUUCCUCUACUAUCAUCAAAAUUGCUGUUUUAAGAAGUAAGAACAAGCAUUAAGUCAUGUCCAGUGCUAAGGAAAACACUGGUUGAUUUUGCAUUUCAAGUUUGAUGUAUAGGGGCCUUUUCAUCUCUGAAGAUCAAAUAGUACAGUUUGGAAUUGCUAAUGGUUCUGCGGCAAGCUCAAUAUCAAAUGGUACAGUUUUGAUCCUUGUUUUAAGUUAUCAAGGGGUUAAGUAACUUCAUGUUUUGAUCCUUGUACUAUUUUUUUUUAUUUACAUUUUUGGGUUUUCUGGAUAAAAUAGUACUACUUAUCAUAAACACGGGCGAAAUUUUAGAGCAACUUCAGAAACAUGUGUGUUAAAGUGGAGCUCAAGACUCCCAGAUAAUGAGAAUGUACUCAAGCCAAUAGGCCAGUGGUUGCUCUUGAUUACCAACAUAUGCAUAUGCAUAGAUCAUCUGCAUUUUUUGUUCCUAAUUGCCAGCAUAAUCCACAUCUUUUGAUUUUACAAAAAUGCUGUAAAAAAAAAAGUCAUGAGCCCCUCUAUACUACGAGAAGAUGAUUGAUUGUUCACCCAGAUUUUGUCAAGUUUAGAAAAAAAAAAUCUUUAGAGUGAAUUGAAUCAAAUCCAAAUUUUGUGUUUAGUGACAAUUCCUAAAAGAGAAUGCAAUGAAGAUUUUCAGUGUAAAACAUUUAAGAACCAGUCAUGCACAUUGUAGGUUUAUUAGCACAAAGUAAUUAUGCUAGUCAAUGAUGAAUGAUCUCAUAUGCAACGCGAGUUGAAACAUUGGCAAAUUGGGAAAGGAAAGAAUAGAUUGGGGAUACCUAUAACUUAAAAGGAGUCAUAUAAUAAACUUGGUGCAUGUUCAGUAUUCGCUAUAUUUACAAGACAAGCCAUUAUUGAUGUGGGUUUGUACAAGCAGAGUGAGGACAAAUUGGGUUUAUGUAUUAUCUCUCACCAAAAUUUAAAAGUUAUUAUUUGGAGCUUUUAAUGAAAAUUUUCUGGUAGAUAUUAUUAACACACUUCUAACCUGCCUACCUUCUUGGACUGGACAUUGUUGAUUUCAUUGACGAAGCAAUAAAACUGCUACAGAGUCUUUUGCUCCUUCUAGUAACAUAUAUAACCUUCCUUCCUAUAUGGAAUUAAUUUCUGCUGACCAAUUAGUAUUUGUAAUAAAAACGGAUGGAAUAUCAAAGAAGCCUUGGGAACAAAAUGUGAGACUACAUUGAUUUAGGAGGCCUUUGAACAGCAUGGAAAUUUAGCACAUGUGCAAUUUUUAGUCCCUAAAAUAUUGGUAGGAACAAUUUCGGUCCGCCAUGUUAUCGUUUUGAAGUAGAUUUAGGAUGAUUGAUGAAUUUUUUUAAAUAUUGGUAGAAUCUGUUACGUGUGAUUACAUGUUUGUUAAUUUUAAAUAUCUUAAAAAAGAAGCAAAAUAGCGAGUACUCUUCAAUAAUAAGACCCGUUUACAUGAUGCCAUGUCGGUAACUAAUUAAUCAAGAGGGAAAAAAAAGAAAAUUUGUUAAUCUAUGUGACGCCCCCACUUCUCCCUAAGGCGAACCAAAGGGUAUCCGCGGGACGCCUGCCCAGCUCUCGCCAGGACUCACUACAAUCCAUCAUUUAAAAGCUCGAAAUACUUUAAGUAACCUCAAUACAUAAUUAAAGUAUUUCAAAUAUCUCACACUUACAAUUAUGCAGCUUUCAAGGUUAAAUACAACCCAACGGAAAAGGGUACAAUAGCCAUCCGUUAUAAUAUAACUUAAAGUUUUCAAAAGAAAACAAUCUAGUACUACUCACGAGCACCCUUGGUCUCGAACCCUGUAAAAGAAAUCCACAACGUGGUAUGAGCUACACAGCCCAGUGAGGUUCCAAGACACUCUAACAGUUCAAAUAAAUCAAGUAAGUUGGGCAUAUCAUAUGCAUGGUUCAAGGUUACACAAUGGCAUGUUAUCAUGAGGUGAUAAUCAUUGUACGGGUAAUUUGAGACAUUUAUCAUGGUAUGAGACAUUUAUCAUGAGACAGGUAUCAUGGUAUGAGUACAUUGGUCAGGUAACAGGUAUGGAGCAUAUCACAGGCAUAGCUCAGGAUUUCAUGUUGGCAUUUUAGCAUGAAACAAUUAUCAUGAUACAAGGUAAACAUAUACGGUAGGAUACGGUGUUCCAGUGGAACUCUGUCGGUCAUCUGCACCUUAUGACUUCCGGAUCCCCUCGGUUUGACUGGCCAUCACCUUAUCCCUCCAAUGGUAAUACUCGAGUAUACCGAAACGGUGUCCCAAGGUUCCAACCUACCCUACCGAGCCCAGUCCUGGCUCGAGUAGGUUAGUAACGAUGAGCAGGGCCCAAUUCAGCUUAGAGCUUACAACAUGCACAAGUAAUCAAGUAAUUCGGCAAAAGGUAAAAUUCAUCAUUUGAGUAGGUCGAGUGAGGUAAAGUACACACUCGCCUAACAAUGAUGGACAACUUCAUAUAACAUGGGAUUCAUGAUAAUCAAGUGAUCAAGUAAGUUGGUGAUUACGUAAGCAGAUAAUCAAGUAAGCAAGUAGCCGAAUAGAUUAGAAAACGGUAAGUAAACAUGGUUAACGGUAAACGGUUAACGGUGGUAAUUACGGUUAAUUGGUAGACAUAUGUCAUUUUAAUAGGCCACCAUUGGCCUUUUUCACUUUUUCCACAUAAGAGUCGAGGAGAUUCACUCCAACCGACUUAUGCUGUCAUAGCAUAAUUAAUCAUUUAAACACAUCAUGUAGAUAUGCUCUCCAAGCAUUUCAUAUCUAAUAUUUCAAGUAAUCACAUAAAUAUGCUCUUUAAGCAUUUCAUAUCGAAUAGUUCAAAUAUACAUAUUUCAGGUAUUUCAUGUCGAGUAAUUCAAGUAUACCUUAUUCAGAUAUGCAUGAGUGUGGUAAAUACUUAACAUAUAGCACUUAACACUUAAUAAUCAUGGGUUAUGCAUGUCAUAGACUUAUUCCAAUUACGUAUUCCUAUAUGGAACACUCACCUAUAGCAACAAGAGAGUAAUACUCAAACAAAUGUCUAGGCGUCCACUUCGAGUUCCUCUUGAAGGUCCCCUUGAGCGCCUGGGCAAAUAACCAUUAACUAUUAUACACUAUCACUUAGAACCCCUACUUAUCAAAGAAGGUUAUACAAUCUAAGGAGAAUUCAUUAAUUGGGCCUUAAUUAAUAAUAAUCGAGGCUCAAGAGUAAAGUUUUAAAGUCUAAAGAGAGAGACUAAUAUUUUUCAUGAAAUCGAGUUCAAAAUGUUCAAUCGGUAUUGAGAAAAGAAGGCAAGUUUCCAAAAUCUCAUUUUCUAAGAAAUUGACAAAUUUCAGCUUUGGGUGUCAAUUUUAGAAAAAUCGUAUCUUGCACUAUGUAGGUCCAAAAUUGGAAAGCUUGAUACCGUUGGAAACUUCUUCAAAAGCGCUAAAAGUUCCUAGAAGAUACUUUUCCAUGAUUCCAAACAGAAGGUAUUCAAAAAUUGACUCAAAGUUGCUGCUUGGGACCAUUUAGACAGUUUCGGGGUUGGUUUUUGACCAUCUUUGAAAAUCCAGCAAAAUUCACACAAUACGAACUAGCCUCCAAAAUUUAGAACUCAAUUAGAGCUACAAUCAAAGUUUAAAACAAAACAAACGGUACAAGAAUUGAAGUUUUGAGCGCCAAGAUAUAGCAGCUCAAAGUUGGCUAAAAAUUCCUCCUCGAUCAAGAAUUUCCAGAUUUAAACAUGAACUUUGGGACUUUGUUUGAACAUCUAAACAGACUCGAAAUGGCACCAAAUUUGGUAUGAUUAUACUACCAUAUAAGGGCUAUUCCUCUGUCAAAUUUCAUAGAAAAAUAUGCACGGAAAGUCACUCAACGAAAUCACUCAAGUUUCCAAAUUUUUAAGGCAAAGCUGCCUCGUGUAUGAAAAUUUCCUUUUCUAAACUUUUGACCAAGGGAAGAUACCUAAAACAUGUCUCGUUUAUGAUAAUCAGGUCUAGCAAGAAUUCAAAAUACAUUUGAUAGGUGAUUUACAUCAAGAAUUUCGAAAUAACAAGUCCCAAGUCAUUGUUAGUUACAAAUCUGUCCAAGUGGAAAAUUCUAUCACUGUAGCUGUUUCAAACUUUGGCCACAACUCACUCAAUUCAACUUGGAAUUGGGCGUGGUUGAUGGCGUUGGAAAGCUCUCUCAUAAAGCUGAAUUUUCUCAGAAGAAACCAUUUUCAAAUUCCAUUCACAAACAGCUCGUUUUUGAGCAUGAAGAUACAAGUCCUGUCCUGUCUCCUGGAGAGAAACGAAACAGGACAGUGAUUUUCAAUCGAAUGGUGUUGCUCACUCAAGUGGAACUAGAAUGUGCAUUUGGUACCAAUGGAAAGCUGGGAAUGCCUAGUUUCAAAUGCCACCAACGGCACUCAAUGUUGACAUCGGAGUAAAGAGUUAUAGCCGAUACAAGAUGACUGCCUGGGCAAUACGGGAUUCAUUUUCCAGUUUUGCUAACUUUGGAAAUCAACUCAUUUAACCAACCAAAUCAUGUUAUUUUUCAAUGAAAUUUUGUACACACUCACAAUAACAUGUAAACAAUAUAAUCAAGUCAUUAGAACCUCAAAAUUGUGCACAAAAAUGGUCGGACAAGGCAGGGGUAAAACGGUCACUUUUGCUCCAAGCACCUCCUAUGAUUUUCUACCAACAAUACAACAUUAAUCCACUAAUUUAAGCACUAAACCACCAUUAAAUCCAUCAUCAAGCAUGAGAUCAGUCCUCAAGACAAAGGUGGGAGUUCAUAGAGCCCACCCAUUUCAUUUUACACCAUAAACAAGCUACCCAAAUACAAAUACUACCUUAUACAUGUAAGAUGAUCUUCAUAAAGUAAGAUUUAAGUGUUGGAUUAACACCUACUUGAUUAGAGGAUGAAGGCAGAAAUUUCGGCCCCUUAGAUGCUCAAGAAAACCAUGGAUAGCAGCUCCUUUUCUUAGCUCAAUGGGAUCUCUAAAUGUUUAGUUAAGUGUAGUUCGAAUUUGGAGUGAAUUGGAAGAGGUUUGAUGAAGAUUUGAUGAAGGAAAAAUGAAGAACUUGGUCUUGUUUUUCCUUGGAGUUGCACGGCUGGAAUGAAGAAGGAAAAGAAGAGUUGCACGGCUGUUUGAGGUGAUAAAGUGGAGGGUUUUUAUCUGGUGUGAUGCACCCAUGUGAAACUAAAAUGUGUGGCUCUCAUUGAUUCAAAGGUUAACUCUUUUUCCCGCGCGUUUCGUGUUCGAUUCCUCUCGAAUUUGUUUCACUGGUGCACUAAACCUCUAAUGCACUUAUAUUCAUAUAAAUAUUAUUCACUCUCAAUCGUCCCAAAAUAAGGGUCUAAAGUUCCUGAAUUUAAAUCGCGCGUGUGAAAACGCGUAUCUCCAAUUUAAGCGCGAUAACGCGAAACUUCCGAGAAAUUCUUAUAACGAUAGUACUAAUAACUAUCACUUGAGUAUUUAAACAUUAAAAUACCGAAUUUAGGUCCAUUGUACAUGUCUCCAAUAUUCCAAACUUAUUGUACUCUCAAGCGGAUAAAAUCUCCAAGCACUAUUCACUAUUUUUACUAAACGCGCUCCAGGAAAUUAAUUCGUGAAAUGAGUUACUUUAAAAAUAUAACGAAGUUAUAUUACCAUGCAUUUAGGUCUAAUAAGACUAGAAAAUAUUCCUCGAGGCAAAUAUCCAAUUAAAUAAUUUAUUAAGCCACAAAUUAGGCUUAAAAAUAAUAGUUUUUACGAGUCCUCACAAUCUAUCUGAAAUGUUACGAUUUUGUGCUUGGCAUAGUCUGGAUAGAGUGUAAAAAUGAGUUCUAUAUCAAUGAAUUGUGUGCUUCAACUAAUUUGAGUUUAAAAAUUUUCAAUUUUUACUAGUUAAUUAGUUAGCAUAUGAAUUAUUAGUUCUUACUUUUGUUGUUUAAAGUUAGCUACUAUUUUGCUUCUUUGUUUUGAAAUGUAAUUUAAUGGACACAUAAUUAGACGUGACUAAAAUAUGUUAGUAAUUGAAAAAAAAUUCUUCAAAUGUCCUAAAUCUAUUAGUAAAAUGGAUAUAUUAGGGACCAGAUUUGCUCUUGCAAAAAUUUUAGGGACCAAAACUACACAAUUAUGUUAUUAAUUAUAUUAUUAAAUAUAAAGAAUUGGAUUAUAACUAAAUUAUUAUAUUGUAUAUAUAUAUGUAUUAUAUAUGCAUCUAUGAAUUUAAAUAUAUACAUAUUUUCGUAUAUGGGGGAUGGGGUGGGUGUAUGUUACCCUGCCCCCCGCCCCGUUUUAAGGUAGGGGAAAAUUUUCUCCCCCAGCCCUGUCGCAUCCUCCUCCCUAUUUCUAUCCUCAUGGACACUUGCCCUUGUUGCCACCCUUAGCUUUAAGUACCCUUAUUUUUGAGUAAAUUAAACGUAACCUUCUAUGGUUCCACUAAUUGUCAUAUAACUACCAUAAUAUUUCAAAUAACCUCUAUAACAUCAUUAUUUCAAAUACUAAUAAUGUCCUUAUUUAAAUGAUAAAGCGAAUAAAUGUUUAACCACCUUGGAUAAAACCGCAAGAAAAUUAUGUGGAUAAACGUAAAAAAAUACAAUGAGGCAAAAUGCAUAUUUAUUUAAAUCAUAGAGGGUUAAUUGGAUUUUAUGAUUCCAUCACACAAGUUUUUGGGAGUGCAUUUGGUUUAAACACCUAACCAAUGGUGCAUUCCUUCCAUUUUCUACUUUACAUAAAAUUACAUGAAGGUUAUACAACUAUUAUGAAACUUUAGAGGUGUUAUGUGGCAUUGAAGAAAAUUAUAGGGGGAUUAUAUGUAAUUUAUUCUUUUUUUACAUGAAUUGUAGGUAUAUAAAUUAUUUUAAUGCUUUUUCGACAAAAUGAUAUAGAACUUUGGGGGGGGGGGGUUGGUCAAAUGAUGUUGUAAUCAAUAGAGAGAAAUUUGAGAAGGAAUAUGAGGGUCCAAAUCUUAUGUACUAGAAACUAGUUUCCUGAAUUUUAAAAAAGAAAGUUAAUUAGUGAUCCUCUCUUCAUAUUCUUUUUUUUUAAAUUUUUAACUCAAUAGAACUUAAAAUUUGCUAGCGCCAUACGUUAAUCAAACAAAUUGCAAAACCAAUCGUUCUUGAUUGCCCACAUGUUGUUAAACCUUAUCUCCAGCAUUCGUUCUUGAUUGCCCGCCUAAUUUACCUAGAUUUUGUCACCUUUAGAAGUGAAAAUAUAGUUUAUUAGUUUGAUUUUGACCUUUUACUAUUGACUAUUACUUUUAUUGAAAAAACUAAUAGUGAAAUUUUAACCUAAAUCAUGAGGAAGCUAUAUAUAGGUUUUUUUCAACCAUAUGAGAGUUAUGUGGUAAAGUACCAAAUCAUAGGGGAUAAAAUAUAAUUUACUUAACUUAAUAGGGAAAAUGUACUUUUCAUCCCCAUAUGAGAGUUAUGUGGUAAAGUACCAAACCAUAUGAGAGUUAUGUGGUAAAGUACCAAAUCAUAGGGGAUAAAAUGUAAUUUACUUAACUUAAUAGGGAAAAAUGCACUUUACAUCUCCAUUAUUUAGGAUGUUAGACAAUUUCAUUCCUAAAGUUUGAAUCAAAACACAUUUCAUCCUCAUAAUUUUAUAAUUUUGACCAAUUUCAUCCCUAAAAUUUCAUGCAAACACAUUUCAUCCUAAUAGUUUCAUAAAUUUGACUAAUUAAGGACAAUUGAUAGAUUGUCAAGUAAUUUGAAUGAAAUAUCAUCACAUGACCAUAGAGUACCGAAUAGUAAAGUACAAAAAAAAACACUGGAUCAACAAAAAAACUCAAAAAUUAUUUUAUAAUUCACUUUAUUAUUUAAAAAAUAAUAAAUUUUUAACCACUGUUACUCUCUUCUUAAUCACAAAUUGUACAAAAAGUUUGAGAGGAAAUGACGUCAUGGACAAGAAACAACCCUAUUAUAGCCAAUUGAAGAAAUUUUUCAAACAAUCCCAUUGCAACCAAUUGGAGAAAAAUAUUAACGUGAAAGAAAGAAUUUUUAGAUUGUCAUUUAUUAUGCAAAAUUUUGUUUUGUUGCAUCAUAUAUUUUGUUGGAGAAAAAUAUUAACGUGAAAGAAAGAAUUUUUAGAUUGUCAUUUAUUUUGCAAAUUUUUGUUUUGUUGCAUCAUAUACAUGUUUUUCAAAUUGUUUACCUAUCAUCUAAUCUAUUUUUUUUAUCUCACAUAUAUCAUAUCAUAAUUUUUUUUUAAAAAAAUCUCUUAUUUGAACACACUCAUUAUUAUUUAUGUAAUUUAAUAAAGGGUAAAUGUAACGACCCCACCUCCCCCUAAGGCGUACCAAAGGGUUCGGCGGACCGCCUGCCCAGCUCUCGCCAGGACUCACUCACUUACUACAUUCCACAAGUAAAUUACAAGGUACAACUCAAAUAAUACAUCCAAUUCUCCAAAAUUACAUAUCAUAAGCGAAGCGGAAACUAGUUCUAAGCAUAAAAUAUAGAUUUACAUCCGAUUCAAUUCCAAAUAUUUAUACAGCCCAAAAGUACAUAAACCAAAACCAAAACUAAACUAUACAAGAUGUACGCCAUCCAGCCACCCAAAGAUCCAAAUACAAGUUCUUCCUUUACCUCGAUCCCUGUGGGGAGAAGAAGAUAAUAGGGGGUGAGCUAGAAGCUCAGCGAGUGACCAGUAAAAUCAACAGCCAAGUAUAUUUCACAAUCAAGCAUUGAUAUGAUGUCAUGAUGCAGUAAUCAAAUGUUCAUUUAUUGCUCAUGUGAGCCAGUGAAAUUCUUGUGCUUAAAUAUCCAAUGCUCGUUUAGAUCAAGUAACCGUGAAACAGAAGUAAGGAGCCAUCGGGCUCCAAAGAAUGUGUAAACAAUAGUGGAGACAUUGGUUCUAAGCACAAGACUUUCCAGGAACUCAUUGGAGCCAAUUAUGUCAUGGCACACACCCGAACCCCAAAUGAUAUGCAAUGGAGUAAUAAAUGCAAGAAUUAGUUCAAAAGUAACUUUGGGGACAGUCGAGGGAUCACUCACUCAAACUAUAGUGCUUCACGUAGUCACGUUCAAUUAUACUCCAGGUUUGGAGUCCAGAUCUGCGAUAGAAAUCCAAUUUGAGAACUUUGAAACACGAGUAAGAUUUGAAACUUAAACGUUCCGUUCAUAAGAAUCAACCAAUUGAAAUUCAUUUGAAAGGCAUUCGUGAAACACUUGCUCGCUUUUCAAAUCAUAAGGUUUUUUUGUAGCAUAUAUACUUGGAAACAAUACUUGAGUUAAAAGUACAAGGAAAUACAAGUUUACAUUGGCCAUUAUAUCUUUUCCUCAAGAGUACAAGUUCGUUUAGGUUUUUAACGUAUAACCAUUGAUAACAAAGUAGCAAAAGUUCUCGCUAGUUCAAGUGGUAAUCACUUAACCUUCACUCAAGUUGCAAAUAUAGUUUUCUAGUUCUCGAGUAAAAAUUCGGCAGCAUGCCCUUUGUGUUUACCUAAUUUUCCAGCCAUUUAGGCUUCAUUAUUUUUCUCAACCAAAACCCAACAUCACAUAUAUCAGCAAUUCAUGACAAGAGCCGUUCCAUAGGCUCACAAUAUCAUAAUAAUAAGAUUCACAACGAUAGCAAGUGCAGAAAUUCAAUCUAGCACAAAACAGAUUUGACGUAUGAAAGCGGAAAUAACAUAUCCGAGGCUACGCUUAUCGGAUUGAGGUGCAACCUAUGCCGUUUCGAAGCUAAGACACAGGGCUACAAUGUUCAUGAAGGUCACUUAGUCCAGUUUCUAAUGUAACUUGGUCAAAUUCUCAAAAUACUAAACCAGAAACCAAUUCAUCGGCUGUUUAAACGCAGAACACUGUAAUGGUCAUAACUCAGUGUACACAAGUCCAAAUCAUGUGUUCUUAGAGGCAUUUUAAAGCUACUUCAGAACACUACAACUUUCAUGUUUUGGCCCAGAGCUAAAUCAGAAUGGAUCCUGGUCAAAAAUCGUGAUAAACUGGACCUAACUGCUGAAACGGACUGCUGGGAAAUACUUAAAACAGUAGGGGUAUUUUGGACUUUUCACGUCCUGCGUUGCUCCGAUUGAGCUGAAAUUUUGUAGGCACCUAUAAAAUGCCAUUCUCUACAACCUUUCUUCUUUGACCUAAGGCCAAAUCAGCCUCUAACACACAGAUAAAAAUUCGGACAGAAUGUGGAGAGAAUUUUCCAGAUUUUGGAAUUUUUGAGUUUCUAGUGAAUCUUUCCUUAAUUUCUUGGUCCAAUCACUACCAAAACACCAUAUAACACCUCAAUUGCAACAUAUAAACAUCAUACAAUCAUUUGGGCAGAAUUUCCACAAGCCCUAGUUCAUCAAAUAAAUUGGGGAAAACUACUAAAACAUGCUCAUCAUCCAUGAUCUCACCAUAAAAUCAAGUUACUAAGCUUAAUUAAACAAGAUUAGAAGUGAAACUUGGAGAGAUAAACUCUCUUACCUUGAAUAAAAGUCACCAAGAGUAGCACAAGCUCUCCCCUUCAAGAAUCACACCACAACUCACUAGCUAGUCACUAGAAAACAAGUUUAAUCGGUUUACUUCGCUCGAUUCCUCACUUAUUUGUUGGAUUUGGAGAUGAAAUGAAAGAUUUUCCCUUGGAGUUUCUCUUCUUGUUGUUCUCGGCCAGCAGCACCCAAAAUGAAGAAGAAAAAUGCUAAGUGUUGGAGUUAAAUGGUUGGGGUUAGUCUUGGGUAAGAAGCCAUGAGGUGGUGACAAGUGUCACCACCACCACCUUUCUUUUUUCUCUUUCCUUCUUGUUAUUUCUAGCCUCAUAAUUUCGGUCAAGGCUGCUACAAUAUAAGAAGAUAUUAUGUGCAAAAGUCAACAAACUUGUUGGGUAAGAAAAAUUGUGGUCAAGCAGUACGUUCAAUCGGUAAUGCGCGGGACCCGCCGGAUCGCGCCGUUUUUCUUAAAAACUCACGUACUAGGUUUUUCACUUCCCAUUCACAAACCUUAUAUCAUUGCCACUAGUCACAUCUUAUUUCUCACUUAAAAGUCACUUUUAAUCCCCAAAUUAAUUCUUACUUUGUACCGAAAAUUCAUUCGGCUAAAAAUCGCGAAAACCCUAAUUCCGCUCCAAACUUGAAACCGAAGCGUAAAACCCUAUUUUCUAGGUCUAUUUACACUUAGAGUGAAAUAUUUGGGUAGUGGCCUUUGAUAAAUAAUAAUUUUCAAAUAAAAGGGUAUUUUAGUACUUAUUGGGCCUUAUCGGAAAGCCUUAAAGAGUUGGCUCUUUAAGCUCUUUAUGCGGACCGAAUUUCUUCCAGAUUUAUUUGGGCCGGAUUCCUCACAAAACUCUAUUCACCAGAAAUUUUUCCUUUUCUUCUGCCUCGGGGCGUUACAGUAAAAUACAUAAAACCCCCAUGUGGUUAAGGAAAUUGAUACGAAACUUCCUCAUUAUUCAAAAACUCCCACAUAACCUCCUUGUGCUUUGGACUAAUUUGGAAAAUGGACGGAAAUCAUCCAAAUUGAUGGAAAGAUAUAAAUUUCCUAUAUUAACCCUAUUUACAAACUGAAUCAAAGUUUAACUCAAGUCUCAAUUAAAGUUUUAAAAACUUUCUUCCUUCAUUUGAAACAAAGGUAGAACUAAGGGGCUCAUUUGAAAUUUUAUAAGAUGUAUCAUCUUCUUCAAGGAAAUGUCAGAACGUUCUGGGCUUUGCGGUCAUUCCGGCUUCAUCCUACAUACCAUCUUCGAGCUUCCUAGCUUCGGAGCUAAGACGCCGCCAAAGAAACAGAGAUGGAUAUCUCGCGGCAUGCUCCUAGUUGCUCUUAGUAGAUAGCCAGGCUUUAUACUUCCCAACGACUUAUAUUGAUUCGUUCCCGGCCUUGAGAAAUGCCCCACCGUGCCUUAAGAAGGUCUGAUUCUUUGGCAGUUGAACAGGCAGGCGCCAGAUCCCGCCCAAGUGACAUAGAUUUAGCUAUUUUAGUGGGGUUCAUCCUUCUGUUUCCUCAAAUCAAGUUUACUCCGUCAAAUGGUUUGAUGCCCAAUUCUACUUUUUUUCUUGAAUUUGAAUCACUUCCUCUUUAUCGUCAUUCUUCUGUUUAACUGCGUUCUGGGCUUUGCGGUCAUUCCGGCUUCAUCCCACAUGCCAUCUUCGAGCUUCCUAGCUUCGGAGCUAAGACGGAGCCAGGGAACUCAACCCGUCCAUUGCCUUAUUUGAAGUGGAAUCAGCAGCAUAUUGGCAUCAAAGGCCUUCAUACCAUUCUCUUUGAAUGCUCUAGGCACUCAGCCUUUUAUACGGUGGAUCGGCUGAGGUCUAUCGGCCUCGCCUUGUUCACCAUCUUUGGAUUCCGGCACAGCAGCAUACUCGCUACUGUCUCUGCCGCCGAAUCAGAAUCGAUCUCUGAAGGAAUGGUACUUGUUGUUGUUGGCGUUGUUUUUCCCAAUCCCCUCUCCCUGGAGGGCCGCUAUUCUGCUUCUUUGCAUUCACGAUCAAUUGGUGUUACGUUGGGAUCAAUUGAUCGAGAACUUUUUGUCAAUUUUUGAGACUAUUAGAUUGAGAAUUUUUAUUGUUAUUUUGUGCUCUAUCUAAUUGGAAAAUUUUUGGUGUUAUUUUGGGAUCAUUGAGUGUUGAAAGAUUGGUGGUAGAGUUGCUGGUGAUUGGUGGUGAUGGUGGAGCUACUGGUGAUCAGUGGCGGUACUGAUGAUGAUUGGUGUUCACUGGAGUCGUUGACCAUUUUGGUGUUAUUGACCAGUUUGGUUGCGAGCAGGAAAGAAACGGAGAAGGAAAAUAAACAAAAAAAAAAUUGACAAAACACUGCAAAAUACUAAAUUGUCCUUGACAAUAUCACUUGAAACUCCCUUAAUAGACGAGCUUAUCUCAAACGCCGUUAAUUUGGAUGAUUUCCGUCCAUUUUCCAAAUUAGUCCAAAGCACAAGGAGGUUAUGUGGGAGUUUUUGAAUAAUGAGGAAGUUUCGUGUCAAUUUCCUUAACUACAGGGGGGUUUUAUGUAUUUUACCCUUUAAUAAAUAACCGAAUUAGGUAUUAACAAUACAAUUAUUAACGGGACAUGUUAGUCAUGUGAUGAUAUUCUGCUUAAAUUGGUUAAAAAUCAUUCAAUUGUCCUAAAUUGAUCAAAUUUAUGAAAAUAUGAGGAUGAAAUGUAUUUGCAUGAAAUUGAUUAAAAUUAUAAAAUUACAAGGAUAAAAUGUGUUUGGACUGAAAUUGUUCAACACCCCAAACAUUGGGGAUGGAAAGCGCAUUUUACCCUAACUGAAUAUUAGCUAGCCCUUACAUUGGUAGAGCAAAUGGGUCAGUGGUUGCUCUUGACCGCCAACAUACUUUUUUUUUUCAUUAAGUGUAAGCGGGAGAAUUCGAAUCCGAAACUUCUCGUUUACACUCCCUCCCCCCGUACCACCCAAUCCAACCCACCCCCACGUAGAUCAUCUACACUUUUGCUCCUAAUUGCCAGCAUAAACCAUAUCUUUUGAUUUUCCAAUAAAUACUGCAAAAGAAAAAAAGAAAAAAUGACGUGUCCUUGUAUACUACUAGAAGAUUAUUGAUUGUGCGCCCAGAUUUGUCUAGUUUAGGAAAAAAAAAUUAGAGUGAAUUGAAUCGAAUUCAAAUUUUGUGCUUAGUGAUAAUUCCUAAAAGAGAACGAAAUAUAGAUUUUGAGUGUAAAAAUAUUUUAAGAAAUAGUGAUACAUAUUGUAAGUUUAUUAGCACAAAGUAAUUAUAAUACUCAAUGAUGAAUGAUCAGCAGAUUUGGGAAGGAAAGAGCAGAUUGGGGGAUAUUUGAUCAACAUAUCCAACAUUCGCUACAUUUACCAAACAAACCAUAUUAAUAUAGGUUUACAUAUUAUCUCUUAUCAAAAUUUAAAAUUGAUCGUUUGCUAAAUAAAGAUUAAGACACAAAAAGAUAAAGAGUAAUACUAUACAGUACAUUAACAAAAUCAAGCAUUAUACACAAUACAUACAAUAAAUAAGGAGGUAAGACACAGAAGAUGAUUAACUUCUCUCACCGUCACGGAUGUCGAAGGGGAAAAAAUUUACUAAUAAAAAAUAAAAAACAAAAGCAGUUUUGUCCACAACAGAGAGGGUGCAAACCAGAGAAAGGGGAAUGAUUUAUGUUUUCUUCUUCUUCUUCCCCCAUAGCUGGCGCUCUCUCCAUUCCCCAUCAUCUGUAUAGCAACCAAUGACAAUUUCAGGAAUGUGUGCGAUUCUUCUGUAAUCUUCACUUUCUUCCUUCUGAUUCUCUACCUUUUCUAUCAUUUCAGAACUCAUCUCAUACAAAUACAGCCCUUGAAGAUGGCUCAAGUGCUGAAUACCCAAAGGUAACUCAUCUAGUAAUGGAAGUUGUUCCAGAAUGAGUUCAUGGAGACGAGGCAAUGCACCCUCCUCCACUCUCAUCCAUCUCAACCCUUCCAUUCUCUUUAGGUGCAACUUCUUCAGAUUGAGGAACCCUCCAGCUUGGAAACACAACCCUUCUCCCUGGUAAGAUCCACAGAAAUUAAUUUUACCCAAAUUCGGCAAAUGUCGGAGGGAUUCAAGCGUAUCCUCAUCACCCCUUAACCUGCUCCAAUUCAAAUCUAUUCUUACCAAGCCGUGAAGAUGAGCUACCCAUUGUGGCAUCUUUUCUAAGCGGCUACACAAAAUCAGCAGAUGAAGAGAUUGAAGAAAAGAAGAAGAAGAAAAGGAAGAAGGAUGAUGAUGAUUUAGAUCGAUUAUCUCAUGAUCAUGAUCACCUUCUCCAAUUGAUUCAAUGCUUAAUCUAUGGAGACUGGUGAGGUUGGCAAGGGAGGAGCAGAGCUCCUUUCCAUCUUCUCUUCUUAACUUUGUAAUACCUAAUUCUCUUAAUUGGGUCAGCUUUCCUAUCUCCUUGACUACUGCAGAUCCACUACCAGCAUCUAUGUUAUCCAAUAUUUCUAGGGCAAGAAGCGCUCCCAUAUUCGAGGGAGCUUUAAAUCCAUGAAAUCCAUAAUCAUCAUCGGAAGAAUCAACUUGUUGAUAUACUUUGAGAACCCGAAAUUUUUGCAGCUUUAGGAUUUCCAUGGGUAAUUCCCUAACUCUUGUGUCAGCCAAAUUCAGAUACUCCAAAUGUUGAAGCUUGCCAAUGGCUUUCGGGACUCUCUCCACUCUCGUACCCCCUAGGUGUAGAUACUUGAGAUGAAACAUCUUGAAAAUCUCAUUUGGUAUUUCCUCCUGGGUCUCUUGACCACCCAAAUCCAAAACCUUUAACAGCUUACUACUCCUUAAAACAUCAGAUAACAACAGUUUGAAUAGUAGCGGGCUCAUGGAUCCAAAUGUAACGAACGACUGAAGGUGGUCAAAGCAGUAGCUUCUUCUUUGUUGGUGGUCCUCCUGGGUGUUGUUACUACUACUAGUAUGGAGUACUAGACGGCGUACCUUGUCGGACGGCCGCAUCAUUGGUUGUCCAGUAGUAAUUGUGACCAUGUUUUGUUCCCUUGACUUGAGAACAAUAACUUCUCUCAACAGGUCAUGGAUUCGACAAUUGUCGGGUAAUCCUUCAUAAUACACCUUAGUCACUUGAAUUAGGCUUCGAUUGACGAGUUCACUAAGACAACCCCAGGCUACAUCUUCAAUACUCAUUCCUUCUCUCCAUUCUACGAACCUUUCAGCAAUCCACAAAUUAAUGAGUCUAUAGCAUUGUAUUUCGUAAUCCUUUGGGAAGAUACUUGUGUACAACAGACACGUCUUUAAAUGCCCAGGCAAAUCAUUAUAACUGAGAGAAAGUAUCCUUUUAACUCUGUCCAGCUUACCAGUGCCUUCUAAUUCACCCCCAAGACUGCGUUGAACCAUCUCCCAUUCCUCUAUUCUGUUUACAUCUUUCAAAGCCAAAAACCCACUGAUUGCAAGAAUUGCAAGGGGCAAGCCCUCACAUUUUUCCAGUAUACCUUUGGCAACAUCCGUCAAAUGGCCAGGGCAACUAUUUCCCUUAAAGAUCUUGUUACAAAACAGGGUCCACGAAUCUUCAAAGGACAGUGGCUCCAUUCUGUGGAUGUAGCCUAGAGAUUCUGUACAAGAGGCAAAGGCUACAUCAACUUUUCGAGUUGUUAGCAUGACACGGUUGCCGUGGCUGCUCUUGGGCAGCGCAAAUUUGAUGGUAUUCCAAAAUUCCACGUCCCAUACAUCAUCAAAAACAAUUGCAUACCUUCCAGCUUGUUGAAGAAAAUCUUUGACAAAUUCUUUCAGCUCGGUGAUAUUCAAAGACUCGAUCGAUUGUGGGACUGGUUUCCUCCCUUCCUUGUGCAAGUGCCGAAUCAAGUCUUUCAGGAGGUACUGAAAGUCACAUGUUUGAGAGACAGUUACCCAAGCACGAGCUGGGAAAUGCCUUCUGACUUCAAGAUCCUCAUGGACUUUUUUCACUAGGGUAGUUUUUCCAAGUCCUCCCAUACCAACCACUGAAACAACUUUUAGUUGGUAAUCAUCCCCUUGGAGGAGCUGAGAAAUUAGAUGUUUCUUGGGCUGGUCAAUGCCAACUAAUUUAGCUUCUUCCACAAGCAGUGCGUCAUCUCUGCUAUAGCGCCAGGUUGUGUUGUUCACAGCAGAAAGUGAGUUGGUCACUUGGGCACAGAUACCAUAUUCGGAUUGGUAUCUUUGAUGACCUUCAGAAAUACUUUCGAUUCUGGACUUGAUGCUUUGUAUUUCGCUGGCAACUCGAUGACGAGCUCUCAAAUUCUUGAUGGAGCUGAAAAUUCUCCGAACAGAGCCGUAGAAUCCUGUUGUGCGAUGCCGGGCAAAGCGAGCUACAAAUUCAUCAAGAAUGUCUUCAGUGUCAUAAGCUGCUUCUAGCACUUGCUUGAUCCAUUCUUGGAGCUGUUGAAUUCAAAGUCUUGAAUUCUUCAAGCCUUAAUUGUUGACUUUUCUAAGGCCAACAAUUGUUGAAUUUGGUGGCCUAAUAUCUGUCCUACAUCGGUGGGAUUAUUGGAAGAACCUUAGCUUGAGAGCUAUAAAUAGCUCUCAAGUCCUUCCAAUUAAAUUGUACCAAGAACAACAAAGAAUUACCCAUAAGGAUUUUGUAAUUCUUUGUAUUCUUUCUUCUCUCCUAAAUUAUAAAAGCAGGUCACUUGAGUGGUGCUCGGAGAGUAGGCAAAAUUGGCCGAACUCCAUUAUCAAUUUUUCGGGUGCGUUCUUUCCUUAUCUCUUUUAUUUGUUCCGCAUUAUUUAUUAGUCUCUUUUCUAUUGUAGUAUAGUAUUCAAUAUAUUUGUCGGGUAUAUUUGUAGUGUUUUAUACGGUUCAUUUGGGUGUAUUUUUCUUAUUCGUGUGUACGUAUUAUUUAUGUAUACACGGGUAUAGUUGUGAUAAUACACCGUGCACGUAAGUUCUGUCUAGGAGACUGGGUUUUAAGUGGGACCGCUUGUGACCCCUCCAGCCUUUCCUGGAAAUUUACUUGGAAUGGUAAUUCUGUCUUAGGAGAUUGUUUCGACGAUCUUUCCUGAGAAUUACUGAAUCGGUUUAAUCACUAGUUGUAUUUUUGAGUGGGAAAUUACCCGAUUUCCCCAACAAGCCUGGGUUGAGCAUCUUCUUCUUUUGCUUCUGCCUCUCUCAGGAAAGCUCUCAUGUGCCCCAACUCAUCCAUGAUGAAUUGCACCUCUUGCCGAAGCCCUCCCAAUAGUCGUCCCUCCUCGCGCAGAAAAGUUGAGAGUUGACGCAGCACAAAAGAGAGAACUGUUUCUGCCAUUUUCAGUCUUUCUUUCUAACUUAAGAAUGUUGGGGAAGGCGGCUUCUGGUUUAUAGGACAGUCCACUUCUUGUAUCUUGAAAGGAAGAAGGAAGAGUAGGUUAUAGAUUCAUAAGCUGAUGAACUUUGAUACUAUAUGGUGCAGUAUACAUCACAAACAAAAACCGCGUCAAACAGAAAAAGAAAGAAUUAACCAAUUAGAAGAAACUAAAGCAAGAAACAGGAUGGAAAUUGAAGACAAGAAGAUAGGCAGCAAGGUGAGUUUGAAAGACGAAGCUGCCUUACCUGCUUACAAUACAAAAUCGUUGAAGCUAUUAAGAAGAUCAGCCUUCAGCUUCAGGACCUUCUUUCAACUGUGGGUCCUUCGGUAGGAUAAAGAUGAAGAGUGACUACCGCAGCAUCGUGCAAAGGCAAUGAUGUCGAAUUAUUUAACAAGGGAAGGAAUAAAGCAAUGGUGUCUGACCAAGUUUUCGGUAUGGACAUGAACGCGUUUUUUAUGUAGUUAAUAAAGAGGAGAGAGCACAAGAGAAUGAGAUCUACUUUAAAUAAAGAAAACCCCAAAAUGAAAAUGACAGUUCUGACUGAAAUGGAAGCCAGCUAUGAGUUUUCCCGGAACAUGUGAUGCAGAGGAAGGAGUUGAACAGAAAAGGCAACUCAAGACCUAAGUUCAAUUGACUAGCAAUAGCAAUAACUUACAGUUAAAGUGCAAUUGUUCAAUCAUAUCUUCAUUUUUGGUGAAGAAUGGGAAGGUGGAUACAUAGGUGAGAGCCAAAAACCCCAUUUUGGAAACCGGAAAUAAAUUACUUUAGUCAUUCAAUAAGAAGUAGGUCUAGAAUUACAAGAGAACUAUCUAAAUACUGCAUAUCAUUUCUUUUUUUUUUUUCCCCCUUUGAUUAUACUCAGUUUUUCUUUUGGCAAAACCCCAAGUUGGGGGAGGGAACUCAGUUAUAUAAACAUAGUUAUACAUAUUUUAAAAUUCAUAGUAAAAGUUCACAUGAAGUGUACAAAUUCACUCAAAACUAUGGGUUAUAAAAACAAACAUUAAAUGUGCAUUUUCAUAUUCUUUCAUGAGUAUACGUGAUUUUUUUAAUUUGAAUCACUGAUUUUGCGCACAUAAUCUUAAUUUUAUUAGUCUGUGAACAUUAGGUGGUUGGCCUGUCCUUCCGCUCUCACGAUGUGCUGAUAAAAAGAUGAAUAUGCUGUGACUGAUGAUGUUUCAACUACACCUCUCUCAGUUUGUGUUUUCUAAUUUUAAAAAUUUUUAAUUGAUAUAUCAAGUAAAGAUUUUCUUUUUCCUUUUUUUCCCCUGGCUUUCUAGACAAGGUUGAAUGUGAAGAAAGAAGUGAGAAUGAAAAUAUUGGAGAUGGAUAAAAUUAAAUGCUCAGCAUAAGACAAUUGAGGUAACGUUUAAGUGUUUAACUACUGAGCCAAAUCUCAUCACCACCAUCUUAUCAUGUCUAAUUAGUCUUUUAGUUCCUUGUAAUGUUAAAAAAAAAAAAAUGGAACCAAAUGGGAGCAUGGAAUCUGUCCUUUUGCAGGAAUAAUUAAUUUGUGGGAAAAUCUUGCUGCAUAUCUGCAUGUACUAAAUAAAUAUUGACUAUAGUAAGCGAGAGUGUAUCCUUGUAAAGAAGAUUUUUAUGUAGGGAUACGAAAAAAGAGAAAUUUGAAACAUGUGGUUGGAUUGGUUUUUCCUGAGUUUAAAGAGUCAUAGGCUAAAAAAGUAGUAGUAAUUCAAUUCUUUUUUCAAAUCCUAGUUCAAAGCCAUAAUUAACUAUUGUACAGUCAUAAUUUGGAAUCAAAUGUGAUCAGGUGCAUUAUUCGAGCUACUGUACGUAUGUGAAACAAAAGAAGAAAUAAAGUCACAAAGUUUUCCUAGUGAUCAAUAGUACGUACUACUGCUUCCUAGAAACAACAUAAGAAAGGAGAUAGAGAGAGACACUAUCGAUAUAUAAAGUUCUGUCAAUAUUUGUCAUUUAUAUAUAUAUAUUUUUACUAUAGAUGAAUUGUUAAAGCCAUGUGGGAAAAUUAAGAAUGGAAUUACACUAAUGUGUUUCAUUCCAAAGCUAAUUGUAUUGUCAGAAAUUAAAUAAUUCUAUUUCAUAAUUUAAAAUAAAAUUUGAUGCAAUAAAAAUUCUUUUUUUGAAUAUGAGACCUUGAUUAUGACAAUACAUGAAUACCCUCAAUGAUAUUAGAAAGUGCAUUCAAAUUUAGGGACUGACAUAGUCCUAAUUAUUUUGUAAGAAGAGUAAUCUUGAAAAGAAAUAACUUAACACUCAACCAUCAAUACAAGCUCACUCUUUUAGCAAAGACUAGUUGGGACGGCCUGCGCGUUGCGCAGGAGGGCGAAUAUUUCCCGUGUUAAGUUGCACAAGUUUUAGUUAUUGUAUAUUUGUUGUAGUAUAGAGAAUUAUAUAGGUGGUAUAAGUUUGGCUUGAAUUAUAAAAUAAUAGUGCGGUAAAUUGGUUGGGUGAAUAUAGUGUUAAUAGUUUGUGAAGUAUGAAGGAUAUUUUGUAAUAUAAUGGUUAAUAAAGUACUAUAAUUGAGACAAUGCAGUGUCAACAUUUUGUGUGGUAUGAUUUGUAUAAAUUAUGUGGUUUGGGUGAGAUAAUUAUAAAGAUACCCAUUUAUAUUUAUGUAUAUCUCUAUUACUCACUAAGUUCCAUAAAUAUGGGCCUAUUUCUUUUUUUUUUUGCACAAAUUAAAACAUUUAAUCAAUAUAAUCACAAGAAUUGCUUUUCUUUCAUUUUUUUGUAUAAUGUCACUCACUAAUAUUAGAUCAUUAAUCCACAUUAAGAGCCAUGUAUUAUUACAUUGUUUUUGAAAUUUACAAUACUUUAAUUUUUUUAAUGUAAGAAACAAUGUAAUUAAUGUUGCAUGUUUGACUAAAAGAAUAAUAAAAAAAUAGCAUACAACAUUGCUUUUCAAUUUAGAGUAAUUUAGAGCCAUUAGGAAAAAUGAAUAUAUACACAUUAAAUUUAGAGCCAUUAGGAAACAUUUUACAAUAAUUAUAUAUAUACAUUAAAUAUGGAUAUUUAUCUAACAAUAUAAAAGCGAGAGUUGCCCCAUGAACAAUAUUUUUUUGUCAAGCGGUUAUCCUGCAAUUGUUAUUGGAUGCCCGGACUAUUAGUAAAUAACAUAUUAAUUAUUCUUUUCUAUAGAACGAAAAAUAAGAAUAAAAACAAGGGCAUUAAAAAUUUGUAAUAAUUAUAUAGAGUAAUACGGAUAUAUAGACUAAUAUAUCUUUAUAAUUGUAUGUUUUAAAAAAUAGUAGGAUUAGAAACCAUUUUUAGUCCAUGACACCUUAACCGAUUUUGGUUAAUUGUGAUAACAAUGUUGGACGUCAUUUUUUUUUUUUUACUGCUGUUCAACUUUUGGGAAUCAUUCAGUCAAAAGCUACUACUGAACAUGCUAAACAAUCACUGUAUUCAACAAUUUUACAGAGCACUAUUUUAUUUCUUUUUUUGCAAUAUAUGCAUUCAUUUUUUUCCAAACAAUUUUUAUUUCAUGUCGUACUAAUAAAAUCUAUUUUUUAAAGUCAUUAAAGCCAAUAAUAAUUUAUUAAUUAUUUCCUCAAUAAUUGUGUAAUUACAGAACACUCAACAUUAAUUAGAUUGUUUCUUACAUUAAAAAAAUAAAGUACUGUAAAUUUCAAAAAUAAUGUAAUAAUACAUGGCUCUUAAUGUUGAUUAAUGAUCUAAUAUUAUUGAGCGGCAUUUUACAAAAAUAUGAAAGAAAAAUAAUUGUUGUGAUUCUAUUGAUUAAAUGUUUUAAUCUGUGCAAAAAAAAAAGAAGGAAAAAACCAACAAAUACAGUGAUUAUCAAGAAUAAGAAACAGAUAGAAAUGCGUGAAACCUCAGAAUAAAAUUAGAAAAAAUAUAUUAAUCCAACUUGAUUAUCAAUUUUUAUUUUUAGCCCAGAUUAUUUGUAUGAUUCUUGAGCUUUAUCUGACUGAAUUAGAGAAAAUCUAUACAAGUUCAGAAGCUUAACUGCUGCGACCCUUUAUUGCUCUUCGUAUAGAUACAUAGAAAGUUAUGCCUUUGCCUUUCUUUUUUUUCGUUAUUAUGCUUUGGUUUUCAGCUGAGAUUUCAUCACCGUAGCAUUUGACCAGAAGGAUGACUGGAGGCUUCUCAAUGACCAAAAGACCAAAACGCCCCUCAAAGUCACAAAAAUAGCAACAUAACCGCUUGACCAAAAUUCACUAUUCAUUUGGCAACUCUCUCUUUUAUUAUAUAACUAGUUGGGAUGGCCUGCGCGUUGCGCAGGAGGGCGAAUAUUUCCCGUGUUAAGUUGCACAAUUUUUAGUUAUUGUAUAUUUGUUGUAGUGUAGAGAAUUAUAUAGGUGGUAUAAGUUUGGCUUGAAUUAGUUCAGAUAAUAUAGUGUUGAUAUUUUGUAUGAUAUGAUUAGUAUAGAUUAUGUGGUGUGGGUUAAGUAGUUGAACUCACUAAGUUCCAUAAAUAUGGGCCUAUUUCCUUUUUUUUUUGCAAAAAUUAAAACAUUUCAUUAAUAUAAUCACAAGAAUUAUUUUUCUUUCAUAUUUUUGUAUAAUGUCGCUCACUAAUAUUAGAUCAUUAAUCCACAUUAAGAGCCAUGUAUUAUACAUUGUUUUUGAAAUUUACAAACUUUAAUUUUUUUAAUGUAAGAAACAAUGUAAUUAAUGUUGCAUGUUUGACUAAAAGAAUAAUGAAAAAAUAGCAUACAACAUUGCUUUUCAAUUUAGAGUAAUUUAGAGCCAUUAGGAAAAAUGAAUAUGUACACAUUAAAUUUAGAGCCAUUAGGAAACAUUUUAUAAUAAUUAUAUAUAUACAUUAAAUAUGGAUAUUUAUCUAACAAUAUAAAAGUGAGAGUUGCCCCAUGAACAAUAUUUUUUUGUCAAGCAGUUAUCCUACAAUUGUUAUUGGAUGCCCGAGCUAUUAGUAAAUAACAUACUAAUUAUUCUUUUUUAUAGAACAAAAAAUAAGAAUAAAAACAAGGGCAUUAAAAAUUUGUAAUAAUUAUAUAGAGUAAUAUGGAUAUAUAGACUAAUACAUUUUUAUAAUUGUAUGUUUUAAAAAGUAGUAGGAUUAGAAAUCAUUUUUAGUCCAUGACACCUUAACCGAUUUUGGUUAAUUGUGAUAACAAUGUUGGACAUCUUUUCUUUUUUUUUUUUUUUUACUGCUGUUCAACUUUUGGGAAUCAUUCAGUCAAAAGCUACAACUGAACAUGCUAAACAAUUACUGCAUUCAACAAUUUUACAGAGCACUAUUUUAUUUCAUUUUUUUUUUUGCAAUAUAUGCAUUCAUUUUUUUCCAAAUAAUUUUAUUUCAUGUCGUAGUAAUAAAAUCCAUUUUUUAAAGUCACUAAAGCCAAUAAUAAUUUAUUAAUUAUUUCCUCAAUAAUUGUGUAUUUACAAAACACUCAAUAUUAUUUAGAUUGUUUCUUACAUUAAAAAAAUUAAAGUAGUGUAAAUUUCAAAAACAAUGUAAUAAUACAUGGCUCUUAAUGUAGAUUAAUGAUCUAAUAUUAGUAAGCAGCAUUUACAAAAAUAUGAAAGAAAAAUAAUUAUUGUGAUUAUAUUGAUUAAAUAUUUUAAUUUGUGCAAAAAAAAAAAGGAAAAAACCAACAAAUACAAAAGCCAACAAAUUUGCCCUCAAAGUUGCCCAAAAUUAUCUUAUAAGCGCUUGACAAAAAAUUCACUAUUCAUAAGCCAACUCCCUCCGAAAAAUAAUUGUUGUGAUUAUAUUGAUUAAAUGUUUAAAUUUGUGCAAAAAAAAAAGGGAAAAAGCCAACAAAAGCAAACAAAUACAAGAGCCAACAAAUUUGCCCUCAAAAUUGCCCAAAAUUACGCUAUAACCGCUUGACCAAAAAGCACUAUUCAUCCUCCAACUCCCGCUUUUAUUAUAUAGAUAUUGAUUAAAUGUUUAAAUUUGUGCAAAAAAAAAAAAGGAAAAAGCCAACAAAAGCAAACAAAUACAAGAGCCAACAAAUUUGCCCUCAAAGUUGCCCAAAAUUACGUUAUAACCGCUUGACCAAAAUUGCACUGUUCAUCCUCCAACUCCCGCUUUUAUUAUAUAGACUAGUGAGACGGCCUGCGCGUUGCGCAGGAGGACUAAUAUUUCCCGUGUUAAUUGUUUUUUGUUGUAUGAGUUUAUUAGUAUAUAUCUCUGUUAUUAUUUAAUUCAUGCGGAUCAUUAGGGAAUUAUAAUUUUUGUUAAAAGUUAACUAUUAUGAAAUAUAUAGAAUGCAUGAGACCAAUAAUAUAUAGAAUGCAUAAGGAUAAAUUAGAAAAUUGUAUAAGGUUAUUUUACAUUUGGAUCAGGAUAAUUAGAAAAUUGUAAAGUGAAUCAUUUCCAAAGAGUAUUAAUCAUUAUUGACACAAAAAAUAGGGGAUCUUGAAAAUCAAUUAAACACUUGAACCAUAGAACUUGACACUGCUAAAAAUUAAUCACCACAUGUCACAAUAAUAAAACCCAUUUUUUAAAGUUACUAAAGCCAACAAUAGUUUAUUAAUUGUUUCCUCAAUAAUUGUGCAUUUAUAGAACACUUAACAAAUUUAUUCUAUGUUAACCCAACAAUAAUUUAUUAAUUGUUUCCUCAAUAAUUGUGCAUUUACAGAACAUGUAUCAAUUUUAUUUCAUGUCACAGUAAUAAAAGCCAUUUUUAAAGUCACUAAAGCCAACAACAAUUUAUCAAUUAUUCCCUUGGUAAUUUUGCAUUUCCAGAACACUUCAAAAGCAAAUAAUUAACCACAAAAAAUCAACUUUCAUAGGUUUCACUUUUUAUACCACCAAUUAUGAAUUCAGUCAACAUGUCCAAUAAAUACAUCAAAACUAUAGCAGCUGUUAAAAAACAAACAAAUAAUUGAUGAAAAUAGCCCUAACAUCCAAUAACAAUUGCAGGAUAACCGCUUGACAAAAAAAACCACUGUGCAUAGGGCAACUUUUCCUUUAUAUUGUUAGAUAUGUAUAUCUCUAUUACUCACUAAUUUCAAUAAAUAUAGGCCUAUUUCUUUUUCCAUUAAUAUUAGAUCAUUAAUCCACAGUAAAAGACGUGUAUUAUUACAUUAUUUUUCAAAUUUCGAGUACUUUAAUUUUCAAAUGUAAGAAAUAGUCUAAUUAAUGUUACAUGUUUAAAUAAAUAAUAUAAAAAGAUCAGCACACAAUAUCGCUUUUCAAUUUACAGCAAUUUAGAGCCAUUAGAGAAAACAAAUAUGUUAAAAAAUUUUAUAAUAAUUAUAUAUACACUAAACAUGGAUAUAUUAGUAAAAUAACAAACUAAUUAUUCUUUUAAAAAGGAAAUAGACUCAUAAUGUAGCACACAUAGAAGACAAAAGUAAGCUCAUGUUUAUAGAAUAUAUAUAUAUAUAUAGAAUGAAAAGUAUAAUAAUAAAAAUAAGGGAAUUAAAAUUUUUCCAAUAAUUAUAUAAACUAAAUAUGUAUAUAUAGACUAAUAUAUAUCCUUCUAAUUGUAUGUUUGAAAAAGCUAUAGAAUUAGAAACCAUUUUUAGUUGAAACGUAUAUGGCAUCUUAACCAAUUUUGCUUACUUAUAUGACGAUAAUGUUGGACUUGUUUUUUUUUCCCUCUAGCUCAAGAAUUACAGCAUAAUCGCUUGACCAAAAUGGAGCUAUUCAUUAUCCAAUUCUCCCUUUUAUAUAUUUAGAUUAGAUAUAUAUAUAUUGGAGAGCCUGAUAGAGAUUUUCUUCUUUUUUUUUUCUUUUUUUUAUGGUUUUCUUGGUGAGGCGGCCCGGGGUGGGUUGUAUUGGAGAAGAUAAAAGGGCAUAUGGCAGAGCUCUAAAACAAGGCCUGCAGCAUUACUUACAAUAGAGAGCGUACAGGUACAGCUCUCUUUUGUGAGUCCUAGCCCGUGUAGCCCACAUAGCACAAUAAUACAGCUAACAAGCCUCAGUCACAGCCAGACCUUUUUAUUGCCACUGGCCAUUUGGUCUAGUGGUCAUCACCAUUAAAGGUGAUGCUGGAGGUCAGGGGUUCAAUCCCUGCCUCCCACAAAUUUGUCACAAUUUGUGGCGGUCUUAAUUGACCUUCAUCGAUGGAGUCUGUACUCACAUCGAACCCCCUCCCUUUCCCCUUAGACUAGGCUAGAUUAGGUUAUAGGACAUCUAUCGUUUCGAUAAAAAAAAAAACAGCCAGACCUUUUUAUUGAAAUAUAAUGCCAAGAGCCAUCUUAAUAAUUGUUAAUGUCUUUUUCCAGCAAAAGAGAAUCAAUGAAAUAGCCAGCUUAACCGAUUCUUCCUAAAGCCAGAGCCAGCCACAUGACAAAAGACCAAAAUGCCGCUUGACAAUUGCCCUCAAAGUUGCCCAAAAUUACGUGAUAACCGCUUGACCAAAAUUGCACUGUUCAUUAUCCAACUCCCGUUUUUAUAUAGUUAGAUAUAGAUAUAUAUUAGAUACAGAUAUUAAUAAAAGUCAAGAUAUAUUGAUGAAUCUUUGUAAUUAAUAAUGAACACGAUGUUGACAAAAAAAAGUCAAUGGCAGUAGGCAGAAAAGCAGGCAUCAAUGUGCACCAUGUUGAAGGUAACCAUGGUAUAGAUAUAGAUAUUUGUAAUUAACAAGGUAUACCGUGUUGAUCAAUAAAAGUCAACGGCGGGUAAUCACAGAGGAGCUAGAAACCAAAAUGAAAUGAAGGAGAUCAGUAAAUUAAUCACAAGAUGCCCUGAACUUAUAAGGAAGACAAUUAGUGCAAUAAUACACCAUAUUUUAUAGAUGGGAAUCUGCAAGUGGUGGAGUCGGGUAAGAAAAAUUAAGACUCUGCUGAUGCAAUUGUUGGGCUCCAAGCUUCAAAAUAAUGCACUGAUGAGAAUAAUGAGUUGGAGCCAGCAAAAUGAAUUCGAUCAUUUGCAGUAUGAUUAUUGUGGUUAUUUAUUAGUGUGAACACGCGUGAUUGGAAUGAGCAUUUGUUUAUUUAUGCAGAAAAAGUGAUAUUGUUAACGUUAUUUUUUCUAAAUAGCAGCUCGCACAACUAAUUCUAAUGCUUCGCCCAAAUUAAAAAAUAGCUUUUCACUAUUUUAGCAUAGAUAUAGAUAUAGAUACUUGCAAUGCUUUUUCGGCUAAAAUGAGGUUGUACUUUAUUACUCUUAUUAUUAUGUUUUUCUUUUGGUCAAAUGAUGUCGUACUCAAAUAGAGAGGAAUUUGCCAAGGAAUAUAAGGGUUUGAAGAAGCACGGGACUUCCCCUGACCGAGCUGACCUGGUGAGCUCGGUGUGCCGAUGGAAGAGCUGGUCCCAAUCCUGCAAAACAAACAAGGGUAAACUAGCAGUGGGGGCCCGAGGGUUGUCCCCGAGGGCGCUCCGACGGUCAAAUUAGUUCCUGGCCGGCGGACGGAGCGGUUUUUGAUAAUGUAUUGUACGAGCAAUCUGCUAAUAGCGAGCGUCCCUUGCACAGUUGGUAUGUGCUACCAUUUAUACCCGCUUAGGAGUCCGACCUCCGUACGUUUCGGGACUUGCCCUGAAUAGCUCCCAAUCCCGUUCCUGGGGGGAUCCUCCCGCCCUCUGCGGGGCAGCUCUUGGGAGCAUCCCGGAGCCCUAAUGGCCGAGCCCUCUUGGACUGGUUCCCAGUGGGCCCAAGGCGCGAGCCCAGCUCGGAUUGCCCCUGGGCUGACACGUGUACGGGCCCAGGAUGGGGCCUCUGCACUAGCCCCCUAGAUUAGGUCAGGCUCCCGGGCAGACCUGGUCUAUCCCCUAGCCACGUGGAAGCCCAUCAUUACACUGCUCUGCCGCGGUCACCUCCAGCACAGGGCUGUUAUUGGGAAGCGUCGCCCGCGUACUUUCAAUGGUCGCGUCCCUUCGGUUUCCGUACCUCCCUUAAGUGCGUUCACAUGGGGCGGUUCAAAUUCAAGCAAACCGUUUCCCCCCAUUUCGUCCCCUAUAAAUAGUGGCUGCCAAAAUCCGGUAAACUCUAUUUGCCAUUUUCUCUUUCCCCAUGCGUUUACAACUUCAGUAGUGCAUUUCCGGCCAACCAGGACCCAGAUUCCGGCGACCCUUCCCCCCCUUUUCUACUCCAGUCAUCAGUAAGUGUUUCCCCCUCCUUUCUCGCAUUUUCUUUCUUCCUCUUGCCGUCCUCUGCGUUUGUAUGUCGGGCCUCUCCGACGUGACUUCCUCCAACUCCCAGACUCCCCCCCGCCGUAAAGCCACCAGGAUCUUCAUUUCCUCCUCAUCUCCAUCUUCAUCAUCUCCCUUUCCUCCUCCUUCUUCAUCUUCUGCUUCCAACCCUAACUUUCCCCUUCCCGACUUGCUCGAGCUCAUCGACAUCAUGAGUUCCCCAUCUGCCCACUCCCCUUCUGCCCGGCUCCUGGAGGAGGUGGCCGAGCUUGACGCCCUCAUCAGGCGGCAAGCCGUCUCCACCCCUCCUCCCCAGUCCCCUAACGAUUCCCCCGGCGGAGCCCGGGGUGGAGCUGGGGAGGACCGGGGCUCCUCUGGGGGGAUCCCCGCUUCCGAGCAGGGGGAGGACCCCGAGUUCUCCUACGGGCAUCCUGACCUGCAGGAGGCCACCCUAUCGCCCCAGGCUGUGGCCGAGCUGGCCAAGUCUUAUUCCAUCCCUCCGGCCUACGAGCCGAGGGCGGCCGGGCCCGGCGAUUGGGCCUGCAGACCUCCCUCCGGCUUCGUUGCCAUCUACAGGGAGCAGCUCAUCGCAGGGUUUCGUCUCCCCAUUCCUUCAGCUCUAACCGAGAUUCUGAGCUACUGGGGGCUCAGAAUCACUCAAGUCCACCCCACCUCCAUCAGGAUCAUUACCGGAUUCCUGAUCUACUGCCUGCUCCGCGAUAUCCCCUACUCCCUUUCCCUCUUCCGGGCUGCCUUCAUACUUAAGGCCGCCCUACCCGGGUGGUACUACUUCUCCCGCCGCGGUCCCCAAACCCGGGGAGGGAAAGGCGCCCAAAAGCUAUUCCACGGGGUCCCUUCUUCCGUAAAAAGUUGGAAGGAAGACUUCUUCUUUGUUAAGUCCACCCAUUUUCCCCCCAACGUGUGGAAGGUUGGAAAAGUCCAAGCCGAUUCCUUCCCGGAGGACCUGGACUAUGAAACCCUCAGCCAGCUGUCGGAAUCCCUGGUGAAGCUUGACGCCACCAAGUUCUCUACAGCACAGAUCUCCGCGGCCGGGCUGAUGGGGACGUUGUCUGAAUCCUCCGGGGAGGUGGUGACCCCCGAGCCCAACCUCGACACCUGUAACGCCAACUUUGCCCUUUUUGCCUGUUGUAUCCACAGCAUGUCGUAAUGCUAUAGGCUGUCCGGCCUUUUACUGACUUAGCCGUGUUUUCUGCAGUGAGGAAGCUCUCCCUGCUGCUGGGCCUGCCUGCCGAGGAGGACACCCCCGCUUCCCAUCCAGACGAGGAAGCCCCCGGGGCGCCUCCGACCUCGGGGGGAGGCCAAGCCCCCCAGACACAAACGCAAGACACCUCCUCCCCCUCCAAGAAGGCCGCCAACAACAAGAAAAAGGCGACCGGGCAGAAGAGGGGUCGAGCCGACGAGCCCUCCCAGCCCGGGAAGAAGCUCGCGCUGGUUCCGGUCCAGCCUCCUCCCCUCCGGAUGUCUUCGGGGGGUCCAGUCCAUUUGGGCGUCGGCUCCGCCGAGGAGCACGCCCUGCAGGCCCCCCCGAGCUCGUGGCACUUCCGCCACGUGGCCCCCCUGAAGCCGGGCCAGGCCCCCACUAUGCACGACCCCCGCCGUUUCUGCCCGUCCUGGGAGCUCUCCAUCAACGACCGAGCCCAAUUCCCCGAGGUGGCUCGCCAGUGGGUGACGGGCUCGGUCCUCCCCCGGGACAGGAGGUGGAUGGAGCUAGCCUCCCCCUCCGAGCUCCAGGAGGUGUACUGCACCUCCCAGGCCCAAGUAAGUUUUCCGACCUCAGAGCCGUCCUUGCUUUUGACCCCUCACUCGGCCGCACCUCAGACUAACUCCUUCCUUUCUCCAGGCCCACGCUGCUGGAGCCGCCUUGCUGUCUCGCUUCUCCGAGCUAUCUCCCGAUUUGGAGAAACUGCAGAAACAGAAAAGGGAGGCGGAGCAAAGGCUCACUCAGGCCCUCAAGGAGGCGGACUCCCUUGCGGCCAAGCUGGGCAAAGCCGAGAAGGAACUGGAAACGGCCCAAGUCCAGCUCGCCUCCACAAGGUCAGAACUCGACCAGGAGAAGGCCGGCGUGGCCAAGCUGAGAGAAGACCACGCCAUCGAGCUCUCGGGCACCGUCGGCAGGGAGCGCAAGAAGGCCGUCCGGGAGUUCAUCUCCUCUGACCAGUUCAUCCAGGACGUAGCGCUCCUCAACGGGCCCAUCGCCCAAGUUGGCUUCGCGCGCGCCCUGAGCAGGGUCAAGGAGCUCGGCCUGCCUGGCUUCGACCUGGCCGCCUUCAAGGAGUACGACCCCAAGGCCGAGGAGAAGGUGGACUGGCUCUUCGACGGGUAUUGCAAGGGACACGCCCUGAAAGAGCUGGUGCGCCGGAAGGACGUUGGGGCCGACCUUGAGGAGCUGCCCCUAGAGAAGGACGGGGACCCGGGCCGAGCUCCGGGGAAGGAGCCGGUAGCCUAGGCAGCCAAGUUUCCUUUUUCUUCAGUAGGCAGUGUAAUAGAUAGGCCGAUAUCACACCUUUUGUAAUAGAUAGGCCUUAAGUAUAUAUACAAAAUUCGAAGCAAGUCUUCUUGCGACUCUUUUCGCACCUGACUUAUGACCCCACCCCUCAAGCCGAACACGUUAAAACUGUGCCGGCCUUCUGGGUCGAGCACCAUACCUUCCAAGUAUCCCCAUCGCGCCGACCUACUGGGUUGAUCACGUCUGAGAUUGUGCCGACCUCCUGGAUCGAGCAUCAAACCCUCCAAAAUCCUCAUCGCGCCGACCUCCUGGGUCGAACAUGUUUAAGACUGUGCCGACCUCCUGGGUCGAACACGUUUAAGAUUGUGCCGACCUCUUGGGUCGAGCACCAAACCUUCCAAGUAUCCCCAUCGCGCCGACCUACUGGGUCGAUCACGUCUGAGAUUGUGCCGACCUCCUGGGUCGAGCGUCAAACCUUCCAGGACACAAAACACCCACUACUAUUCCCCUAGCCCCCCACUAGGACAUUUAGAUAGGGACGCUAAGUGUUCUAGUGCGAAAUCAAAGCUCAGAAGGCAAAGAAGUACAAAUGAAACAAGAAACUUGAAAGUCGAGCCUUUAUUGAAUCACAAAACUGAAAUUCGAAUUCCGCAGAACAAACGACCGUCCACCCUGGUCUAACCUAUGCUACAAACAGUCGCAGGUUGGAAAAGUGCCAAGUGCGGGGUACCUCAGAUCCGUUCAUGUUGGCGAGUUUACAGUAACCUGCUCGGCCCACCCCAAGGACCUUGUAGGGGCCCUCCCAGUUUGGGUCGAGCUUGUUGGAGCUGUGAGCUCGGCUGACCGAAUUCUUCCUUAGGACAAGGUCCCCGGGCUGGUAUUGGGUAGCCCUUACUUUGGCAUUGUGAUAACGAGCGAGCUGGCCUUUAUACUUAGCCAUGCGAACCGCCGCUUCCUCACGCUUAACCUCGAGCAUGUCCAAGUUGUACCGGAGCUCUUCCUCAUUGGACGUCGCCACGAAGUUCUGUGUUCUGGGCGAAGGGAGACCGACCUCCGCGGGCACCACUGCCUCUACUCCGUAAGUUAAAGAAAACGGGGUCUCAUGGGUGGCCGUCCGGGGCGUAGUGCGGUAAGCCCAGAGGACACUGGGGAGCUCGUCCAGCCAGCUCGACUGGGCGGACGCCAACCUGGUCUUCAAUCCCUGCAGAACGGUUCGGUUAGCGUUCUCCACCUGACCAUUGGCCUGGGGGUGACCAACUGACGUGAAGUGUUGGUUGAUCCCGAGCUCGACGCACCAGCUCCGGAAGGGGUUCUCAGCGAACUGGCGGCCGUUGUCGGAUAUCAAGACGUGCGGGAUGCCGAAACGGCAGACAACGUUCCUCCAAAAGAAUUUCUGGAUCGCCUUUCCCGAGAUGGAGACUAGGGGCUCUGCCUCUAUCCACUUGGUGAAGUAGUCAAUAGCCACCACGAGGUGCUCGUACCUUCCUGGAGCUCGGGGGAAUGGUCCCAGGAGGUCUAUUCCCCAUUGAGCGAAAGGCCAGGGACUGUGAAUGGGGAUCAUUUCCCGAGCUGGCUGGUGACGUAAUGAAGCGUGCACCUGGCAGGCUCGGCAUCUCUGUACCAGCUCUGCGGCGUCACGGAAGACGGAGGGCCAAUAAUAGCCCAGGAGGAGGCACUUUUUGGCCAGCACCCGGGACCCCACAUGUGCCGCACAUAUACCUUCAUGGGCUUCACGCAGGACGUAGUCUCCUUCCUCGGGAGUCAAAAACUUUAGCCAGGGGGACAAGUACGACCUCCAGUAGAGGGUUCCCCCGGCGUAGGCGUAUUUGGCAGCUCGGACUUGGAUUUGUCGAGCCUCAAUUUUGUUCUCAGGGAGGGUACCCGAGCUGAGGAAGUCAACGAGGGGAGCCAUCCAGGUGGCCGAGCUAUCCACCGCCAGGACCUGGACCUGGCCGAUACUCUUCUGCUUCACCACCUCCACCAAGACCUCCUUGCUUAGGUGGGCGAACGAGGAGGACGCCAGCUUGGACAAGGCGUCCGCGCGCUUAUUUUGGGACCUUGGCACCCGCUCGAUCUCAAAAUUAUCGAACAGGGCCACCGCCUCUCGUACCUUGGCUAGGUAUUUCUUCAUUACCUCGUCCUUGGCCUCAUACUCCCCACGGAUUUGGAGGACGACGAGCUGAGAGUCGCUUCGAACCCGGAUCGCGGUAAUGCCCAUCUGGUGGGCUACCCGCAAUCCCGUCAACAGGGACUCGUACUCCGCCUCAUUGUUGGACGCGGGGAAAUCAAACCUGAGCGCAUAAGUCAGUUCUUCCCCUGUGGGCGAGGUGAGCAACAGGCCAGCCCCGCUGCCCUCCUUGCUCGAGGCGCCGUCCACGAACAACACCCACGGCUCCAUUGUCGGGGUGUCCGGGGGUGUUGGGACUAGUUCCGCCGGGGUCAGGCUAGCUCCUUCGGCCAGGAAGUCCGCCAAGGCCUGAGCCUUAAUCGCGGUACGGGGCCGAUAACUGAGGUCGUGUUCGGCCAGCUCGACGGCCCAUUUGGUCAUCCUGCCCGAGACCUCGGGCUUAGUGAGUAUCUGGCGCAAGGGCUGGUUGGUCAAGACUGCGAUGCUGUGAGCUUGGAAGUAAGGCCGGAGCUUGCGAGCAGCGUGCACUAAGGCCAGAACCAGCUUCUCGGCCGGGCUGUAUCGCGUCUCUGGCCCUUGUAAUGCUCGGCUGACGUAGUACACCGGUCUCUGAGUCCCCGCGUCCUCCCGUACCAAGACCGCACUGACGGCCUCGUUGCAAGUGGACAGGUAUAGGAAUAGUGUCUCCCCCAGCUCAGGGGCGGUCAGGGCGGACAGCUCGGCCAGAUAGGCCUUGAGGUCGGCGAAAGCUUUCUGGCACUCCUCGGUCCAGUGAAAGUCCUUUGGCCCUUUCAAGAUCCGGAAAAAGGGGAGCCCCCGAACCGCGGAGCGCGAGAGGAACCUGUUUAGGGCAGCCAUCCUCCCUGUGAGUCGUUGGACUUCCUUCACGUUCCUCGAAGGGGCCAUGUCCAUAAUGGCCUGUAGUUUGUCCGGGUUGGCCCGGAUUCCAUCUCGGGAUACCAGAAAACCGAGGAACCUCCCCGACCUGACCCCAAAGGUGCACUUCUUCGGAUUUAUGCGCAUCCGGCUCUCCAGCAGGAUUUCCAGAAUCUCCUUUAGGUCGGGUAUAAGGCGCUGAUCAACCCGGCUUUUAACUAUCAUGUCGUCCACAUAGACCUCCAUGCUUUUACCGAUCUGGCCUUGGAACAGCUUGUUGACCAGGCGCUGGUAGGUAGCCCCCGCGUUCUUCAAGCCGAAUGGCAUGGUUCGGUAACAGUAGGUCCCCUCCUCGGUGAUGAAGGAGGUCUUAUCUCGAUCUUCCUCAGCCAUUUCUAUCUGGUGAUAUCCCUUAAAGGCAUCCAGAAAGCACAAAACGUCAAAACCCACGGUAGAAUCUACUAACCUGUCGAUCCUUGGCAGGGGAAAGCAGUCCUUUGGGCAGGCAUUGUUAAGGUCCGUGAAGUCCACGCACAUCCUCCAGGUCUGAUCCUCCUUUUUGACCAGGACAGGAUUGGCCAACCAGGUCGGGUAGUGGACCUCCAUGAUGAUCCUCGACUCCAGUAACUUGCCGACCUCCGCCUUGAUCACCUCAUUUCUCUCGGUAGCGAAGCUCCUUUUCUUCUGCUUUACCGGCUUGAAGUGAGGAUCCACGCCAAGGUGGUGGACUGCCAGGUCCGUUGGAAUCCCAGGCAUGUCGUCCACUGACCAGGCGAAGACCUGGGAGUAUUCCCUCAAUAGAGCUUUCAAACCCUCCUUCUCCUUGGCGGGCAACAGGGCUCCAAUGCGGAGAACCUGAUCGGGCCGAUCCUCCCUUAAGGGGAACUCCUCCACCUCAUCUUGGGUACCCAGUUGCUGGGCCUCAUCCCCUGGGAUGUAGGGUUCCAAACAGGUUGUCUGGGCGACCACCUUCUCCUGCCCCCGAAGCGUGGCCAGGUAACAUGCCCUGGCUACCGCUGGGUCGCCCCGCACCUCGGCUAUUCCCCCAGGGGUGGGGAACUUGAUGCUGAGGUGGAAAGUAGAGGAGAUAGCCCGGAGGGCGUUCAAAGCGGGUCUCCCCAAGAACAAAUUGUACGGGGACGACUGCUUGACCACCACGAAAUCAACGAGGAUGGUCCGGCACCUGGGGGCCUGUCCUACUGUGACCAUCAGGGUGAUCAUCCCCUCCAAGCUGAUGGGUGGUCCGGUGAAGCCCACCAGAGGCGUCCGGACCGGGGUCAGCUGGUCGUCCCUUAGUCCGAGCUCCUUGAACACCCUAUAGAACAUAAUGUCAACCGCGCUACCCUGGUCGACAUACACCUUCCUCACCCGAUAGUUGUUGGUGACGAUGUCUAUCACGAUGGCUUCGUGGUUCCCUGCGGCCAGGGGGACUGCAUCCCUGGGUCCAAAGGUAAUUUCCUCGUCCAUGCGCAAGCGCUUCAAGGAGUCGUCCCCCUCGGUGGGAGGUCGCUUGUUCUUCCGAGCCGCAUGACUGUCCCCCCCCGUGGGGCCUCCGGCGAUGGUGUUUAUCACCCCCGCCAGGUUCUGGGUGUCCCGGUCGGGAGAGCAGUCCCGAGGGGCGUCACGCCGCUCCGGGCGGUCGCGCCGCCGUCCCUCGUGCCUAUCUCCGUAGUGGUUGCGUCCAAGCCCCUGACCUGGUCGGCGCACGAACCCCCCUAGAAAACCGCGCUGGAUCAGGUCCUCGAUCUCCUUGCGCAGGGCCCAGCACCCCUCCGUGUCGGGCCCGACGUCGCGGUGGAAGGCGCAGUACCGGUCCUGGUUCCUUUUGUUCCGGGGCGUCCCCAUCUUGGGCGGCCGAUCUCCCAGCCCUUCCGCCUCCAUAACGGCUAAGAUCUGGGCUCUGGGCCGUGUUAGAGGGGUGUAGGUCUUCUCUGGGAGGGGCGGCGGAGCUGGUGCCCUAUCCUUGGAGAGACGGUCGAAGACGUUCUUCCUGACUUGGCCGUCCUUAGAUUCAGGAGGGUUUGCCCGUCCUUUCCUGUCCCCGAACUCCCGAUCUGAUUCCCGUUUCAGGCGGCCGGCCUCCUCUGCAUUGGCGGCGGCGUGAGCCCGGGUCAAGAGCUCUCCCAGGUUCUUGGGAGGUUGUUCGACAAGCUUGUAGUAGAGAUCCUCUACCCUCAACCCGUUCAUGAAGGCGGCCAUGACUACCUUUUCGUCCUUAUCCCUGAUCUGCAGGCUCUCUGUGUUGAAGCGCGUCAUGAAGUUCUUCAGGGACUCAUCCGGGUUCUGCUUAACGGCCAUCAGGUGGGCCGCAUUCUUCGAGUAGGUCUUCGAGGAAACGAACUGGGCGGCGAACUGUCUGGCCAGCUCGGUGAAACUCUGAAUAGAUCCCGGUGCCAGACCCUGAAACCAGAGCCGCGCCUUACCCUUGAGAAACAUGGGGAAGGUCUUGCAGCGGAGGGCAUCCGCGGCGUUUUGCAGACGCAUGUGCGUCAGGAAGACCGAGAGGUGGUCCUCCGGGUCGGUCGAACCAUCGUACAGCUCGAUGUUCGGGAUUUUAAACCUCCGGGGUAACGGGUAGUUCUCGACCUCCCGGGUGAAGGGCGAGGCUGCGUAGUUGUCCCCGUACGGUUGUGGUCGCAGGAUCUGCUCGAGCUCAUCCCGGACGGGCUGCCACUGGGGUGGGUCGCGCGGGCGACUCCUGACAGAUCGGGCGGGGGAGCGUGCGAGCCCAUUUCGCGUAGGUUUCCGUGGGGAGGGGUCCCUUGGUCGGCUCCCCACGGACCGGUCGUGGGAGUACCUCUCGCUAUCCCCGACCACCGAAGCUCGGUGACGAGGGGGAGUCCGCGGCCGUUUCCUCCUAGGGGGCUGGUCCUGUGACCCAUCCUCCGAAGGGUCAGGGAUCGACUCCUUCUCCUUCCCCUUCCCCUGGACUUUGGAAGUUGGUGCGCCCCCCGCCUCCUUUCCUCCUUUUGCCUGCCGGAUUAUAUCCUCCAGCAUGGGGAGAUUCUCUGUCACGAACUGGAGCAUCUGCCGUCUCCGGUCCCCUGAGAGGGCCGAGCCCCCAGCGCCCCCGGCCGCUUCGUUCUCCUCUCGACGGGACCCCUCCCCGGCCCCGGCUCCGGUGCUUUCAACGGUUUGCUUGGACCGUGUCCUCGCCAUCAACACUAACAAUUACCUUUCGGUUCCCACAGACGGCGCCAACUGAAGAAGCACGGGACUUCCCCUGACCGAGCUGACCUGGUGAGCUCGGUGUGCCGAUGGAAGAGCUGGUCCCAAUCCUGCAAAACAAACAAGGGUAAACUAGCAGUGGGGGCCCGAGGGUUGUCCCCGAGGGCGCUCCGACGGUCAAAUUAGUUCCUGGCCGGCGGACGGAGCGGUUUUUGAUAAUGUAUUGUACGAGCAAUCUGCUAAUAGCGAGCGUCCCUUGCACAGUUGGUAUGUGCUACCAUUUAUACCCGCUUAGGAGUCCGACCUCCGUACGUUUCGGGACUUGCCCUGAAUAGCUCCCAAUCCCGUUCCUGGGGGGAUCCUCCCGCCCUCUGCGGGGCAGCUCUUGGGAGCAUCCCGGAGCCCUAAUGGCCGAGCCCUCUUGGACUGGUUCCCAGUGGGCCCAAGGCGCGAGCCCAGCUCGGAUUGCCCCUGGGCUGACACGUGUACGGGCCCAGGAUGGGGCCUCUGCAGGGUUCAAAUUUUAUCUAUUAGAAACCAGCUUCCUUAAUUUCAAAGACAGAAGAUGAUUAGAGAUCCCCUACAUUAAUAAAGAAAAAAAAAACGCCAACCAAUCGUUCUUGAUUGCCCACUUGUUGCUAAAUCUUAUCGUCAGCAUUGGUUCUUAGUUGCCUGCAUACUUCUCAUCUUUUAAUUUUUCAAUUAAUUAGACUGGAAAUGAAUACGAGUUCCACUUCUUUGCUAAAAAAGUUAUUAGCAGAAGUAAAAUUUAUUAGCAGAAGUUAUUUUAUAGCCCAUGAUCCCGUGUGCAAUAUUGCAAUGCAACAUGGGCAAAUAGCUAAGCGAGAAGACAAAAGAGAUAGAGAUGCCGAGCCUUAGCACCUAGAAUGAGAAAUAGAUGUUUUAGUCAUUCAGUUAUAUCAGAUUGAUUAAUUAGAGUUAUCACGGGAAAAUUUGGCAUCUAAAAUACAAGUUUUUUGAACUUAUUUCACAUAUAAGUAGUAAUAUACUAGUAAUGAAGAAUGUAAACCUGUAAAGGGUUUGUCUAGUUGGUAGUGCACCAAAUAAGAGGUGGAUCCAAAGUAAUUUUUUCCUAUCAAAGUGUUGCAACUUAAGUGGUGAAUGAUAAUUUUAAAACUUUAAUAGUUCACCUACCUUCUUGUUUUAAUUAUAUUUAAAUCAUAUAUAUCUACCUUGUAUAUAAAAAGAAAGCCAAGUUACUGUAGCUAACCAUCUUUUUGACACAUGUAUUGUAUAUAUUUUUGACAAGUGGACCUUUGAUUAUUUUACCAAAAUUUUUUCCUUCCCCUUUCUUGAUUCAAUUGGACUAAAGGAUUAAAAUAUUUUUUCUCCUUGAGAAAAUCAACUCCAUCUCUUCUUUUUCUUCUUGCAGUAACUACUGUCAUCCCUCACCUUUUUUAUUUUUUAUUUUUUAAAACUAAUCUAACUAAGAUUGUUGCCAUGUUCUUUUUUUUUUUUUUUGUCAAGAUGAUAACUACUUAGCAAAAAGAAUUCUUUAUUAUUUUUUAUCCCAUUUUACAUUUUCUUUUCUUCCUUUUUUUCUUCAUCUCUAAUCUCUCAUGUUUGCUCUAUUUUUUUUUAUCAUAAUGUUAUAGCCAACUGGCAUUUGUUUGUUAAAUUUAUAGGAUGAUGUUUUACUUGGUAGUUCUUCAUGGAUAAAAGGUGAAAUAUUAAAAUAUGUAUAAAAAAAAUUUAGAAUUCAUUUUAUACCAAUGAUCAUUUUCUAUGAAUAAUAGAACAAAAAUUCAUUCUUUUAUUUUCUUCUCCUAUGAUUUGAUUUCUUACUUCACAUUUUGUUUCCUUUUCUUUGUUUUUUGGUUACAUUUUGUAAUUAUCUACAAUUUUCUGUAUUUGUUUAGGAGAAAGAUAUAUCAUAUGAUGUUUCCACCAAGAUAAAUCUAGCUAGGCAUUUUUGUUUGUUUUUUAAUUACUCAAGUGUUGUAGUAUGAAUUGGGUUGGUAUACAAGGAUUGCAGUCGGUGGUGGAAGUCACAAUUGAGGCUUUCGGCCUAGAGUGUGACUUGACAAAAAAUUGUUAGAAAUUUCAAUUUUGAUUAGGAAGAUGUUUUUGCAAUAAAAAAAUAGUUCAAUUCUAAUUUGUAUAUGUAGACCAGGAAACAUGGCAAUUCAUAUUUUUAUCUAACCUUGCUAUUUAUAUUCAGGAGCUGCAGGAUAAUGUUAUCACCUUUAGGCAGAAUUUAAAUAGAUGAACUGGAUUCUUCUAUCAAAAGAAAGAAAAAUAUGCAAGUUUAUAGUAAGCUAUAUUGAUGUUGAAGAUUGUGCCAUGUUUUAGUAGCUUCCUAAAUUUUUUCUCAUUAUUAAAGUACUAAAAGUAUUACGACUGCUUUUGAUUUAGUUUUAACUAAAACUAUACUACUAUUAAUACACCAAUGCACUUAUAGUCUAUUAAGUUUCUCUCCUUUUUGGGUAUCAUCAUAAUAGUGGUUCAAAAAUCUUUAUUCAAAUCACAAUAAAUAGAGAGGUUGACUUCAUAGAUGGAAUUUCUCUUCACAACAAAUUUUGAGAGAAAUUUUAUUUAUACUCCAUAUUGUGUUAAUUGUGUUCCUACAAAAAACAAAAACUAUACGAUAAAAAUAAUAGCGAAAGUAUGAUUAACAAAAAUGAGAGUUCAAAUAAUAUUUGUCAAAUUUAAUUGCUUUGAUGCUCAAUUUUUCUCAUAUAUUUCUAUUCAUUCAUCAUGUGUCAAAAUAAUUUGAUGCUAUGCAUUCGACGGGCAACGGGCAUUUUGGUCAUUUUACACAGCGCGUAACUUUGAUUGCACACGACGUAACUUUGUUUGCACAACGUGUAACUUUAGUACAAAAAAUUACGGGCCCCACACACGUGAAAAUCGAUGUACAACUUGUAAUCUGGACCGCACAUUUUUUUUGACCAAAAUCUAGCCGUUGACUGUUCAGGCAUUCAGGGACGGUCCCUGCCCCUUGUCCGCAUUCGACUAAAUUUCUAGGGGGCCCAAACUGUGCUUUGCACAGUUCAAGUACCUCUAGUAUAUAUAUAUAUAUUAAAUAUCCAAUAAUUCUGGCAUGUCCACGUGGAACAAGCUAAGAAUCUUCUGUUAGAAAUAUCUUCAUUGAACCACUUUUUACUCUUUUCUUGUUAUAUUCCUACAAUCAACAUCAAUUGCCAAAUAUGAGUUUAAUCAAUCCAAUAAUGCAAUAUUUAGCCAAAAUCACAAGAAAAUAUUAACAAUUUCAAUAACCACUAUGCACCCUAUAACAGUCUAACAGUUAUGUGAUUAAUGACCGGAAGAAUGAUUGGUGUAUGUUAAUUUGUCACAAAUAUUUGUAAAAUGAGCAAAACUUAGGAUCCAAUAGCUUGUAUACUUGCAAGAAACUACUACACAAACAAACGAUAAUUCUUUUGGCCGGAUUGUGAUCAAAGCAUCUUAGUAUAAGCUAGAAUCUUGUACUAAUUGAUGACAAACAUCUAUGAAAUAGUUAGAGACUUACUCUCAUCCUAGCAAAUCAAUUUCUUAACUUGAGGUGUAUAUGAUAAAAAAUUUGAGUUUCUGUUUAAAAAGUAUAAUUUGUGAAUUGCUAGGUUUUAUUUUUUAUUGGUUAAUAACUUUCAAAUAUUAGAUUCAUGGUUUCUUUUUAGAAAUUCCUAUAUUUUAUUUGAUAUAUUUACUUUAAUUUGACUAGAGCUGGCAAUUUGUCCCAAGUCCCAAUGGGCUACCCAUGCCCAAAGGAACUUUGGGCGGGAUGGGUAUUAUAAUUUGGUAUUGGGUUUAAGUUGGGAUACAUCCCAACUAUACCCAUUAAUGAAUGGGAAAGGGUGGGAAAUACUUGGGUAUCCAUUGGGCUCAAACAGCAAGGGCUCCGUUUGGAUUAGCUGUUUUUAGGGGGUGUUUUUGAAAUAUUUUAUUGUAGUAGUGUAUAUAAAAAAAUUUUACUAUAAAAUUUUUUUGAAAUAUUUGAUAUACUAAUAUGGAUGGGAUGUUUCUUGAGUUAUUGUAUAUUACUAUUUGAAAAACUUAUUUUUUGAAAAAAUACCCAAUCCAAACGGAGUCUUAGAUUCAAAAAUUAUCUUUAACAAUUUUUAUAGUCAUACCAGCGAAUAUAAUCUAGUAGUCUUUCUAAUCAUUAUCCACAAGAAUUUCCAGCAUUUUAAUCAAUUUAGACCUGUCAUCCUUGGACAAUGAUGAGGAUAAAUAUUCAACAUCUUAAGGAAUUUGGCCAUCUUGAUAUAUGUUGGAAUAUGGCUGUAUAUCUAUCUUUUUCUUUAUUUGUUAAUCCAAUUUUUGGUGGGAAUCUUGAGUAUAAAGCAUUUGCAUGUUUAUUUAAUAAAACUAAAAGAAAUUUAAUAAAUCAAAAAUAUUAAAAUUAUAUAAAAAUAAAAAAUGAAUUAAAGGAAAAAAAAUAUGUAGAAAAUGGAUUUGGGUAUUGGGCGGGAUCAAUCUAAACCCAUCCUAAAGUGAUCCCGCCCAAAUUAGUCCCAAAACAUAUAUGGGUAAGGUUGGGUCCAAACCCAUAUGACUCGGUUUCAUCUCAAACCCAAGCAAAUCCCGCAUAUCCCGCCCAUUUUGCCACCUCUAAAUUUGACAUAUAAGCAUUAUUCAAUGUAAUAUGCAGUAAGUUUUUUCCAGCUUCCGAUAUUGUCAAAAUUUUAUUUUCUUUUGCAAGUCAAAAUCAAAUUAGGAUUUGUUAUGCCUUAUGUUAUGUCCAGAACCUAGUAGAAUUAGAUUGAGUAGCAUUACCUUAUUUGGUAGAAACUAUGUUUCAUUAAGUAAUUUCCAUUCCAAAUCUAACUAUAUUUCAUAAGAAAAAUGUAAUAUACUUCUCUUCCUAAAAUAAAUACUUAACAAUGAUAUUACACAGUUACCCUCAACAAUAUCUAUAAGUCAUUCAAAUUUAGAGCUAGCCAUAAUUUGUUAUGGGAGGGUUAAUGUUGGAAAGAAAAAACUAAUUUUUACAAUAAUUAAUAAAGUAGAAAUAGUUCUUAAAUUUCCUUUUACAAUAUGGUUCCCUUUUUUUGGGUUUAACUUUGUUUUACAAUAUGGUAUAUGGUUUCGUUUUUUUUUUUUUUUGGUUUAACUUUGUUUGGAAUUCCUUUCUUUUUAGAAUACUAAAUUUUAGAAGACAAUAAUUACAUCAACACUAAUAUCCAUAAAUAUCCCCCCCCCACCAAUUCGUAUUUGAAAUUUAAGAUGUGCUUCAUUAUUUCAUUAUACAAGGGCAUUACUAGAAAGUGAAAACUAAAUUACUAAAACACCAAAUCACUUUGGUGCUUUUAAUAUAUAUGCAUAUAUGUAUGUAUGUAAGUAUAUAUGUAUGUGAUAGACAUUUGCACAGUGAGACUUAUUUGGCAUCUAGUCCAACAAAGCUAACAAGGCAAGCACAAAAUUAAAAACAUAAAAAUAAAACGCCUUGAAAAAUAUUAGAUAGAGAUUCAAGGGAUUGUCAACCAUGGCAUUCCAAAAGAAAAGGAAAACAACAAAUUAAAGAGGAGAAUCAUCGAGGACAUUGAAAAUUAAAACCCAAUAAAUUAACUUUCUGAUUUUGAAAUAAUGAUCAAGUGAAAGGCAUGAGCUACUAAUAACUUGGCACAUGUUUCAUUCUAUAAUUAUCAUGUCUGGAGGUUCAAUUUUUUCUUCUGAGGUUUGCCCUUUUUGGCUAGAUUAUUCUCACCUUUCACCGUCAAAUUGAAUUUUCAACGUACCAAGGUUUUCUCAAAUCGCUUCAUACAAGAUGCAUGGUAUUUGUUCUGAUUUACCAUAUCAUCUCAGCAUUUGGCAUGGGAUGAUUAGAAACCAGCUUCCUUAAUUUCAAAGACAAAAGAUGAUUAGAGAUCCCCUACAUUAAUAAAGAAAAAAAAAACGCCAACCAAUCGUUCUUGAUUGCCCACACGUUGCUAAAUCUAAUCAUCAGCAUUGGUUCUUGGUUGCCUGCAUAAUUCUCAUCUUUUGAUUUUUCAAUUAAUUACACUGCAAAAGAAUGUUAACGCAAAACUAUUAGUAUAAGUUAUUUGUUUUUUUCCCACCAAAAAAAAAAAGCAGAAUUAUAUAUAGCCCACAUCUCAUAUGGAACAACACGCAAUGCUGUAACGCCGCGAAUGCUGAGCCUUAGCACUCAGCUAUCGAGGGCUGUUAUGAGGUGAGAGGACAGGGAGCAGCAGGCCUUGAAAAAAUGAGCUAAGUUGUGCAAAGAGUGGGCUGGGAACAUUAACAUUACUUUUUGUACGUUUUCUCUUUGAGGUAAUUUUUGGUAAUAACUUUGUCCAGUGCUGAGGGAAACCCCGGUCGAUUUUGCAUUUCUAGUUUGAUAUACUAGGUGGUAGCCACUGCCCAGUUAAUGUUUAGCUAGUAAUGUUGGUAAGAAUGAAAGUACAAUCAAAUGGAACUAUAAAAUGGAACUAUAUUAUACAGGCAUAUUAAUGAAAAUUAUACGAGCCUCCCAAGUAAGAUAACCAUGAUGGCUCAGGGCUCCAUGAAGCCAUUGUUCUAGUCUUUGAAAUACAAAAGUGAAAUACAGACAGAUUCAGCAACAACUCAAGGCAUCAAUCAAGCAGUGAAUCCAGUCCUGUUCAUACAGGAGAAAAUAGAGCAGAGCAAGUAAUGCCUCCAAAGCAAAGAAAAAACUGCAACAAAAGCAAAGCAAGCAAACGCAAAAAUUAUGACAAAACGAAAGCAGACAGCUGUAUUAAUGCACAUAUAGCCUCACGAAAUGUGAAGCUAGGAUUGAGGUUUACAAAAUCGCGGAAAUGUGAAGCUACUUUUUCUAGUUGGAGAACAAGAAUCAUCUACAUCCAAUCUUGAUUGAACUACUGAUGUAUAACUACUUCUUCCCUGUUUACAUAAUGACAUCACAUCACGCAGCAAGAAAAGUAAAUAUUAGAGCACCCUGUGAGACAUUUUCAAAUCUGAAUUACCUUCAAAGGGAACGUCUGUGUAUACAAGUCAACUUUCUGGUCAUCGCCAGAUACUCUAGUAAUCUGCCUCACAAACUUUGUUUCCACAUUAUAUACAAGCUGCAAUUUUGAAUCAAUAAAUGUCAUACAUCUUGACGUGAUGUAGCACAAACUCCCAAAAAAUAAAACAUAAUCAAGUUUUGCUUUAAAGCAUAAUAUGAAACAUAAAUCAAAGUACCUGAACAACAUAUUCAAAUAAAUACAGGGUACACUGGGUAAGCAUGUACCUACCUUCCUUAUAUCAGGAUCAUUCCAAGGACUCAUAUUAGAUGAGAGGCAUCCUCCUUCAACUGGAUAUAAGCAAGCUAACAAAUCAAUUUCAAAUCAAGUAUUAAAUAAUCUGCAAUAAAUGAAAAUUUUCUUACUAAAAAAUUUAGAGACUACAAAAUUACAAGGAUCUCAUGGUAAAAGAAACAUUAAGUAAACAACAGUACAUCAAAAGACUAAACAUACCUAAUUAAGGAGAAAAAGGCUAAACAUAGAACAAACUUAAGUAGCGUUAAAGCUGGUGAGAAUAAUCCAAGCAGCUUCCCUCCUAUCACUACCAGCGAUCAGCUUAACACAAAAUACCUAUUAGAAACACCAUAUCAGUUUUGGAUACUCAAAAUACCCAUAACAAAAAACAAAAAAACAUUGCAAUCAUAGGUUCUGAACCAAGUACAAUCCCUGCAUGCAUAAAAAUCUUUCCUUCUUAUACAGGAUGAUGGCACAUAAACAUUAAGAAAUAAUAUCAUUUUCCAUUGAAUGCCUUCUGCACAGAAUAUUUGAGACAAAUAAAUGGAGCAAGAAGUAAAAAUCUGGAACCCAUACAACAAAUUGAACAAAAGGUGAGAUGGCAAAAAAAAAAAUCAGAGUUAAGAGAUUGGCUAAAUAAACACAGUUUUGGCAGGAACAAAAAGUAAAAACCACAGGUAAGAAGAGGGAGCAGGGAGCGUGGAAAAUAUGGAAAUGAGGGCCACAUAACGCUAACUGUACCUCGAGGAAGUACUGGUGGGGAGCAGGCUGGUGCAGGAGAAGGGACCGAAGCAACAUAUGUGGACUGGUUGAGAACCAAAUCAUUUGUGGCAAGAUUUAACAAGGUUGAAUCCAGGAGGGAACUAUCCACAGGAUCAGCCAAGAGAACGCCAGUCUGGGUAUAACCUAAGGCAGUUCUAGAGAAAUAGUCGUGCUAUUUUGGCUAGGCCUUUGAAACCGAGUUGCCUCAGCAGAACAAGGCACAGUUGUGCCUGUUUUUUUUGAGGCAUUGCGUUCACGGCGGCGACGAAGAAGUUCAACUUUCUGCUCAUGUGGCAUUUCUGCAUACCUUUUAUGCCUUCUAGCAUUUCUAUCCAGCCUUGGAUAACGUGCAUUCAAGAAAUAUUAAAACGGACAGCACGAAGAUAUACGUUUGGUAGGGAAUGCAAAAAAACAUCGGAGGAAACGCAAGAGUUAAAAGUGCAAGCUAAGUGCAGGAAAAGAAAGGAAGCAUACCAUAUGAUCGAACGAGGCAACUGAAAGAGCAAAAGAGGGAGGGAGGGGGGAGAGGCAGGAGAAGCAAAGCUAGCAAUAGCAACAACAGCAGGGCAAAACACACCAGUAUGAUACGAAAGUAAGCAGAAGACAAAUACUUCAAUCAGGAAACGGAACAGGGGGAGAAAAGCAUCUGAGGAGUGCAGAAAAGGAAACACAGUAGUAAGAAGCGCAAGGUUAUGCAGUAAAAGAAAGCAAGCAGAGCAUGUAAUCGAGCGAGGCAACUGAAAGAGUAAAUAUGAAAGCACACCAGCAUGAUAUGAAAGCAAGCAGAAGGCAAAAUACCUUAAGCAGUAAACGGAGGCUAAGAGAGGACACGGUAGAGGAGCGAGCCGAAGUUGGCCUGCAUAAGCAAAAGCGACAUAAAGGUUAAGAAAAUAGCGGAAAGCAGGGAACAUAACAAAAGGGAAGCAAUUAUAAGAAUCACAAACAGCUGCGAAUAAACUGAAAGGAAAGUGACCAAAAAGGAACACACGAGCAGCGCACUAAACGCAGUCCAGGGGGAAAAGAGAACAAAAGCUGGGAACAACACAGUGGCGGCAACAAAAUGCUAGGCAAGAAGGGGGUUUUGUUCAGCGGCAAUCCGAGGACAACCGUAGGCCUGGGAGGGGGUAUUAACGGUAGGGGGGAAAGAUCGAGCCCAAAUAUUGGCAAGCAAAGGGGUGUAAGCAGCAGAGGCAGCCGGGAAUUAUAAUGGACAACAAGGGGAGACAGAGGAAGAGGGAGAGGGAGGGGAAGGGCAGCGGGGCGAGGGUGGGGGGGGAGUGCAAGUAGAGCAACGAAAGAGCAGCGGAGAUAACCUAGUGCAGCAAAGAGGGCAAUGGCAAGGAGCAGCAACAACACCAAAACAGGAACAAAAGGGCAAAUAGCGGUCUUCGAUGAGCAGGCAAGAGGAGAAGCACCAUGGUUCAUGAUGGCAGUCAACUAAUAGGGCAGGUUGGAAGAGGUCAGAGCAGGUGGGAGAAGGCGUGCAAGAUAGCUAAAGGAACAGUUUUGUGUGAGGGGAAAGCAGAAGUGGGUGAAGAAGUAAGUGGGGGAAGAUGGAUGCAGGAUGGAGGCAGGAUGGAGUAGAUGGAGACAGGACUGAGGAGCAGAAAAAUAGUACAAAAUGAAAGACGGGGCAGCGGAGGGGGAAGGCGUACAAGAGUAGAAGGCAAACAGCAAGUUGGUAGUGGGAGCAGCUGGAGCACGUGGCAAGCUCAAGACAGCAACUCCAGAAGGCCACAACAGAGCUAAACAGUGGCAACGAAAAAGGAAGAAGAGAGAUGCAACGACCAUACACGGAAGGAAAGCUAAAGGCCAGAAAUUCAUUCAGACCAAUGACGUCGGGCCACGCGGAGGACGACCACGUCCAACGUGGAUACCGGGCGUUCGCCCUUAGUACUAUAUGGUUAACAAGGAGAUUGAUGUGAGCAUUUGUCUAUUUGAGAUUGUUAUGUAUUAGGUCCUGAAUCUUCUAUGGUUUUGUGCUUUAUCACAUAAUCCUCCAUAGUUUAGAAACCUAUAUAGAACCUCACCAUAAUUUGGGUUAGCGUGUCACUGUUAGUUUUUCGUUAAAAUUAACGGUCAACGGUAAAAAGUUAAAAUCAAACUAAUAAAUUGAUAAAUUCAUGCUUUCACUAAUUUUUUGCUUUUUUUUUCAUUCUCUCUCUCUCUCUCUGUGAGAACCCUCAUUUUUAAAAUACAAUUUUCCCAAACUACAUGCCUUGCACCAAGAUUUAAACCAUCUCUUAUAUGCCCUAGCAUUAUAUUUCACAAUGUGUUACAACAAAUCCCUUGUAUUGACCCUCACUUUAAAACACAAUUUUCUUAUUUACAUGCCUUAUUAUAAGAUCUAGACCAUUUAAUAUAUGUCCUUACAAAUUAUUUUCUAUGUGUUAUAAUAAUUUCCAUGCAUUUCAUUUCAAUUCAUUUUACUUGAAGUAAAAUAUUUCCUUGAGCUAGGUUGUAAAUAAUUCAUCACUUGUAAUUGUCCAAGUGUUCUUUUAUUAGUGGUAGAGACUUUAUGUGAGAGAUUAGAGGUGUUGAAUAAUUAUUGGUGCAUUUGGAAAGGUAAGAAUGGCAUUAAUCAAAGAUUAAGAAAGGUUAGGACAAUAAUGGAGCCAUGUGGCAAAACCCUAGCCAUGUAUCUUGUUUGACCAAAGGAUUAGAGAAAUUUUAAACCAACUUUGCUUCAUUUUCCUCCAAAAUUUCGUCCACCUUAAGGGCUUCCAAGGGAAGGAAGAAAACUCCAUCUUCUUGCUAUGACAACCUUAGUUUGAUCUUGAACAAAAACCAAAAGAGAAAGAUCUAGAGUUUGUGAGAAAAUUUCCUUCAAUCUUUGAGGUUGUUUCAAGUCUAAAGCUUCUAUUGUGGUGGUUUGUUUGGUGACCAAAACAACUUGUAAGUAAGGUAUGUAAUCUUUAAAAUUUGGGUUUAUGAUGUUAUAUCAUCUACUUGAGGUUGAAAUGGUGAAAACAACUUGUUAUGGUUGAAUUUGGGGUUAGUUUCUUGAGUUAAUCAAGUAAUGGUUAGGUUUACUAAUAUGCAUACCAAGUGUUUGAUGAAAUGUCUAACCCUUAUUCAUAUGUGUUUAUGAAGUAUUGAUAUGUUUUAAACCCCUAUUUAGUUGGAUCUAAUACUUGUUAUGUGCAAGGAAUGAAAAUAACAAGAAGAAUAGAAGUUAGAAAUUUUUAAAGUGUGCUGACCGAAACUUUUUAAGCUUGCUGCCUGGUUUUUCCUUGAUAUUUUGAUGCACAUUUUGGCUACAAAUGUGAGUGUUAUAUGUUGGGUUAUGUGUGUGGAGGUUGUCUACAAAAAAUUAGCCAAUUUGGUUGAAUAAAUUUUGAGUUAUAAACAAAGGAGGAAAACUGGACUAGGUCCAGAAAUUUUCUGUCCAGCAAUCUUGUUAAGGUCAUAACGUGUUACUCACUGAUCGGAAUUGAGUGAUGUUUGUGGCAAUUGAAAGUAGACUCUUUGAGCUUUAAAACGGUACAAAGCUCAUUUUCUGGUUCAUCCCGAGUGAUCCGUGGCGAGUCUGGAAAGUUGGCUGUCCGGGCAGUACUGUUCAUCCGAGACAGUCCAGAAAGUUCAUUUUGGUUUCUUAAUUUUGAGCUACUUAUGUUGAGAUUUUGGAAAUGGUUUAUUCUAGACAAAUUUAGCCUUAUGAACCUAGUUUCCAAUGCAAUUGACGGAACCUAAUUCUGACUUUUCCACAAUGAGCAAUGACCGUUUUCCCGAGGCUGGCCGGGCGAGACAGUUUAACCCGUAAUGAAGCCUUUGAGUUUUAGUGAAACUUUUCUUUUGCCAAACUUUCAUGUACAUACUAGACUUUUUUUCCAUGAACUUUCACCGUGGUUUAGACCCUAUUUGCAUGCCGGAUUAAGUAGUUUAAGCUACUCACUUGGCCUCUUAAUGAACCUAUACUUUAGUAGGGAACGAAUCCAAUUAUUAAUAUUUUCACUCGUUGACCUAGGUUUGGGCAACGACGGUGAUCAUAACUGAGACAUUUGACGUCGAUUAUUACUUUUGCUUGACAGGUGAGUGUUCCACUACCUGCUACUUGUUAUGUGAAAUAUUUGUGUACUUGAAAGUAUUGAAUUGUUAUUGUUUGAGCCAAACACUGUUUUAAUUAAAAUUGAGGCGAGUGUGUACUUUAUCGCACUCGACCUUCCUUGUUUUUUUUUUCUUUUCACUGAGGCUCUACUUACUGAAUGAAUUAACAUGAAAUGAGAUAUUGUUAUACAUGACUGUGCUUAAGUUGCGUGGAUGACAUUCCACCAACUACUGUUACUGUUUGGGUACCUAACCUCAUAGGUGAGUCGGUUGUAUCGAGCCAGCAAGGGUUUGGUCGAGAAGGCCGAUAAACCUUGAGGACUGUUUACUGUUCACUGGAAAUCGAAUCUUGCUUAGAGGUCCUUGGUGAAGCAUAGCCGUUGUGCUUGCUUGUUGUGUUGUCCAGCACCACCAGUGAUAAAAUCCUCGGCUUGAUACUGUUUCAUUGCAAUCCUUGAGCAUUGGAAACUCGGAUUCCUGGUAUACUCGAGUAUUACCAAACUACUGUUUAUGGAGUGCAGGCCCGGUGGGGGGUUGUUUAGUGGACGGAGACUGGUGAAAGUGGUGUUCUACGGACCUAUAUACUGUUACAAGUGUUGACGGAGUGUCAACAGGAGGCAAUUAUGAUCAAGCUCAAGUGGACCUUUGGCUUUUGAAAGCCACCCGUAUCCUUGAAUUGAACUGUGAUUAAACUGUUAUUUUAUUGUACGGUGUUUAGUUGGCUAUUUUGUGAUUUUAUGUGGCUAUGUAUUUACUUGUUUACCUGGAAUCUCACUGGGAUUUAACUCACCCCAUUCCCUUUGUUUUCCUUAACAGAUCGGGAAAGGAUUUGAUCGAGGGCUUUCUUAGCUUUAUUUUACCGUUCUUGCGUUUUGAGGUUGUAACUUUCGUUUAAGCAGACUUGUAAGCUUAAAUUCUUAAGGGUGAUUUAUAUUAUGUAAUUUUGAGUGAAACAUGGUAAGUUGGCAUGCGAUGAUAUAUGUACUAAGUUGAAUUGUUGAAUUAGUGAUUAUGUUUGAGUUAGUGUUUCAAUCCCCUGCAUUGUCAAAUGUUACAUUCGUUUCAUUGAUGAUAUUAGUACUUUGAACGACUGAGUCCUGUCGAGAGUUGGGCAGGCAGUCCGCUGAUACCCUAGGGUUUGCCCUAGGGAAAGGUGGGGCUGUCACUCUCUCUCUCUCUCUGGGAAGAGAAGAUGUGAUUUUGAAAACCUAUGCUUUGGCGUACAAAAUCUUAAUUUUCUCCAAAUAUAAAAGAGAUGGAAGAAAAUAAAAAAUAAAUAAAUAAGAAACAAAAAGAAUGGAAGGGAAAUAUAAAAAGGGUAAAUGAGAAACAAAAAUUAUCAAAUCUUUUUUUACUACAAAUAUCAUUAUAGGUUUCUAAACCAAAUCUUUAAUGGCAUUUUCUAUUUCUUAUUUAUCUAUUUUUUUAUUUAAAUUUCUUCAAGUAAUGAAAAGAUAAAUUUGUCAAUUUAUUAGUUUGAUUUUGACCUUUUGCUAUUGAUCGUUAGUUUUAAUGAAAAAAAUUAAAGGUGACACUUUAACUCAAACCAUGAGGGGAUUAUAUAUAUGUUUUUAAACUAUAGAGAGAUUAUGUGAUAAAUUACCUAAUCAUAGGGGAUAAAAUGUAAUUUAUCAAACAUAAUAUUAGCUAGCCCUUACAUUGCUAAAGCAAAUGGGUCAAUGGUUGCUCUUGAUUGCCAACAUACAUAUGCGUAGAUCAUCUGCAGUUUGGUUCCUAAUUGCCAGCGUAAACCACAUAUUUUGAUUUUCCAAUAAAUACUGCAAAAAAAAAAAGAGUAACGAGUCCAUCUAUACUACUUGAAGAUAAUUGAUUGUUCACCCAGAUUCGUCAAGUUUUGAAAAAAAAAUCUUUAGAGUGAAUUGAAUCAAAUUCAAAUUUUGUGUUUUGUGAUAAUUCCUAAAAGAGAACGAAAUGCAGAUUUUGAGUGUAAAAAUAUUUUAAGAGGUGAUACAAUCAAGACACAAAAAGAUAAAAACAUCGAAGAUGAUGAAAAAAAUUACUAAUAAAAAAUAAAAACAAAAGAAGAGAAAGCCGUGUUGUCCACAAACUAGACAAAGGGAAGCCACAGCGGCUGCUGCUAGGAAAGAUUAUAUGUUUUCUUCUUCUCUGCCCACAGGUUGCGGUGUCUCCAUUUCCUAUCAUCUGUAUAGUAACCAAUGAGAAUUUCAGGAAUGUGUGCGAUUCUUCUGUAAUCUUCACUUUCUUCCUUCUGAUUCUCUAACAGCUUCUCUCUCAAUUGAGAACUCAUCUCAUACAGAGACAGCCGUUGAAGAUGGAUCAAGUGCUGGAUACCCAAUGGUAACUCCUCUAGUAAUGGAAGUUGCUGCAGAAAUAGUUCCCGGAGACGAGGCAAUGCACCCUCCUCCACUCUCAUCCAUCUCAACCCUUCCAUUCUUUUUAAGUACAUCCACUUCAGCUUUAGGAACCCUCCAGCCUUGAAACACAACCCUUCUCCCUGGUAAGAUCCACGGAAAUUAAUUUUACUCAAAUUGGGCAAAUGUUGGAGGGAUUCAAGCGGAUCCUCCUCUCCCCUUAACCUGCUCCAGUCCAAAUCUAUUCUUACCAAGCCGUGAAGAUGAGCUACCCAUUGUGGCAUUUUUUCUAAGCGGCCACGCAAAACCAGCAUACGAAGAAAUUGAAGAAACAAAGAAGAAGAAGAAGAAGAAGGAUGAUGAUGAUUUAAAUCGAUUAUCUCAUGAUCAUCACCUUUUCCAAUUGAUUGAACACUUAAUUCCCGAAGACUGGUGAGGUUGGCAAGGGAGGAGCAGAGCACCUUUCCAUCUUCUCUUCUUAACUUUGUAAUACGUAGUUCUCUUAAUUGGGUCAGCUUUCCUAUCUCCUUAAGUAUUGCAGAUCCGCUACUUGCAUCUAUGCAGCUUAAUUUAUGUAGGGCAAGAAGCCGUCCCAUAUUUGAUGGAGCUUUAAAUCCAUGAGCUCCAUAAUCAUCAUCUGAAGAAUCAACUAGUUGAUAUACUUCGAGAAACCGAAGUUUUUGCAAGUUUAGAAUUUCCAUGGGCAAUUCCCUAACUCCAGUGUUACCCAAAUUCAGAUACUCCAAAUGUUGAAGCUUUCCAAUGGCUUUCGGGACUAUCUCCAUUCUUGUACCCCAUAGGUCCAGAUGCUUGAGAUGAAACAAAUUGAAAAUCUCAUUUGGUAUUUCCUCCACUCUGUUUUGACCACCGAAAUCCAAAACCUUUAACAGCUUACUACUCCUUGAAAUUUCAGAUAACAACAUUUUGGAUAGUAGCGGGUUCCGGGAUCCAACUGUAACGAACGACCGAAGGUGGUCAAAGCAAUAAUUUCGUCUUUGUUGGUGGUGCUGGGUGUUGUUACUGCUACCACUAUGGACUACUAGACGGCGUACCUUAUCAGACGGCCACGUCAUCAGCUGUCCAGUAGUAACUGUCACCAUGUUUUGUUCCCUUGACUUGAGAAGAAUAACUGCUCUCAAUAGGUCAUGGAUUCGACAAUAUUGAGGUAUUCCUUCAUAAAACACACGAGUCACUUGAAUUAGGCUUCUAUUGACGAGUUCACUAAAAUAACCCCAGGCUACAUCUUCAAUACUUAUUCCUUCUCUCCAUUCUACAUACCUUUCAGCAAUCCACAAAUUAAUUAGUCUAAUGCAUGCUAUUUCAUAAUCCUCUGGGAAGAUGCUUGUGUACAACAGACAUGUCUUUAAAUGCCCAGGCAAAUCAUUAUAACUGAGAGAAAGUAUCCUUUUAACUCUGUCCAGCUUACCAGUGCCUUCUAAUUCACCCCCAAGACUGCGUCGAACCAUCUCCCAUUCCUCUGUUCUGUUUACAUCUUUCAAAGCCAAAAGCCCGCUGAUUGCAAGAAUCGCAAGGGGCAAGCCCUCACAUUUGUCCAAUAUACCUUUGGCAACAUCCAUCAAGUGGCCAGGGCAACUAUUUCCCUUGAAGAUCUUGUUACAAAACAGGAUCCACGAAUUUUCAAAGGACAGUGGCUUCAUUCUGUAGACAAGACCCCGAGAUUCAAUGCAAGAGGCAGAGGCUACAUCAACUUUUCGAGUUGUUAGCAUGACGCGGCUGCCGCGACUGCUCUCUGGCAUUACAAAUUUGAUGGUAUUCCAAAAUUCCACGUCCCAUACAUCAUCGAAAACAAUUGCAUACCUUCCAGCUUGUUGAAGAAAAUCUUUGAUAAUUUCUUUCAGCUGAGUGGUAGUCAUGGACUCGAUCCAUCGCGGAACUGGUUUCUUCCCUGCCUCGUGUAACUGCCGAAUCAAGUCUUUCAGGAGGAACUGAAAGUCACAUGUUUCAGAGACAGUUACCCAAGCCCGGACUGGGAAAUGCCUUCUGACUUCAGGAUCCUCAUGGACUUUUUUCACUAGGGUAGUUUUGCCAAGUCCUCCCAUACCAACCACUGAAACAACUUUCAGUUGGUAAUCAUCCCCUUUGAGGAGCUCAGAAAUAAGAUGUUUCUUGGGCUGGUCAAUGCCAACUAAUUUAGCUUCUUCCACAAGCAGCGCAUCAUCUCUGCUAUAGCGCCAGGUUGUGUCGUUCACAGCAGAAAGUGAGUUGGACGCUUGGGCAGAGAUACCAUAUUCGGAUUGGUAUCUUUGAUGACCUGCAGAAAUACUUUCGAUUCUGGACUUGAUGCUUUGUAUUUCGCUGGCAACUCGAUGACGAGCUCUCAAAUUCUUGAUGGAGCUGAAAAUUCUCCGAACAGAGCCGUAGAAUCCUGUUGCGUCAUGCCGAGCAAAGCGAGCUACAAAUUCAUCAAGAAUGUCCUCAGUGUCAUAAGCAGCAUCCCGCACUUGCUUGAUCCAUUGUUGGAGCGUGGGUUGAGCAUCUUCUUCUCUUGCUUCUGCCUCUCGCAAGAAAGCUCUCAUUUGCUCCAACUCAUCCAUGAUGAAUUGGACCUCUGGCCGAAGCCCUCCCAAUAGUCGUCCCUCCUCGUGCAGAAAAGUUAAGAGUUGACGCAGCACAAAAGAGAGAACAGUUUCUGCCAUUUUUAGUCUUUCUUUUUAACCUAAGAAUGUCGGGGGAGGCGGCUUCUGGUUUAUAGGACAGUCCAGUUGUAGUAUCUUGAAAGGAAGAAGGAAGAGUAGGUUAUAGAUUCAUAAGCUGAUGAACUUUGAUACCAUAUGGUGCAGUAUAUAUUAAGGUGCUCUUUUUCUCCUUUACUCUAGUAAGCAUAUUAUUUUCGUUUUCUUCUUUUUAUUUUUUUAAAAAAUCAUGCUUAAUUAAGAAAAUUAGCGUUAUCCUACUCGUAACUUCAUAAGUCAAAAGAUCAUGUAAAGUAAAUUUCUGCUAACCAAUUAGUAUUUGUAAUAUCAAAGAAACCUUAGGAACAAACCACUCAAACUAAUUUUUACAAUAAUUAAUAAAGUAGAAAUACUAAAUUCAGUGUUAUUUUUUGUUAAUAGCAGCUCAUGAGUGUGAAAAUUGUGGAAGAUCGAAGCAUGCCAAGAAUAAAGUUUAAUUUAAACUUAGGAUCCAUGAGCGACUAAUAACUUGGCCAAAGUAUUUUAUCCACCUGAUUUAAUUAACUUCAAAAGUUUUAUUGAGCUGGCUAGCCUGGACUGACACAACAAUUGGGGUUCCAAUUAACUAUAAUAGUAACGUGACUUAGUUCAAAUUACAAAACUCGAUCACAAGUAAUCGUACGGAGUUGAACAAGUUAGUGUUAGUCCCUUGUGAUCACCAAUUUAAUCUAUUAUCUCACUUCUUUCUUUCUUUUGUUUUUUCUAUCCCUCCUUUUGCAGUUGUGGAAUUACUGCAUCUAGGACUAGAUAGGACGAAAGGCCGCUCAUUUUUCCAAUUAGAAACGUGGCUAUGUUCAUAAAAAAGAAAAAAAAAAGCCUUGAACUUCAAGAAAAGUAAACAAAUCUCAGCACUUACUUGAGAGAAAAUGAAACCUCUGGCAAUAGCUGAUCUGAACCUACCCUGUCAAAUCCAAGUUUGAUGAAAAAGAGAACACGGGCGAGGAAGAUGAUAAUUUGAACCAAAAUUAAAACAAUGCGGUAUGUGCCUUUAGCUAUUGAAGAUGGAGUAUUAUAGAGGAGAAGGUAGAGGAGCAGUACCGUUAUUGAUAAGAAAGUGGAGUGAAAUUGGCCCAUGACUUUCCUGGUUGGAUAGUAGAACAAUUACUCAACGUGGUGGACCUAAGAUUAGAUUGUGUAUCUCAUCCAUUGGCUGUCAGAGUGGCACAUGGCAAUAAAAAUCGAGACUUAAAUGAUAUGGGGUCAGAGUCCAUUGUUAGGUGAUCGGAGAAUGAGUAGUUUAGUCAUUUCACGAAAUAUUAAUUGUAUUCAAGUUAAGAUGGAUAGUACUUAAUUUUCCAUUUAUGAAUUAUGUCAAAUUACACAAUUCUUUUGAAUUUCCAAAUUUCCCACUUCCACGUUGAGAGUUUUCCAAUCAUAUUUAUUUAGAAUUUUAAGUUUGCAACUUCACUGCAUAGGUCCAGGUCUACUUUGAAAAAUUUUAUGUCGGUCCCAAUCAAUUACUUAACAUGCCUAACAGUUGGUAACACAUCUAAAAUUCAUCUAAUCUAUUUGUGCUCUUAUGGUACAUAAUAGCAAAAGCCUUAAUUUUAUUUGUCUGUGAACAUUAGGCUGUUGGCCGGCUGGUAUAUCAAUUUGAUUAAUCGAAUUAUAGUCUUGUUGGCUUGUCCUUCCAACCCACGAUGUGCUCAUAAAAUGUUGGACGUGAAGAAAGAAGUGGAAUUGAAAAUAUUGGAGAUGGCUAAAAUUGAAUGUUCAGCACAAGACAAUUGAGGUAAACCCUUAACCACGUAGCCAAAUCCGAUCACCACCAUCUUAUCAUGUCUAAUUUUUCUUUUUGUUUAUUGCAAUGAGUAAAAAAAAAAAAAAGAUACACUCGAAUACGUCAAAUCAUAAUUUCGUGUUUCUAUUUUUCUUCUUUGCUUCUUUGUAAAAUGAAUGACUUUGGAUCACCAGUGUAAUCUUUCAUCUCAGUUCUUUUUCUCCAGCUGUGAAAUUAUUACAACUAAGACUAGGUUAGGAGUAAGGGACAUGAAGUAACCGGAGGAUAAGGUGCAUCAUAUGAGCCACUAGGGAUGUAAUCGAGUCAAGUCAAACUCGAAUAUUGCUAUACUCGAGCUCGACUCGACUCAUAUAUAUCUAGGCUCGAGCUCGACCGAGUACACAAAAUCGAUAUUCGAAACUUGACUCGAGGAACUCGCUUUAAACUCGAGACUCGACUCGAUAAGACUCGACCUUUAGUCAAGCCUUAUCAAGUCGAGCCUAAUCAAGUUUUUUUACUCGACUCGAACAAUUAUGUUAUUACUUUUUUGCCAUUAUGAACUUUUUUUAUAGAGAAGAGUUUAUUGUAAAUUCUGUAAAACUUAUACCCAUAAUGGUCAUUUUAUAAUUAUAAUACAUAUAUAUUAUUUAAAUUAUAAAUAUAUUAUUUAAAUACCCUCGACUCGACUAGUAGCUCGACAAGUCUCGAGUCUCAAAAUAUUGGCUCGAAACUCGACUCGAAUGACAAUCGAGUAGCUCGAUAUUCGGCUCGAACUCGGUCAACUCGAGUUCAAACCAAACCGUUAACCGAGCUACUCGCGAGCUACUCGAUUGUGACUCGACUCGCGUACAUUCCUAUGAGCCACUCGAACACUGUAUGCUGAAAAAGCAGCUUUGAAACAAAAGAAGAAGCAGAGGCACAAAAUUUUCCUAUGGUUCCUAGAAACAGUAUAAGAAAGAAGAUAGAAAGACAUUAUUGACAUUAUAAAUUCUUGUCAAUUAAUGUUCGUCAUUUUUAUAUGGUAACUUACUGCAGAAAAAUUGUCAAAACCGUGUGAGAAAGUUAAGGACGAAAUACGAAGAAAAUUCUUACUCAUCAAGAAACUGCAGCGAAAAAAAAAUUGUAGAGAUGAUGGAAAUAAGAAGAAACUAACGCAAGAGAGAUGAUGGAAAUUGAAUGGAAAGAAGAUAGUUAGCAACGUGGUUUUGAAAGGCGAAGCUACACUACAAAAUCAUGGAAAUUGUUAGGGAGACAAAUGCAGUUGGUGGGGCGUUCACUCUUCAGCACCUUUCGGCUGUGUUUCUUCGAUCAAAUAAAGGAGUGGCUACCAGUGUACCACAGCAUCGUUCAAAAGCAAUGAUGUCUUAAGCUUAAAACGUGGUGGCUUGGACAUUGAUUUCAUUGACGUAGAAAUAAAGGGAAAAUACAGAUUUAGCCUCUAAUAUUUUGCCUUUCGGCAGUUUUAGUCAUUAAAAUUUUGAAAAAUGCAAAUUUGAUUCUCAAUGUUUAGCACAUGUGCAAUUUUAUCCCUAAAAUAUUGGAAGGAACAAAUUUGGUCCCCUAUGUUAUAGUCUUGAAGCAGAUUUAGGAUGAUUGACGAAUUUUUUCAAAUAUUGGUAGAAUCUGUUACGUGUGAUUACAUGCUUGUUAAUUUAAAUAUCUUAAAAAAGAAGUAAAAUAGCGAGUACUCUUCAAUAAUAAGACCAGUUUACAUGAUGCCAUGCCAGUAACUAAUUAAUCAAGAGAAAUAAAAAGAAAUAAAAUUUGUUAAUCUAUAUGAAAAAGUAAAUGUUACGAUUUUGUGCUUGGCAUAGUCAGGAUAGAGUGUAAAAAUGAGUUCUAUAUUGAUGAAUUGGGUGCUUCAAGAAGGCCUCUUUGGAACCUGAAUUUUUUGGGAGUUUGUCUAAAACUUUACUGUAGUGCACUGUAGAAGUUUUUGAAAAAAUUUUGUAGAAGUUUUUGUAAGGUGAAAAAUUUUUUUGUAGAAGUUUUUGUAAAGUGAAAAACUUUUUUUCUUUUUCUUUUUCUUUCUUUUCUUUUUCUUUUCUUUUCCUCUCUUCUUCUUCUUCCUUCUCCCCCCCGGUGACCUCUGCCUUCCCAGUUCCCAGCAGCUAGAGGUGUCAAAUCAACCCAUUUAACUAAAUUUACCCAUACCCGCCCAUGAAUAGAUGGGUAUGGGUAUCUUAAAUUUUUGUAUAUGGAUAUAAAUGGGUUACCCAAUAAUACCCAUUUAUUAAAUGGGUAUUAUUGGCUAACCCAUGAAACCCAAUUAACCCAUUUAAAAUUCUCUUCCCCCCAAGUCUCUUCUUUUCCCCCACCUUUUUUUUUUCAAAAUUUUCAUUUUGUCAUGAUGUUAACUACUUUUGUUUCAUUAUUAUUAUUAUUAUUAUUAUUAUUUGUUGGUUUUAUCUUAUUAUUUUAUUUUCUCUUAGUUUGUUAACUUGCUCAUUUUUUAGCAUUAUCAAUUUAUGAUAAAUUUUAGCCUAUUUUCUUAUCUUUAUAAAAUGAAAUUUUAAAUUUAUAUAUGAAAAAAUGUUAGGGGUUCAAAAUUUUUGGAUUAAGUUUUUAUAUUAAUUUUUAUAGUACUUAGUUCAAAUUUUUAUAUUCUUAUUAUUCAAUUAUUAAAUAAUAGGUAAUUUUGUGACAUAGAGUAUAAAUGAAAAAAAAUUGGUAAUUAAGUUUAUUGAACAUUAUAAGUAAAUAUUUAAAACUAAUGAUGGGUACAAAGAGUGGUAUAAAUUGAUAAUUUAGUUUGCAAAAAUGAAUUUAAAUAAGUUUACAAAAAGUUAAAAUAAAUGGGUUAUAAAUGGGUAAUUGGGUUACCCAAUUCAUUUUUUGACUUACCCAUUUAUACCUAUCUAAUUAAAUGGGUAUAAAUGAGUUGACUCACUUGUACCCAUUACCCAUUUUACCCAACCCAAACCCGCCCAAGUCACCCAUUUUGACACCUCUACCAGCAGCCAUGGCCCUGCCAUUUUUUUUCUUUUCUUUCUUUUUCUUUUUCUUUCUUUCUUUCCUUUUUCUUUUCUUUCCUCUCUUCUUCUUCUUUUUCUUCAUUCCCCUCCCCCCGUCACCUCUGCAUCUGAUUGUAAAAAGACCCAGUAGAUGGUCACCUCUGCAUCGACCGCCACCCCUUUUCUCCCGCUCCCUCCACCGCCACCCCUCUCCCCAUCCCCCUUCCAUCGCCCGCCUCUGCAAAAGAAGACUGGCACCUGAGUUUUGCAGUAACAGAAACAAUUUUUUUCCAAUUUUCCCUUUCCCUCUCCAAUCCUUCUCUUGCUGGCAGAAUAAGCCGCAACAGGAAUUCUUUUUUUUUUUGGCAAUUUUCCUUUUCCCCCUCUCUCCCGAUUGCAAAAAAAAAUCGAGCAAAGGGGGAGGAUGGCAGGUUGCAAAGGAUUCCGAUCCGGGACUGUGCCAUGUUUCUUGAACUGAAGCUUUUCUUGCCGCUGCACUUGAUUGAAGAUGACACCAAUGGCUUGUGAGCAGUUGCAGCAUUUGUAGUGUCAGCGGCUCUGUGGAGACGGCACCUGAACAAGCCAGCAUGGGUCGUUGGAGCACAAAGGCAAAGCUGCUGCUUCUGCUUGUUGGAUGAUUUGCCAUGACCACUUGUUUUUUUGUCUGACCCACUACCCUUCUUAUCAGGCUCAACAUCACAGUGAUUUGACCGAGUAAUUCCUUUGCAAGGGAGGAAGAGGGGGAGAGGGAGAAAAGGAAAAAAAAAAAAAGAAGAUGGGCAUUGGAACCGGCGGCAGAGGUAGUGGCCGGCGGCGGAGGUAGUGGCCGGCGACGGAAGUGGUGAUGGGUUGGGGUGAGGGAGGAAAAAGAAGAAAAGGGGUAGGGAAUUUUUUUGUUUUUGUGUUUUUGAUAUUUUAAAGUGUGUAAGUUAAAAAUUUUGAUAAGUUUUUAAGGUUCCUGUAGCAAAAGUUGUUAAAAAACUUGUAUCAUACAAACUUGGUUAAAAACCAAGGUUCCAAACAGGCCCUUAGUUUAAAAAUUUUCAAUUUUUACUAGUUAAUUAGUUAGCAUAUGAAUUAUCAGUUCUUAAUUUUGUUGUUUAAAGUUAGCUACUAAUAACUUGGCACAUGUUUCAUUCUAUAAUUAUCAUGUCUGGAGGUUCAAUUUUUUCUUCUGAGAUUUGUCCAUUUUGGCUAGAUUAUACUCACCUUUCACGAUCAAAUUGAAUUUUCAACGCACCAAGGUUUUCUCAAAUCGCUUCAUACAAGAUGCAUGAUAUUUGUUCUGAUUUACCAUAUCAUCUCCGCAUUUGGCAUGGGAUCUUACUGUUGACCUCAUUGUAAUGAUAUAUGGUCAAAAUGGAACUAAUAAGUGGGCGUAUGGUUCGCAGGUGCCGACCGUCCAAAUGAAUCUGUCCUUUUGCAGUUUUACUUGUGCAAGAAUAAUUAAUUUGUGGGAAAAACUCGCUACUUAUCUGCAAGGACUAAAUAAAUAUUGGCUAUGGUUAGCGAGAAUGUAUCCUUGUAGAGAAGAUUUUUAUGUAGGGAUAUUGUUACGAAAAAAAGAAUUUUGAAACAUAUAGUUGGAUUGGUUUUUCCUGAUUUUAAAGAGUCAUAGGCUAAAAAAGUAGCAGUGGUUCACAAAUUUUCCUUUUUUUUUUCUUUUUCAAAUCCUAGCUUGAUGCCCCUACUUGAGUUAAUAAAUUGAAAUUCACUAGUAAAAGUAACUAUUGUAGAGUCAUAAUUUGGACUCAAAUGUGAUAAGGUGUGUGAGAACCCUGAAAAAAUAUAUAUAAAUAUUAGUGCAUAUUUCAUUUGCAUUUAUAAUUCUUUAAUAGAUUUUAGCAUUAAAUCUAAUUGUUUUUAAAUAAGUGCGUAGAAAUAAAUUUUAUGUGCAAAAUAAAAGAAUUGUGCUAAACUAUUAAAUUUCCUAGUCUAGUUACAUUAAAUUCAUAUUCCGAAGGUAAAUUAUUUCAUUGAUUUAACAAUUAAUUUCUUUGAAUUCCGAUAGCUAGUUUUAAUCGUUAAUAAUGUUCAGUGUUAAUAGGAACCUUAGCAAUAAGAUGAAUUUGGUAAAUUCUAGAUAAAAUCGAUACAAGUAUACUAGGUUCGCCUAGAACGUAAAAACCUUGAAAUUAUAAAUAUACAUAUAUGUACGUGUUGCAUGUACAUUUUAGAUCUUUAAUAAACGUUGUUAUUAUCUGGUCUUAAAUAAGUGUGCAAAAAUAAUUUGUUUUAGAUUACAAAUAAUUCAAUUGUGCAAGAUAUUAGAUUAUUUGAAUUUUUGCCAAGUAAAGGUAAUUUUUCUUGAUGUUGAGUGUGCCAUUGUUUUUAUUUUAAUUCUUUGGUUCCAAUAACUAAUUUUAAGUAUUAACGACGAUAGGUGCUAAGGAAAACUAGAAUUAAGACGAAACGUUUAGGUUAAAGCUCUUUAUAAUUAUUUUAGGGACGUUGUAUCUCGAUAAUUGAAUUUUUCAAGGUUGGUAUAUUAGUAGGCAUUUGAUUUAUAUUUAGGAAAUCUUGGAGUUAGUUUAGGAUUGAAGGGCUUAAGUGGAAAUUUGGAUGAAAUGUAAAAAGACCAAAUUAGCCUUUUCCAAGUUAAAAUCACCAAGCAGCCGUGAAGAAAAAAAAAAAUGCUAGAAGCAACUCAUUUCCAAACAAUUCCAAUUUCUGUCGGUUCAUUCCAGCAUCUUCCAUUUCUUUUGCCGACCAACCCCACUCACGAUAACCUCAAUAUAUACACCCCAUUAACCAUACACUCCACACUAUACCAUUUCCAAUCCACUAUAAUAGUACACUUCCAUUUGCUUUCUGCCGUGAGCUGUGAGGAAACAACUACCUUGGAAGUAUCGACGAGAGAGAGAGCCGUGCGAGCUUCGGUUCUUGAACUGUCCGAGAGAGGGUGAGAGCAAGAGAUAAUCGUGUGAGCUUCAUUGCUUCCUUCAUCAUCUGAGAGCUGCCAUUUCAUUCUUCACCUCAACCAGCCGUGAUCACUUCAACCUCAAUCACCACAGCUGCAAUUACUGAACUCAGACCAACCAUCCCCGAGUGCGUGAGCAAAGCCGUGAGGGAGGAAAAUAUUUCUGCUGUGGGCCGAGUGUGUUAAGCUUCAGGCUGAGGUAAUUUCUAGACUUAAAUGAGUUGUUUAUGGGUUAAUGAAGCUGGUUAUAAGCAUGCAUGUGGGGUUGUGCGGUUGGAUGACAAAAUUAAGUUACAAGAAAACUGAUUUGGAAAGAAUUGGAGCUGCCGAGAGUUAGAGCUGGAAUUGCAGCUUUAGUUUGUUAACUUGUGAUGAUCUGAGCUUAACCUUGGGCCAAUUUGAUAGAUAGCCUUUUAUUUGGUGUUGCAUGUGAACCAUAUGGCCAGGAUUUCGGUUGCAUGGCUGGAAAUUUUCACUAGAAGUUGCUGGACUGCUUAAUCAAUUUUCCAGUUUGCCGAUGGAGUUGUUUUGGGAGUUGUAUGAAUAUUUUAGUAUGAGAUUUGCUGGAAAGUGUUUGAUUCUCACUUGGUGGUGUGUUUAGCUAACUAAAUGCUGGAUGAUUAAGCCCCGCAUGAGAUUAAUUAGCUGUGUGUAAAUCAGAAAAAUAAAAUGAAACCAAAAGUCUGCUGCAGGCAUGUCAUCCGUAGUUAGUUGAGCAGAUCCUAGAAUUUUGAAUGAAUGUUGUUGGUGACCGACCCUGUUUUGGACUAGAAUUAAUAGUAACUUCAUUUAUUAGUAAUACAUGUUAGCUGUGAGUACAUAAUUCAGUGAUUUGGCCAAGGAAAAUCCGGAUUAAUGAGUGACUAAGCUGCUGGAAUUUUUCCAGUGUAGCCGAAUGAAGAAGAAAAGAAUUUUCCAGUUUUCUUUUGCGAAUUUUGGGUUUUAAAAUUAUGUUACAAGCUGUAAAUUUUGUGUCGUUGAUUAAGAGACCCCGUAAGCAUAACAAUUACCAUUUACAUGAUAAGCUGGGAGUGUAAAAGAUCGAAGUCUUGUUGCUGGAAAAUUUGGUUAAUGGCCGAAUGAGAAAGGAGCUUGAAAUUCUUAUAUUGGCUUGAUAAUUGGCUACAAUCUCAAGUAAAAUGUCUUAUAACAUCUUGUGCUAGUUUCAUGAUUAUCUUAUUGAUUGUAACACUUGAAAAACUGGUGUAUUGGAACAUGAACUAAAAGAAUUUCUGAAGGAAAAUAUUUUUCCAGCAUGGCCGAAUGGGUUGGGACUUUUGGUGGAUUUAUUUGCUGGAUUUGUGCAUUAUUUAUUUUAGCUUGGUUUGGACAGAUUAUAGGCUAUACGUUUGGUGUUUCUAGCAAGUAAAAGUUGGACAUCUUGGAUUGAAAUUUACUGGAAUUUUCUUGACUAUCGAAACAAGAAAAGAAAAUCUGAGUUCCUAAGUGUAUUUGUGAGUAAGCUAACCGUGACUUUCUUCUAUGCUUGAGUUAAACUUUUAGUUGACUUGUUGUAAGAAAUAUUUGUUUGAUGCCAAGAGCUAAUGAUUGAUGAAGCUUUUGGCCAUUUGAGUAAUUUUUGCAAGGGUUAAAUUCUUGGUGGAAUUAUUUAAGUGGUUUGGCCAAAAUGCAUUUGGAAGGUCCACGAUUUGUGAUUUGGAAUUGUUUUAAUACUUUGGACUUCCUUUGGUUGAUUUUGAUUAGAAUUGAAUCUGUUGAGACCUAGGGCUAAUGAUUGAUGAAACCCUAGUGAAAUGGAUGUUCGAAUUGUGUUUUUGCUAUAUUGGCGACUUGGAAUAUAAUGUGCAAAUGAAUUGAAAUCGUGAAGUCCGUUCUAGUCUUUUGAAUUCAAGUAUCUUUAAAUCAAAUCUUGUGGGAAUAUUUUGCCUUAAUAUCAAGUUAUAUACAUUGAGUAUAGUACGUUAAUAUUAAAAUCUAGAUAUCGGGACUUUUAAAACCUUGCCGAUUUGUUAAUUCUUUUCUUUAUUUAAACUAGUGUUUGACCUUUAAUAAAUAAUUGCAUUAACUUCCAAACUUUAAGUUUUUCACAAAAUUAUCCUUGACCAAUUGUUUUAAAGGAAAUUUGUUAAAAACAUUAGAUUUGAAUAAUUUCAAAUAAAAGACAAAGGGAACUUGUUCGACAAGAAAACUUGUUUGAAUUAAUUUGGUUCUAGUUUGCCCUCUAGUAGGGAAAUACCUUUAAAGAAACCAUACGAGAUAUUUUAUUUCUUUACUAGCCUUAAUUCCAAGGGAAUGAUUGAUUUGUUUCGAGAAAUUAAAUUAGUUUUAUAGAAGAUAACCUUUUAUAUACAAAACAAAAGUUUGUUUAGUAAAACUUAUAGUUUUAAAAAUUGGAUUUCUAGGGUGUAGCGAGGACGUGGACUUCGAUUCCCAACUUGACUUUUGAGCUUCACUUUUGGUGAGUGUCCCUGCCUGAUUUAUGGCUAUUUGGUUAAAGUGCUUUAUCGACUCGUUAUGUGAUAAUUGCCAAAAAUGGUUGUUGAUCCAUCGAAGUGAGCAGUGUGUACUUUAUCGCACUAGCCUUUCGAGUGGUGACUUGCUUGAAGUGUUUUUCGUGAAUAUCUUGCUUGUGUUUGCUAAGUGCUAAAUUACUAGGCAGGAGAAUGUACCACACCAUAAAGGUGGGAGGGCCUCUUAUCCUGUCCUGGUAAUCAAGUGUUGGACGUAAAGUCGUUGAGUGAAUCCCUCGAUCAGUCUAUAAUAAUCAAGUGUUGGACGUAAAGUUGUUGGGUGAAUCCCUCGAUCAGUCUAUAAUAAUCAAGUGUUGGACGUAAAGUCGUUGGGUGAAUCCCUCGACCAGUCUAUAACAAUCAAGUGUUGGACGUAAAGUCGUUGGGUAAAUCCCUCGACCAGUCUAUAAAUAUAAGUGUUGGACGUAAUGUCGUUGGGUGAAUCUCUCGACCAGUCUAAGGUAUACUCGAAUAUUAUCGCUUCCCUAUUUAUUUACUUCAGUCGAAUCAAUACGUGUUAAUUGUUUCAAGUGAUUGCAUGAUUUUGGGGCACCACUGAGUUUUAGCUCACCCCACGUUCAUUUGUUUUCCUUACAGGUUGUGAAGUUUGAAAGAAUUUGAGCUGCUUAUAUUUCCUAUGAAUGUAAUUGAACAACUUGAAUUUGAAUUUCGGUUUGUAAUGAAUUCCAAGUUAAGCAUUUUAUCUUUCAUUUUGGAUUGCCACUUGAAGCUGGAAAAGUGUAAACCCUAAUUCUGAUAUGUGGCUUGAAUGUAUGUAUUUGUGUGGUAUGGCUUUAACCCUUGUAAGUAACGCGUGAAGUGUUUAAGAGCCGUCGAUUGGCUAACUUCGGAUGCUGUUAUCUUUGAAGUUAAUGUGGUGUUAGAAACCGAUUUUUUUUUUGGAAGAAUCUCUAUUGUAAUAGUUUAGGUUGAUCUCCGGAAGGAUUUGGGUUAGUGUGCCUGCGUGAGUCCUGGCGAGAGUUAGGCAGACGGCCUGCCAACCCUCUGGUUCGUCUUAGGGGGAAGUGGGGUCGUCACAAUGUGCAUUAUUUGACCUACUUGAAUAUUGUAUUUUGGAAAAUUAAUUUCAAAACAAAAGAAGAAACAGAGACACUAAGUUUUUCCGAUGACCAUAUGGUUCCUAGAAACAACAUAAGAAAGGAGAUAGAUAGAAACACAUUAUCGAUAUUAUAUAGCUCUGUCAAUGUUUCCCAAUUUUAUAUUGUGACUUAAAACCGAAGAAUUUUUCAAAGCCGUAAGAAAUUUAAGAACGAAAUACGAGAAAAUUUCUUACUCACAAAAAAAGAAGCUGCAGCAAAUAAAUGGAGUGGAGCCAUUGUAGUCAGAAAGAAAAAGAGAAACUAAAGCAAGAGAUGUGAUGGAAAUUGAAUAGAAAGAAGAUAGACAGCAACGUGAUUUUGAGAGAGAGAGCGACGAAGCUACCUUACUGCUACACAACAAAAUCAUGGGAAUUAUUAAGAGGACUAUGCACUUGGUGGGGUGUGGACAAGGGGCACGGACCAUCCCCAUCGGACGGUUUUGGCCAUUUUCAACAGCUCAUAACUUUGGUUGCACACGGCGUAACUUUAUUUGUACAACGUGUAACUUUAGUACAAAAUUUUGUGGGUCCCACACACGAUGUGAAAAUCGAUGCACAAUUUGUGAUCUGGACAGCACAAUUUAUUGAGGCCAAAUCAUGGCCAUUAAUAGCUCAGGAGCGCUCCUGCCCCGUUUCCGUGGGGUGUUCACUCUGUGGAUCAUUGUUAUGAGCUAAUAAUCCAACAGGAACGGAGAGAACUGUUUGUGCGACUUUCAGUUUUGUAGAUUACUAGUUUAUUUGGGCCUCACACGUUGCGUGACGGUGCCCGGAAAGAGUAUAAUCUAUGCAAGUAUACAUGGUCAAAAACUGUAAUAAUUCUCCAGGCAUUCUCAUCAAAUUCUUUGACCAAACAGAUAUGGUAUCUUGUCUCAAGAAACUACCCAAAACUCCAGCAUUUGUUCAUGCCGUCAACAUAUAAACAUCAGAUUUCAAACUCCAGCAUUUCUUUUAGUGCAUUAAAAGCAUAAAUGCACCAUUAUCACUUCAUGUAUUGCCACACCGACUGAUCUUGAAGAUGACAUGCUAAAAACGAUUGCAGUUGGUGCACAGGUAAAAUCAGUAUUAAUAUAUGCUGGCACCUGUACGAGCUUGUAGCAUAGAUGGCAGCAAAUUGGGGUCAUAAAGGAGCAAAACACGAACUUCAACAAAUUUUAAUCACAAAAAGUCACUUCAGAGAAUUAUAAUUACAAAAUUCGAGUAAUUGAUAAAUGACAUUUUGAACAUGCUUCACAUAUUUGGAGCAAAUGUAUUUCCAGUCACUUCAUUAUCUAAUCCAUAAAUAUCAUAGUGAUCAUUAUCUUCACAUAUCGUAUUAAGCAUUCUUGAAACUACAUUCGUUUGAGCUUCAACGGUGACAAGAGACCUUGGGGUAGGGGGUGAGACCACCCAAGUAAUAGCUUUCCAAUCAAGCCUUUUAAAACAUUUAGCAUGUAGUAAGUGGAUACAAAUCAAAGAGCUCCCUCUAUAUCAUCAAACAACAGGAACAUAGAGUAUAAAGAAAAUUCGUCCUUUGACUUGAACUAAGUCAUACAAAAUGACUAUUACCUAAGAGGUUCAGUCCCUUGGAAGAUGGGGAAUGAUGCAAUCCUUUUUAAGGAAAACUGGUUAAGAAUGAUAGUAUAUACCUGCAAAUUUUCAAACUACUAUCCAGCUUCUUUUGAUGGUUUAUCCUAAAUUUCGACUAAUAAGAAAGCACUAAAUGUGGGAGAAAGAGAAACAGCAAAUAAAUUGCAGAAUGCAAAUGAAAUGAAAUGCUGAAACAGAGACAAAAUUUCAAGUUUACCAAAAUGCAAUGGAAGAACUUCUUGGACUCAUCGUCAUGUCUGAAGGCCUCAAAAGCAGAAAUUCAGCAAAAAAAUUAAAAACAUAUUUGACUCUAAGGACAAGAAAUACUUGAGCCCAACCAACCAAAUAAGGCAGGCAAAGUGAAGAAGAAAGCAGCUUCCAAGGGUGGAUAAAAAUUUGACCGAAAAUAAUUAAGAACCUGACAUAAGAAUGAUCUUCCAGGAUCAAAUUUAGAGCAUAUAAACGAUCAACAAAUUUGUAAUAAAAACUAAUCAAAAAAUCCAAAAUAAUAGGUACUUGAAAAUAGUGUGUGCUGAAAACAAUACGCAUUGGGGAAUUGCCCCCAAAAUCACCCCAAUGGCCCUAUCUUCCCUACUAUCAGUAUUAGAGCAGUAAUUGGACCCAACAAUAAAUCAAAAAUAUGCAUGCAAAGAAUGCCAGAAGAAUCCAAUGAGCAUUUAAGAGCAUAAGAACAACUGGCAAAGCCUGAAACUUGGUAUAAUUUAAAUGCCAUAACAAAAGGAUAAACAUAAACGAAUCAAUUAGAAAGAAAAAAAAAAGUUUUACUGGAGGUGAAAGAAAACAAACUUGGCCAUCUCACAUUCAAUACGAUUCUGAGCUUGAAGAACACGGAAAUUUCAUGCUUCCUUAUCCCCUGACGCUUUAUUCUUCUGUCAAAGCACUCAUGUGCACAUUUGAAAUAAGCUUGUUGCAAUAUUAGAUACCCACAAUUUGAAAAAUUUAUAAUCUCAAUUACUUUUAUUAACUGAAUUGCCUCUAAAUUUUCUGCAUAAUUCGGUCGGUUUUAGAUUUCAUAGAAGAUGGAGAAGUUCUUGGACUAAUUUACGAUGGGUUGGAACAGAAGAUGGAGAAACCAAUCGCACUGAUGGAUCUCAAUCUACCGUCCAACUGUAUCAUUAUGAAAAGACCCAAUAACCAAGCCUACAAGCUCACAUCAAUAACUAAUUAAAGGGUAAAAUUGUGAGAUAAGGGUUAGCUAGUAAAAUCACAUUGCCACAUCACGUGCCAGCCGCACAUCCCAACUCAGUCCUAACUCCAACAAAUCAAAUGUUCAUCUGAUAUUCCAUAUUUAGCCACCUAGACAAGGUGUCCAUAGGGGACCAUAACUACUGUUCAUAAGCUAACUCUCCUUUUUAUUCCUUUUAGGAUUUAGCUCUCAACAUCAAACUUAAUCAAUUCAGAUUUUAAUAUAUUCAAACCGUUUGAUAACAAAAAAUUGAACUAAAUUAUUUAAACAAAACUUGUUCCCAAGAUUAAGUGAUAAGCUAUUUAUUUAUCACUGAAUAUGAUAUGCACUCAAAUGUAUUAGAUUUAAUAUUUAAUAAUUCAAUAAAUUCAGAUUUCAGUUUUCAGACUUCAGUUUUAUCAAACGCAACCUCAAUGAUAAGUGAAUAACUUAUCACUUAAUUUUAGGACUAAGUUUUACUUAGAAAAUUUAGUGCCACUUAAUUAAUUCAGAUGUUCAAUUUUUAAUUAUCAGACAGUUUGAAUAUGUUAAGAUCUGAAUUCAUUAAAUUUACGUGUUGAAGCGGGUUACCAAAUAGGGCCUUAAUAUAGGAUUCUUUUGCGCUGUGCCAAAGAAUAAGAGAUGGACUCGCUUUAACUAUGUGGACAUUAAUCAGUCGAGUCUAAUCAAACUCAAUGAAGCAUAGGUAAUAUAAAUUAAUAUUUUAUAUAAUUUUAAAUCAGGAUACAAUUGACAUUUCACACUAAUAAAUAUUAAAAAUUUUCAAAAGGAUAUAUUACAUUUAAAUCUCGAUUGAGUUCAACUGAACUUGACGAAUUUUCAAGUUUCAUAUAGUAGACUCGAACUUGAACUCUUCAAGCAAUUUGAGAUACUCGAACUAAUUAAAUAUUGAACUUGGUUAACCUAAGUUUUGACAAAACAUGCUGGUGAGUAAUUUGAUUGGGCACGACUUGUUUUGCACCCAUACGACAAAAUACUCUCAAUUAAGGGAGUAAGUGACUGUGUUGCAAUUUUAUGGUGGGCUCAUCUCUCUUUUUGUGCUCUUAUGGUACAUAAUAGAAAAUAUCUGACCAAAUUUCGGCAUAAAUAUACAUGUGUGUUUAAGUAGAAAUGAGGAAAGAUCACAAGAGAACGAGAAUCUACUGCCAUAGAUAAAGAAAAACCCAACUCAAAAUGAAUAUUCUAUCAAAGUUACAGGAGAGUAGGGUUGCAGCUGAGUUUUGAGCAUGUUGUGGGUUAAAGUUGGUUUUAGAUUUUUUUUUUCUCCUUUCUCGUCAAUUGAAGAAUGGACUGGGGAAAGUGAGAUUUCAAUUUCUGUAACUCGGCAGUCGGGGAUUGAUUUAAGAAGACAUUAGACAUUAAUGUUGGUAGUGCUACUAUGGUUGGACUAAGUCAUGGACGAAGUUAAGAAUAGAAAAUUAUGAAUGAAACUUUUAGGAAGCUACCGAGAAAUCUGUAAGCACAGUUUGUUUUCACCUACCAACGCCAAGAAGCCAUUUUUACACUAUUUGUAAACCUUGAAUUCCAUGAUAAUGUAGUUACUUUAGCCUAAGCUUUAAGUACCCCUACCCUUAAUUUAGGGUAAAUUAAACAUAACUUCCUAUGGUUUCACUCAUUGUCGUAUAACCCUAUAACAUAGUAAAAUAUAUAUUUCACUCGCUUAGGUUCAAUAUAACUUUACGAAAAAUAAUCUCUGCAACGUCGUUAGUUCAAAUAUUAAUAAUUUCCUUACUCUAAUACUAAAGCGAAUAAAUGCCUAACCAUCUUGGAUAAAACCGUAGGGGAAUUGUGUGGAUAAAUGCAUAAGGUAAGGUGGGUAUUUAUAUAAAGGGUUAAAAAUAAAAAAGCCCCCUGUGGUAAGCCUAAUACACAGAAAACCCCCCCAAUGGUUUCAAAAUAUACAAUACGGCCCCUCAUGCUUUGAACUAAAUUGUAAAUGUGACGGAAUCCGUUAAACUUAACGGAAAUGACUUAUUGGAACCUAAAAAAAAAAUUUUAUACCUAAUUUUUAUCAAAUAUACCUAUUCUACCCCUUAACCCUCAAUUUCUCUAUUUAGAAAAUAAAAUAAAUAAUUUUUUUGAGCUGUCUUUUGCUUAAUUAUAUGAGAAUAUUUUGGUCAUUUUGACCAUUUCCGUUAAGUUUAACAGAUUCCGUCACCUUUACAAUUUAGUUUAAAGCAUGAAGGGGCGUGUUGUAUAUUUUGAAACCAUGGGGGACUUUUCUGUGUAUUAGACUUACCGCAGAAGGCUUUUUUGUUUUUAACCCUUAUAUAAAUCAUAGAGGAUUAAGUGGAUUUUAUGAUUCCAUCACAUACGUCAUCUAGAAUGUGUUUGGUUCAAUCAUCUAAUUGAUGAUGCAUUCUUUCAUUUUCUAUUUUGCAUAAAACCACAUAAAGGUUAUAUUACUAUUGUGAAACUUUAGACGUGUUACGUGGCAUUGAAGAAAAUUAUAGGGGGAUUAUAUGUAAUUUAUCCUUUUUUUUACAUGAAUUGUAGUUAUAUAUAUUAUUUUAAUGCUUUUUGGGACUACAUGAUAUUGAACCCUUUUUUGGGGGUCAAAUGAUGUUGUAAUCAAUAGAGAGAAAUUUGAGAAGGAAUAUGAGGGUUCAAAUCUGAUCUAUCUAUUAGAAACUAGCCUCCUAAAUUUCAAAAAAGAAAGUUAAUUAGAGAUCCUCUCUUCAUAUUAUUAUUAUUUUUUUUGGCUAGCGAUAUACGUUAAUCAAACCAAUUGCAAAGCCAAUCGUUCAUGAUUGCCCACAUGUUGCUAAAUCUAAUCAUCAGCAUUGGUUCUUGGUUGCCUGCAUAAUUCUCAUCGUUUGAUUUUUCAAUUAAUUACACUGCAAAAGAAUACGAGUUCAACUUUACUACUAGCAGAAGUUAUUUGUCUUUUUCCCACACAAAAAAAAAAGUAAAGCAGAAGUUAUUUAUAGCCCAUCAUCUCAUAUGGAACAACAUGCAAUGCUGUAAUGCCGCGAAUGCUGAGCCUUCUUACUCAGCUGUCGCGGGCUGUUAUGAGCUGUGGGAAUAGUGAGAGGACAAGGAGAAGCACGCCUUGGAAAAAUGAGCUAAGUUGUGCAAGGAGUGGGCUGGGGACAGUAACAUUACUUAUUGUAUGUUUUCUCUUUGAGGUAAUUUUUGGUAAUAACUCUGUCCAGUGCUGAGGCAAACCCCGGUCGAUUUUGCAUUUCUAGUUUGAUAUACGAGGGCCUUUCCAUGUCUGAAGAUCAAAUAGUACAGUUUGGAAUUGCUGAUGGUUCUACGGCAAGCUCAAUAUCAAAGAACAAGGAGAUUGAUGUGAGCAUCUAUCUAGCUGAGAUUGUUAUGUAUUAGGUCUUGAAUUCUCUAUAGUUCCGUGCUUUUGUGAUUUUGUGCUUUACCACAUAACUCUCUCCAUAGUUUAAAAACAUAUAUGAAACCCGAUCAUAAUUUGGGUUAACGUGUCACUGUUAGUUUUUCCGUUAAAACUAACGGUUAAUAGUAAAAAGUCAAAAUCAAACUAAUAAUUUGAUAAAUUUACGCUUUCACUAUUCUCUCUCUCUUUCUCUCUCCCUGGGAAGAGAAGAGGUGAUUUUGAAAACCUAUGCUUUGGAUAGCAAAAUUUUUCAAAAAAAAUAUUUCGUUUACAUCAUAAACACAUUUUUCAAUCCACUUUUUUAUCUCACAUACAUUACAUCACAAAAAGCACUACAGUAAUCAUUUCAAGUAACUAUUUGGCAUAAUACUCUAUCCAAACAAAGCCUUAAUUUUCUCCAAAUAAAAAAAAUAUGGAAGGAAAAUAAAAAAUAAAAAUAAAUAAAUAAGAAACAAAAAGGAUGGAAGGGAAAUAUAAAAAAAGUAAAUGAGAAACAAAAAAUACCAAAUCUUUUUUGACUACAAAUAUCAUUAUAGGUUUUUAAACCAAAAUUUUAAUGGCAUUUUCUAUUUCUUAUUUAUCUAUUUUUUAUUUAAAUUUCUUCAAGUAAUGAAAAGAUAAAUUUGUCAAUUUAUUAGUUUGAUUUGACCUUUUACUAUUGAUCGUUAGUUUUAAUGAAAAAAAUUAAAGAUGGCACUUUAAUUCAAACUAUGAGCAAAUUAUAUAUAUUUUUUAAACUAUAGAGAGAUUAUGUGGUAAAGUACCUAAUCAUAGGGGAUAACAUGCAAUUUACCCAACUUAAUAUUAACUAGCCCUUACAUUGCUAGAGCAAAUGGGUCCGUUGUUGCUCUUGAUUGCCAACAUACACAUACGUAGAUCAUCUACACUUUUGUUCCUAAUUGACAACAUAAACCAUAUCUUUUGAUUUUCUAAUAAUACUUGCAAAAAAAAAGAAUGAAAAAGUGACGUGUCCUUCUAUACGACUAGAAGAUUAUUGAUUGUGCACCCCGAUUUGUCUAGUUUAGGGAAAAAAAAUUUUAGAGUGAAUUGAAUCGAAUUCAAAUUUUGUGUUUUGUGAUAAUUCCUAAUAGAGAACGAAAUGUAGAUUUUGAGUGUAAAAAUAUUUUAAGAAAUAGUAGUGAUAAACAUUGUAAGUUUAUUAGCACAAAGUAAUUAUAAUAGUCAAUGAUGAAUGAUCACAUAUGCAAUGCUAAUUGAAACACUGGCAAAUUUGGGAAGGAAAGAGCAGACUUGGAAAUGAUCAACAUAUGCUACAUUUACCAGACAAACCAUAUUAAUAUAGGUUUACAUAUUAUCUCUGACCAAAAUUUAAAUAAAGAUUAAGACACAAAAAGAUAAAGAGUAAUACUAUACAGUACAUUAACAACAUCAAGCAUUAUACACAAUACAUACAAUAAAUAAGGAGGUAAGACACAGAAGAUGUCGAAGGGGAAAAAAUUUACUAAUAAAAAAUAAAAAACAAGAGCAGUGUUGUCCACAGCAGAGAGGGUGCAAACCAGAGAAAGGGGAAUGAUUUAUGUUUUCUUCUUCUUCUUCCCCCAUAGCUGGCGCUGUCUCCAUUCCCCAUCUUCUGUAUAGCAACCAAUGACAAUUUCAGGAAUGUGUGCGAUUCUUGUGUAAUCUUCACUUUCUUCCUUCUGAUUCUCUACCUUUUCUAUCAUUUCAGAACUCAUCUCAUACAAAUACAGCCCUUGAAGAUGGCUCAAGUGCUGAAUACCCAAAGGUAGCUCCUCUAGUAAUGGAAGUUGAUCCAAAAUGAGUUGAUGGAGACGAGGCAAUGCACCCUCCUCCACUCUCAUCCAUCUCAACCCUUCCAUUCUCUUUAGGUGCAACUUCUUCAGAUUGAGGAACCCUCCAGCCUGGAAACACAACCCUUCUCCCUGGUAAGAUCCACAGAAAUUAAUUUUACCCAAAUUGGGCAAAUGUCGGAGGGAUUCAAGCGGAUCCUCAUCACCCCUUAACCUGCUCCAAUUCAAAUCUAUUCUUACCAAGCCGUGAAGAUGAGCUACCCAUUGUGGCAUCUUUUCUAAGCGGCCACACAAAAUCAGCAGAUGAAGAGAUUGAAGAAAAGAAGAAGAAGAAGAAGAAGAAGGAUGGUGAUUUAGAUCGAUUAUCUCAUGAUCAUCGUUACCUUCUCCAAUUGAUUCAAUGCUUAAUCUAUGAAGACUGGUGAGCUUGGCAAGGGAGGAGCAGAGCUCCUUUCCAUCUUCUCUUCUUAACUUUGUAAUACCUAAUUCUCUUAAUUGGGUCAGCUUUCCUAUCUCCUUGACUACUGUAGAUCCACUACUAGCAUCUAUGCAGUCUAAUACUUCUAGGGCAAGAAGCCCUCCCAUAUUCGAGGGAGCUUUAAAUCCAUGAAAUCCAUAAUCAUCAUCGAAAGAAUCAACUCGUUGAUAUACUUUGAGAACCCGAAGUUUUUGCAACUUUAGGAUUUCCAUGGGUAAUUCCCUAACUCUGGUGUUACUCAAAUCCAGAAAUUCCAAAUGUUGAAGCUUUCCAAUGGCUUUUGGAACUCUCUCCACUCUCGUACCCCCUAGGUACAGAUACUUGAGAUGAAACAUCUUGAAAACCUCAUUUGGUAUAUCCUCUUGGGUCUCUUGACCACCCAAAUGCAAAACCUUUAACAGCUUACUACUCCUUAAAACAUCAGAUAACAACAGUUUGAAUAGUAGUGGGCUCAUGGAUCCAAAUGUAACGAACGACUGAAGGUGGUCAAAGCAAUAACUUCUUCUUUGUUGGUGGUCCUGGGUGUUGUUACUACUACUAGUAUGGACUACCAGACGGCGUACCUUCUCGGACGGCCGCAUCAUUGGUUGUCCAGUAGUAAUUGU